Molecule: long non-coding RNA, 113403 nt
Filed under: Citrus x clementina
Lineage: Eukaryota; Viridiplantae; Streptophyta; Magnoliopsida; Sapindales; Rutaceae
Description: Citrus clementina (C. clementina) long non-coding RNA (CCLE_LNC004378)
Source: RNAcentral
UGCCAAUAUUUUUUCUUUUCUUCCAUGCUGAGGUUGAAGAAUUCGUGAACCUCCUUCUUUACUUUCUCUAGAAAUGCAGAGCUCACUCCAUGAUUUACCAUCUGAAACAAUUCAUAAAAGAAAAAUAGCAAAGAUGACAAUAGUCGGCAGUGCCUCUAAGUUCGUACUGGGCAAGGUAUUUUAUUGAGACACAGUGCAAGUUAUUUGGCUGAUUUAGAUACUAAUAAAAGCAUUUGUUACUUUUCAUUAAAUUAACUAAGAAUAUUGCAGUUGCAUUAAAACACCAUUAUGGUUUAUAAAUUUGUUUAUAAGUCUUCACAUCUUUAUCAGAAGCAAGUUAGAUGGUGUACAAACCCACGGGGACAGUUACAAUUAAUAUCACUCAAUUCUAAAAGAUGAUUACGAAUCCCCAAUUCAAAAUUUUUAUGCGGCUUUUCUUAUGGCAACUUAAAAUGUAAGAAGACCAGAAGAACAAAUAUAAGAAAUAAGUAUAUUUCCCAUAAGUCCCCAAGCCUAUUGCUGCAGAGUAGGUCACAAGCGGAAGUCUAAUCUUGAUUCUUGAUCAAUGGAAAAGCAUGUACUUUGGUAAAGGAAUUUACCUGGAAAAAUCCCCAUUCUUUGCAAGCAGAGUCGAGCUUGGCUAACUCAGAAUCCAUAGAUUCUUCAGAAAGCAAGCUCUGCAUAUCGAUAACUGGCAACUUUGAAACCAAAGCAUCAUCAGAAAUGAUGGUUGUUGCAUCUUGGUCUGGUCUUAUGUACCUGGGAGGGACAACUAAAGUAGGAUUCUUGGCCAAUUCUUGAACACAAUGCACAGAAAGAGAGCCUCGAAAUUUGGCCAUCUUCUUUUUUUUUUUUUUCCCCCACAAAUUCUCUCAAGAUUAAUGUUGCAGCGGUUUUGUAUUGGUGUUAGAACAAGAUUGCAGAUGCAGAGACUAUUAUUGACCUUGAAUGAGUUUAAAAAAAAUAUCUCUUGCGACACAAGUCAAAUGGGCUUUCAGCUGUCACGUGUCAAGGCAAUUUUUGCCUUCUCCAUAAUCUUCUUUAAUGUUUUAAUUGGAAACAUCUGCCUUGGAGUUUGGGCGACAGGUAAUCAUAGUGGACUAAUAGAUAAGAUGAAGAGAUUUUUGUAAUCUACAUUGUGAAACCUGUGGGGUCUGAAACUUAAUUUCUUAUAAAAUUUCAUUUUCAUGCAAUAAUUGCAUAUGUUAAUUAAACAGACAUCCUUUUGAAUUCAAUAUGAAAGGGAGAGAAUUUCAUUCAUUAUAACUCUCCCAGUGAAAAUGAUUUAAGUUGUGGAUCCCAUUACAUAGCUCUCCCAAUGAAAACUGGACAUGUGGACUGUUACUGACAAUAAGGUGGGUGAUUUGGCUUACUAAAUCAAUUCUCUUUUAUUAAUAUAAAUAUUUUACAUUAUAAAUUAAAAUCUGAUUGUGUGAAUUAGUUACAUUAUUGAUGCUAUAAAAAAUAAAGGUAAGGCAUCAUAGGAUGACUAAUAAAAUGUGAUACUCAUUGAGAAGAAAUGCUAUUUUGUACAAAAAGAUUUCUACAGAUGGCAAAGUGUAGGCACUGCUCGGGCUAAACAGUUUGAAUUUUAUGUUUUAUAAAAUUUAAUAUAUAUAUAUAUGUGUGUGUGCGUGUGUGUGUGUGUUUUAAAAUUUUUCAAAGUAUUUUCUCCAGCUUUCAAGUCAAGCUUGGGCCUCUUGAAGGAAGUCCAAACUUGACUUGAGUGUUAAGAAAAUACAAGCAAGUUGGGCUAAACCGGCUCAAAUCACUUGGGCCUGUCACCCCCAGAGAUUUCAUUUCACGCAACAAUUGCAUCCACGUAAUUGAAGGCAAAUCUCCAGCUUUUUCAUUUGGUUCAAAAAUUUACAGUCUUGUCCCUUGUCAUAGAAAAACUUAUUAAUAAAAUAAUAAUUUACUAUGUUAGCAAAUAAUAAAUUUUAAAUAAAAAGAUUAAAAUAUUUUUAUAUGAUGAAGUACAAUAAUUAAAAUGAUUUAAAUUAUUAAUAAAAGUACCAUAUAUAUAUAUAUAUCAAAUUGAUAUUAUUUAGAUUUAUUAAUAUUUUAUCUUUUAAUUUCAAUUUAUUUUUUAAGUUUUAUUGUCUAGGUCAUAAUAAAUUUUUAAAUAAUAAAUGUGAAAUGAUUAAAAUAAUUAUAUAUAUAUAAUAAAAGUAAAAUAAAAUUAAUUCACGUUAUUAUUAUCUAUUAAUUUAAUGUAAAAUGUAUGUAUAAAAUUCUUAAUAAUAAAACUUAACUUUUUAGCCUUAAAACUAUGCAAUACAACCUAAACCCAACCCUAUGGGUUUAUUUAUUAUACCUCUUACUGUAUUAACAAUUUUUUUAAUGCAGUGCAAUGCAAUCAAAAAUUACAAAACAUGAGUUAGCAUAAUUUUAAUAUAGAAUAAUACUUUAAUGCAAUGUAGUACAAUGUAAUGCAAGCUAUCAAAUACAUUCUAAAAAGUGUCUUCAUAUGAGGAGUUAUCUAAUUUGAGGCAGGGAUACAUAAACGCUACUCUGUAAUUCACGAAUAUGUUGAUUGCUCAACCCAAUAAGUAUCAAGCACUAGUCAUCAAUGAAGUGGUUAAAUUCCCAAAAAGCAUUUGAAUAACAUUGUCAAGUACAUGUGUAUCACUUGCAAUCUCAUGAUAAGCAUACAAGAAUUCAAUUUCAAGAAAGACAGAUACUGAUCCGGUAUAAGCACAUAUCAUGAGCAUGUUGUAUUCUCAGUUUCUGUGCCACACUCCUUAAUCCAAAAUAAACUUAUAAUACUAGCCUCGACCGUGUUGAAUUCUCAAGACAUCCAGAUAAGAUUUUCCACUAAGCUCACGAGCAAGCCGGCGCCGGAGGUACUCUUCAACUGUCAAUCUUCUAAACAAUGAAGGUGUAUUUUCAGAGAUCAAACUGGAUGCUGGGUAUACUUCACCAUCGUAUCUCGCGUAGUAAAAUGCGGCAAUGGAGUGUCUUUCAUGUACAGAGUUUACAGUUGCACGAUGCUCAAUACUACGGUAUUUUCCAUUGGUUAUAAUCUGCCAUGUAAAAUUCUCAAAGCACAUGAGCCAGCUCAUAAUUGAUCUUCAAUUUUUAGUAACUAAAUAAAUUCUCAAAGUUGAGCUUUAAACAGACCGUUAUUUUCAUGAACAAUCAAUAAAAUGGAGCUCAAAAAUUCUAAAGCUGUUCAAUAGCUUCAGUUGUUUUGCAUGCGUUUCAGUUGAUAUGUUCCGAAUGGUUACUAUAGCAAAUUUCUAUUCUAAUUUAAGGCUGAAACAGAAUCCCCAACUUGCAUUGUGAUGCUAAUGCCAAGCUAAACUAAUUUACUAUAAUUAUUACCUCCAUAAUGUCUCCAACGUUGACGACGAAGGCAUUUGGGAGGGGAGUAAGAGGAAUCCACAUUCUAUCUUUCUUUAUCUGCAGACCUUCUACUUCAUUGAUCUGUAGCAGAAUGGUAAGACCACAGCCAUCAGAAUGAGGCGUGAGACCCACAACCUUCUCCGGCUGAGGGCAUGGAGGGUAAUAGUUCAUCCUCAUUACUUGCAUUCCAUUUUCAAAGAAGUUUCUCAUUUCUUGAUCUUUGAUAUUUAAAACUUUUCCCAUUUUCAAUAUCAGAUUCAUGGCUAGAGAUUUUAACUGCAUUGAGUAAACUUCCAAGGUGUCUCUACAAUAGAAAGAAGUUGCGAUAUUAGAAGGUUUAACUUGAUCUUCUCAUUGUUUGCCAAAUAAAUAAAUAAUUUACAACCCAAAGUGCAAUAAGAUACCCUUUGGUUCAACAACCAAGUAGAUAUUAUCUGUUUUGGGCACAUGGGUGGACCCAACUAAGGCUCAUGAGGGAUUUCAACCUCUUUUAUCUAUUAAUUUUCUUUUAAAUGUACCUCAAGUCCCUUAUGAAAGUGUUAAAUAAAAAAAAUAUGAAAUAUAUUUUAUAUAAUAAAAGAUUUGUAGUUUAAUAAUAAGAAUGUUAUUUGAUGAUUUUAAAGUUUUAGUUUAAAUUUCAGUAGUCACAUUAUUUUGUUUUUGAAUAUUUUGUGAAAACUACUUAGAAAAAAGAUACUUUCAUAUAUUUAAAAUAAAUAAUUUAUUAUUAUUAUUAUUAUUUAGAAUUUAAAAUAAAGUAAUGGAAUUUAAGUUUAUAAGACUUAAAAUGUAUUCAAGUAAACAAUUAAAAAAAAAAAGCAACCCAAAUUAAAUCAAAGUUUUUGAACUAAGCCUCUCCAAUUUAAGUGUUUGGUCCACAACUGUUUGAGCACACAGUUGUUAUUAAGUUUUGUAAUCCAAAAUAUGUCUAUUUAAUAAGUAGAAGAACCAAUGAAUUAUAACUUAGUUCAGAGAAUAAUUCGCUAGCGAUGUUGGAUGUUACAUAAACUGGAUUAAAACACACUAGCCUACGCGUACAGAUUUACCAAGAGAAAGACAUAGACAGAACCUGAGGGGAAGAGGGAGCUUAGGAAAUAAGUGUGGUUUCCUCAAAUUUUCUGGAAGAGAGAUCAUGAUGAAAGUAUCACUCCAAUCAAGUUUUUGUUCCUCAGAUACAACAUUGGAUUGUCCAAAUCCUUCUACAUCUCCUGGACGCUGCCAAUACUUUUUCUUUUCUUCCAUGCUGAGAUUGAAGAAUUCCUGAACCUCUUUCUUUACUUUCUCUAGAAAUGCAGAGCUCACUCCGUGAUUUACCAUCUGAAACAAUUCAUAAAGGAAAAUUACGUAUUCCAGAAGAACAAAAGGAAGCAAUAAGUAUAUUUCUCAAAAGUUACCAAACCUAUUGAUGCAGAGUUGGUCACAAGAUGAAGUCUAAUCUUGAUUCUUGAUCAAUGGAAAAGCAUGUAAUUUGGUAAAGGAAUUUACCUGGAAAAAUCCCCAUUCUUUGCAAGCGGAGUCGAGCUUGGCUAACUCAGAAUCCAUAAGUUCUUCAGAAAGCAAGCUCUGCAUAUCGAUAACUGGCAACUUUGAAACCAAAGCAUCAUCAGAAAUGAUGGUUGUUGCAUCUUGGUCUGCUCUUAUGUACCUGGGAGGGACAACUAACGUGGCAUUCUUGGCCAAUUCUUGGACACAAGGCACAGACAGAGAACCUCCAACCUUGGCCAUCUUUUUUUUUUUUUUUUUCACCCACAAAUUCUCGGUAGAUUAAUGUUGCAGCGGUUUUGUAUUGAUCUUAGAACAAGAUUGCAGGCGCAGAGACUAUCAGUGAUGGAGGUUUAAAAAUUUAUUUCUUCCUACACAAGCCAACGGGGCGUUCUGCUGCGUUGCGUUUCUUUAAUCAUUUAACUGGAAACAUUGCCUUGGAGUUUGUGCAACGAAUGAUGAUGGUGGACUAAUAGAUAAGAUCAAGGAUUUUGUAAUCUGAAAUGUGAUACAUGUAGAUCUGAAACUCUAUAAAAAAUGAGUAGUAUAAAAAAUUUCGUUUUCAUCUAACAACUGCAUCUAUUGAUAAAAUGAUUCAAGAAAUGAUUUCAUUUUUUUUUUCAAAUUAAUGUAGAUUUUCAAACCUGGAAGUUUCAAAUCAUUCUAGAUUACAAGUUUUUUAUUUUUUAUUUUUUAUUUUUAUCUUAUAGGUGCAUAAGAUAAAGAGAUUUUUGUAAGCUAGAAUGAAUUUUUGUAAUAAUUUUUUAUUGUUUGAAUAAUGAUAGUGGACUGUUGAGUCCCCGAUAAGAUAUAGAGAUCUUUGUAAUUUAGAAUGUGAAAUAUGCAGAUCUGAAACUCUAUUUUAUACAAAAAGCUUUCUAGCUGGCAAAAUGUUGGUUUUCUGCUGAACUUGUAAAGUCCAGACCGGCCCUACUAGCGUGGAUGUUUUUGGUGCCAGACCGAAAAGCCCAAAUUUUAUACUUCAUUUUUUUUAAUUAUGUUUUAAAAAUUUAUAAUUUAUAAAUUUUUAUUUGUACUAGAUUAGACUUUAAAAACUAAGCUUAAAGAUUGAAAAAUAUUAUGGAUGGGUUCAGGGACGGAUUCAGGAUUUAAUAUUACUCCGGGCUAAAUUUUAAAUUUUAUAUUUUGAAGCGAACAUAAAAAUUUAUAAGUAGAAAUAAGUAUAUUAAAUAAGGAGGAAUACCAAGAACUUUAUCUCUCUAAAUAUGUACUAUAAACAAAAAUAAUUAUAAAAAAAGAGUAGAAAAUAAAAAAAAACUCAAAUAUGAAAUUAUUUUUUAAUUAUAGAAUUUGACAUUGCAACCUAUAAUAACUUAUAAUUAUAUAAGGAUUAAAAAAUCAAUUAAGAAAUUUAAAUUAACAUAGAUCAAUACAUGUAUUUAACCCCUUACUUUUUUAAUUAAAAAUGUUUAAGAAAUUUUCUAGCCCACGUGCAGGUCCGCCACUGGAUGGGUUAAAUAUAUAUUAAAAGGUGUAUUUUAAUUAAAAAAAAAUUCUUAAACAUUUCUUGAGGUUUCGAAUGGAGUUAAAGCUUUUUAGGUGAAGUUUGAGCCUGAACCAAGUGUCUAGAAAACAUGCUUGGAAUGAUCUAGAUUUCCUGUCAUCCCUAAAGAUUUCACUUUCAAGCAGCAAUUCCAUCCAUAUAAUUAAAGGCAAAUCUCCAUGGUUUUCAAUUGGUUCAAGAAAAUUAUGUAGUCUUGUGCCUUGUCAUAAAAAUUAAAAAUUAUUUAUAAAAUAGUACUUAUUAUUUUAGUAAAUAAUAAAUUUUAGGUAAUAAGAUUAAAAUAUUUUUAUAUAAUGAAGUAUAGUAACUAAUAUGAUUUUGACUAAAACAGAAAUAUCAUCUACUUACAUCAAAUUGAUGUUAUUAGAUUUAUUAAUAUUUUAUCUGUAAUAUUAUUUUAGUUUUUUGUUUAAGUUUUAUUAUGUAGGUCAUAAUACAUUUUUAAAUAAUAAAAGCAAAUGAUUAAAAUAUUUAUAUAUAAAAUAAAAGUAAAAUAAAUUUAAUUUAUAUAAUUAUAAUUAUCUAUUAUUUUAUAUUAUUUUGAAGUAAAUUUAAUAUCUAAAUUUAUUAAUAAAAUAAUAAAUUAAACUUUUUAGUUUUAAAACAUAAACUACGCCAUGCAGCCUAAACCCAAACUAUAACACCCGCACGUAAUUUGUUUCCUUUUUUUAUUUUAUAAUAUUUAUUUUAUAGAAUAUGGUAUUGUAGGUUAAUGAUAUUUAAGUGUGUUUUUAAUUUUUAACUUCAAAUGUCUUAUUGACACAACUCAAAAGUGUAUUACUCCCAAAUAUAAGAGUGUGUGAUUAUAAUAUAACUCGGUGAGUCUGAGGUCAGACCACAGGAAAUUAAAAGUCUAAUUGUCAAUUUGUUUAAACAAAGAAAUUUAAUUACGAGAAAAGAAAUCACUAAAAAUCAAUUUAAAAACAUCCUAAGGUUACAAGAUCCACUCUCAGUAUUCAAACUAUAAUUUUACUAUUCUUUCAUUUUUAUAUUUUUACCUCACUUUUACCAAUUAAUUAUUAUAUCAUUUAAUUUUCAACUACCUAUGUGUGUGGAUAAAUAUGGAAUAAAUAGGAAUAAAGUACCUAUUGUACCACAACUAUUUUAAUGUGUCGACAUUAUGUCAAAAUACCAUACAGAUCCAAGAAAAUUUAUAAAUUAACAUGACAUAAAAAUAACUAGAAAAGAAUAAAAUAAACUUAAAAAUCAUUUGAGAAAAUAAUAGAUUUAAUAGUUUGAAACAUUGAGCUUCACCUUUUACCUCAACUUAAUAAAAUUAGCCACUCAUAUUAAAAGAAAACGCAACACUCUUUUUAUUUGAUAAACUUUUGAAAUAUGUUACAAGGAAAAUUGAUACAAAAGGAAACAAGAAAAGAAAAGAAAGACAUAAAUUCUUCAAUUCCCUCUUGGCGACACAUCUCUCUCUCGGCUUAAGCUUCUUUGCUUCUCGCUUCGUCGGCUUUUAUAGGCAACAAUUGCCUCCUCUUCAUUCUUUUUAUUCUUAUUUAAUUUAUUAUUACUUUAUUAUUUUAUUUUUUUAUAAAUUAAAUGAAUGUUGAGAAGUGUGAUGGCCAGGAGGCGUGAUGGCCUCCUGAUCAUCACGAGCAACCAAAGCAUGGUUGCCUUUUGCUCUUUUGUUCUUUUUUUUUAAUUUUUUUUUAUUAUUACGUCUCCUUAAUUGUGCUCCAGUAGUUCUUCUUUAUUCCCGCUUUCAAUUCUAGUUCCAUCUUUAUUUCUGAAAAAUAUUUACAAGAUAAAAAUUAACAUUUUAUGAAUUAAUUUAAUAUAAAAAUAUAUUUGGGGAUUAUUAAGAUAAUUUAGAAAUGAUGAGCACAUUAAUCGACACAAUAAGUACAAAACUAAUAAUUUUAUCCUUAUUAAAUGUACACUUUUUAGUGUCAAUCACUUAGAUCAGGCUACAGUGCAACUGUGGUACCGUGCCACAGUUGCAUCCAGCCGUUUCAUGCACUUAGAUUGGUGGAGUCCACUUGUAUUUAACGGCUGAAUGCAACUGUGGCACGGUACCACAGUUGCAACACAAGUUUCGCCCAAUCACUUAUCUUUUUUUAUAUCUUAUUUACCUCUUAAUUACACUUUUAUUAAAAGUAAAUAAAUCACUUAACGAGUACGGACGGAGCCAGCAUGGGACCAACUGGGGCACAGGCCCUGGCUGACUUUUAAAUUUUUUUGAUGAUUAUAUUAAAAAGUUUUAUUUUAUUUGUUAUUUACAAAAAAAAAAUGCCCCAGCUGAAUUGUAAAAUUUAAAAGUGACUAGUAAUUUUAAAAUAUUUCAUAUUAUCCCUAGUUUAAAUGUCUAAUUCUAAAUAAUUUAAUUAGCUAUUAACAUUUCAUGAAAUUCAAUUAAAGACACGAGAACAAAUAUUAAAAUAAAAAAAAAUUCAUAACAAAAUGUUAGUAAAAUGGUUAAUGGACUAGUCUUUAAUUUUUUUUUUUUUGUUUUCUAUUCGAGCAAAAUCAAUUGUUUGGUCUUUCAACAAUGACCUAUAAGUUGUAAGUUUACGUAAUUCUAAUUUUUAAUUUUCUGAUUAAUCUUUUGUCUAGUUUUUAAAUCUAUAAUUUUAUCAUGCAUUCAUGUUUGCUCUGUGUGUUGCAAUAUAUGAAUAUUUUUGUUAUUAUUAAAAGAUUUUAAAAGUAAAUUAAGUAAUAACCUAGUCUAUAUUGAAAAAUAUAUUUUUUCUUAUAUUGAUAAUUAAACUAUCAUACAUUAUUGUCAACUCAUAAAAUUUCAUUGAGGAGUUUUCAACGAGAACAAUCAUAAUAAGUAAAUUUAUUAUCAAUGAUUAUUAUAGUUGUAAAGUUUUAUAUUGUUAUCUAAAUUUUUAGAAGUGUAUUAUACUUUAAAUAGGGUCUCAAUUAGAUGCAUGCGGACACACUCUAUAAGCACAAUUGUGCAUGUGACAAGCUCCCAUUUGGAGUUUGUAGGGCCCACAACACAGUUUUCCAAAUGAGAACUUACCACACACAUAGUCGCGCAUUCGAGUCAUGUUUGAUUUUAAAUGUGCUCCAGCUCGAUCAAAAUCCUGGCUACAUCCCUGUUAAAGAGUGAUGAUAUUAAAAGGCUUGAUUUUAUAAAAACUCCUCAUAUGUUAAUUAUUAUUUUUUUUGGGGGAAAAUUCUAGAAGCUGAUAAAGAAAAGAAUGUAGCAUAUACAAAAGAAUAAACACAUUUAGGUUUUCAGAAAGGAAGAAAGAAGAGUUUAAUGGUGUUUUUAUUUUCUAUUAAAGGAGUUCUUGAGUUUUGAUUUAGUUUUGAAGGAAGAAGGUUAAAACCAACGGUUCAAAAGUGAGCUCAUGUGAUUGAAGUUAUUUAUUUGGUUGCUUUGGAAUAUAUAUACACACGAAAAGAAUAUUGUUUAUAUUAUGAAUUGACAUUUUAUGGUUUUAUUAAUAUGAUAUAUUUUGUGAAAUUUGAUGUAUAUUAGUUAAAGUAUAUUUUAAUCAAAUGAACUUCUUUUAAAAUUAUACUUUUUCAAAACCAUUUUCCAAGUGACUUUGAAAAAUACUUGAUCUUCUAUAAAGUGUUUUACUUAAAAACUAUUUUAAAAGCGCUUUACGAAUUAAAUGUCUUACCAGAGCGUUUAUUGAUUGAUUAUUGAAUGACUGAUAUUGAAAGACUGAAAAAUGUAUUUAAAGUUUUGGCUUAUUGUCUAUAGUUACUAUUAUUGAUAUGUGUGAACAACUAGCUGUAUUGUGCGUACCUAUGGAUGAUUAUUACGGAGUACAAUACCCUGAUUGAUUUAUUGGCUGACUCACUGGGAUUAUAGGUGAUAUAUUGAAUGGCUGGGUCAUCAGGAGUACAGAUGACACUAUGUAGCAUGAGCAACUAAAUGAAUAAAAGAUUUUAUUAUUAAAUAAUUUCUUAAUCAAUUAUAGAUAGAAUGAUUAUUACGUUAUAAUUUAACUUACUAUGAGUUUUAUUAUACAUAUGUAUUAGAUUGUAAAAUAAUUAUUGUUUUCUAAUUUAUGAUUAUUGUGUACUUUAUCGUUAUUAGUAACUUUAUGCAUAAGUUUGCUUACCGAGUUGAUGGUUCACCCCAUCUCUAAUAUUUUAUAGAUUGAUUUUAGAGAUGAGGGCUUUUUGGUUUAAGGAAGAUGAUUUGUUAACUGAAAACUUUGACAUUUCCCUUGUUGAAUAAAUUGUUGCUACUUUGGUGAAUAAAUGAUUCAUUAACUACAAUAAUAACCCUAUUUUAUACUAAUAGCUAUUAAAUCCUAAUUCUUCUCAAAUAAGAUAAAUUAUCUAAAAUCCUAGUUUAAUUACAAAAUAUGAUUUAAAUAAACUUAAUCAAAUAAGAUAAAUUCUAAUAAAAUACUAAAUACUAAAUUAACUCAAAUAUUAUAAUUUCUAAUUUGUUUUACCUCAUACGCUUCCUACAUUGCAUAUAUGAAUAAAAGCAUUUGUUACAUUUCAAUAAGCCAAAAGCAUUGCAUUUGCAUUAUACACCAUUAUAAAUUUGCUUAUAGUUUUGCUAAAGCUACUGUAAGCCUAGAAAUAUACAUGGUAAGGAGACCUGGGCAGAAUUUUGGCUGAGACCCGAUUCAAAUUUUUUAGACUUGGAUCUAAACUUAAAGGUCAUUGGGUCGAGCUCGGGCCUAAAUAUUUGGGCCCGAUUAAAUUCAGGUUAAGGUUGGGCCCUACCUGCCCUGACCUUACUCGACCUUAAAACUUUUUUUAAAAAUAUGUUUAUGUUUAUUUAUAUAAUUAUAUGGUUGAGUUCUUGAGUAAUUAUUAUGUUUAUGUUACUUUAAACAAGUUCUAAAGUUUUUAAAUUUUAAUUCCAUUUUUUAAAUUUAAAUUACUUAAAAAAAAAAAAUUAUGCUGGGGCUCAAAAAAAGCCGACCCAAUCCUUACAUGAAAUUCAAAGGGCCACACUUUUUUCAAGUCGUGCCUUUUGUUUCAGUGAUCGAGUCUGGCUCGGGCUUGGCCAUUGCCGUCCCUCCUUAGAAAUGAUAAGAUAUUAAAGACAAUAUAAUUUUCAAGAAUGAAGACUUUUCUUCUUAGCUAUAUAAGAAAGCAAGUUUGAUGGGUACAUAAUGUCACGGGAUGAGUGUUUUGCGUAGCUAACCCGUGCGGCACUUAGACAACUUUGCCGAAUAUUGCUAAGUAAGCCUAGAGAUUCUCGAACAAGAGAAGAGAGCAAUUGAGCCAAAGAAACUUGUAUUGCACAAAGAGAGAUUACAAUGCUUGUUGGAUACAAAUGCUUAAUGCCAUCCCAUAUUUAUAGGGGAGGCUUUGCCUAACUUCACCUAACUUCACCUAACUUUGCCAAACUUGGUCAAACUCUAGAGUAUUUUACAAUUUCCUAGCUAUUUGCAUGUGCUGGAAUUGUAUAAAGUAUUCUAGAAUAUUUACAUGUUCACAUGUGCUAGAGUUGCCUAGAACCUUCCGGAAUUGGGCCAAGCUAGCACUCUUGGCCUUGUGUUGGCUCUCUAGCCCGAAAUUGUGGGCAAUUGGGCUAGCGAAUUGGGCGGUCCGCAACAUCCUCCCCCACCUAAGCUCGUGGCGUCCUCGUCGCGCUCUCGUGCUUGAAGUGCUGGAUGUGCUCAGUGAAUUGCCACAAAUCAUCUUCCCGUUCCCAAGUGGCUUCGCUCUCGGGGAGGUUUUUCCACUUCACCAAGUACUCGCUAUGUGCUGGCACACCCCUCCUCGAAACCGUUCGGUCCGCAAUGAUGUAGUCCACAUCUUUGUCGAACGCGGUGACAACGGCAGUUGGCGCGCGCCUCGAUUCUCCGCGACUUGGUUCUCCCAUGUCUUCAUGAUAUGGCUUGAGAAGGCUCACAUGGAAGACCGGAUGGAUCUUGAGUCUUGGCGGAAGUUGGAGUUGAUACGAGACGUUGCCUACACGUCGAACAACUCGGAAGGAUCCUCGUAGCGCCUCACUAACCCCUUGUGAACUUUCCGCAAAGUCUUGAAUUGUUGGGGUAGAAGCUUGAUCAUGACUUGAUCUCCUUCCUUGUACUCAACAUGCCGUCUCCUUGCAUCAGCCCAUUUCUUCAUUUUCCUCGCGGCUUUGUCGAGAUAGGCUCGCGUGAUGUCCGCUUCCUCAUGCCAUUCGCGGGCGAGCUUGUGUGCCGCGGGGCUUUUCCCUCCGUAAGUCGAGGCUAUGGCAUUGGGGGUCAUGGGCUGGAAUCCCAUGAUGAUCUCGAACGGACUCUUGCCUGUAGCCUCGCUUCGCUGCAAGUUAUAAGAAAAUUGGGCGAUGUCAAGUAGCUUCGCCCAAUCCCGCUGGUGAGCGCUCACAUAAUGCCUCAGGUACAUCUCGAGGAGGCCAUUAAUGCGCUCGGUCUGCCCAUCCGUUUGUGGGUGGAAACUUGUCGAGAACUUGAGAUCGGUCCCCAACAUCUUAAAGAGCUCCGUCCAAAACCGCCCAGUAAACCGAGGGUCUCGGUCGCUCACAAUGCUCUUCGGAACUCCCCAAAGCUUCACAAUGUGCUUGACGAAUAGGCGGGCUGCCUCGUCCGCUUUGCAAUCGACGGGUGCGGCAAUGAAUGUAGCAUACUUGCUGUAUCGGUCGACAACGACCAUGAUGCUACCGCAACCUUCGGACUUGGGCAGCGAUGUGAUGAAGUCCAUGGAGACACUCUCCCAUGGCCUUGUUGCUAGUGGUAGCGGCUCUAACAGUCCCGCUGGAAGUUGAUGAUCCACCUUGUCUUGUUGGCACACAAGACAAGUUCGCACAUAUGCCUCGAUGUCGUCCCUCAUGUGCGGCCAAAAAUACGAGGCUUGAACUAGUGCGGUGGUGCGCUCGAUUCCUGGGUGACCAGCCCACUUAGAGUCGUGGCACUCCUUGAUUACUUCCUUCCGCAAGUUUCCCCACCUUGGCACGAACAGCCGAUCUCCCUUGGUGAGGAGGAUGCCUUCCUCUUGCCAAAACCGCCUUGUCUUUCCUUCGAGCACCUUCUCCAGCAAAUCCUUUGCUAGCAGAUCUUGUUGGAGGCCUUCCUUGAUGCGUGAGACAAGGUCGGACUUCGGUUGGCUCAUGCUAAGUGUUGCCAAUUCCGCCUUGCGGCUUAGAGCGUCCGCAACAACAUUGGCUUUCCCCGGUUUGUACUCUAGCCGAUAGUCGAAUUCCGCAAGGAAAUCUUGCCACCGUGCUUGCUUCGGACUCAACUUCUUUUGAGUUUGAAAGUAGAUUGUCGCCACGUUGUCCGUCAUGAUCGUGAAGUGUGAGCCAAGCAAGUAAUGUCGCCACACUCUUAGACAAUGGAUGAUGGCUGUCAUCUCCUUUUCUUGCACCAUGUAGCGACGUUCCGUGUCAUUUAGCUUUCGACUCUCGAACGCUAUUGGGUGGCCUUCUUGCAUAAGGACUCCACCUAUGGCAAAAUCUGAGGCAUCCGUUUGAACUUCGAAGGGCUUGGUGUGGUCCGGAAGAGCGAGGACUGGUUCCUCCAAAAUUGCCUUCUUCAACUCCUCGAAUGCACGCUGGCACUCUUCAGACCAAUGCCACGUUUUGUUUUUCUUGAGCAUAUCUAUCAAGGGUGCCGCCUUGGCUGAAUAGCCCUUAAUGAAGCGGCGGUAGUAAUUCACCAGCCCAAGGAAUGAGCGAAGCUCGGGUACUUUCGAGGGAGGCUCCCAAUCGAGGAUGGCCUUUACUUUGUCAUUCUCCAUCAUGAUCUUCCCGCCCGCAAUCUUGUGGCCAAGGAACUCCACCUCUUGUUGGGCAAACGAGCACUUCUCUAGUUUGAGGAAGAGCUCAUUGUCUCGAAGUACUUGGAGGACUUGUUGCAAGUGUUGGGCAUGAUCCUCGAGUGUGGUGCUAUACACCACAAUGUCGUCCAAGUACACGACCACGAAGCGGUCGAGGAAUGGUUGGAGUACCUUGUUCAUGAGUGUGCAAAAUGUGGCGGGUGCAUUAGUAAGGCCAAAAGGCAUCACAAGGAAUUCGAAAGACCCGUACCUUGUUGUGCACGUUGUCUUCAGUUCGUCUCCCUUGGCGAUGCGCACUUGAUAAUACCCGGAGCGCAAGUCAAGUUUGGUGAAGUACCGUGCUUUGCCAAGCUGGUUGAACAAGUCCGCAAUCAAGGGAAUCGGAUACUUGUUCUUGAUAGUGAUCUUGUUGAGCGCUCUAUAGUCGAUGCACAUCCGCAGCGAUCCAUCCUUUUUCUUUUGGAAGAGGACCGGUGCACCGAAUGGGGCCUUUGAGGGGCGAAUGUAGCCUGCAUCCAGCAAGUCUUUGAGUUGUCUCCGCAACUCCUCUAAUUCAGGUGGCGCCAUGCGGUAGGGUGCCAAGGCUGGUGGCUUCGCGCCUUGUUCCAGUUCAAUCGCAUGAUCUACCUCUCGCGGAGGUGGGAGCUUCUUCGGAAGUUCUGGAGGCAUCACAUCCUUGUAAUAUUCGAGGACGGCUUGAAUUCGUGGAGGGACUUGGUUUGGCGACGUUCCGCUAUUUCCUUCCUCAUUUAGUUCCCGAAUGGAGACCAAGAAGCUUGGGUCCUUCUUGAAAGCCCUUUUGAAUUGCAUGGCGGAGAGUGUCUUCUCCUCGGACUUGCCUCGCUCCGUGGGUACCAUGCAUGCUUUACUCCCGUCGAGGAUGCUUAGGGAGUUUGUAGCGGGCAGUGGGAAGGCAUGGACUUGGUCGAAGAAUUCCAUGCCGAGGACCAUCUUGAAGUCGUCCAUGGGCACGAUGGAGAAGUCAAGCUUUCCACUCCACGUACCAAGUGUGAUGUGCACGCCUUGUGCGAUUCCCGCAAUUGGCUUGGCGGGUGAGUUCACAGCCUUCAUUGUGCCUCCUUCCUUAGUGGCCUUGAGGCCUAAGCGCUUGGCCUCGUCUACGGACACGAAAUUGUGUGUUGCUCCUGUGUCUAGCAGCGCGCGAACGGACUGACCGUUUACCUUUGCGCUUACAUACAUGAGCCCUUUCUUGACGAGUGCGGGCUGUUGGCGAUUGAGUGCGCCGAGGCGUUGGAGAGAACCCAUGCUGAGUUGGGGUUCCUCCGUGGACAUUGCGGGGUUGCUCUUGAGUUGGGCAGCAAGAGCAUUAAGCGACCUCUUCUCCAGACAGUCGCGUACCCAAUGAGGACCAUUGCAUAUGAAGCAUGGGCUUCGCGGCUUUGGCGCCUCCUUCUUGCCCUCCGUUUUUCCUUGCCAACUCUUGUUGCUAGGCGGCUUUUUCUGCCCCCAAUCUUUGCGGUUGUUGCCCUUGUCCUUGCGACUCUCUCCCCCGCCUUUGCCUUGGUUGGCCUUUUUGUCCUUGGAUUGGGUAGAGUAUUCGGUGAGCGACUCCGCAACAGCAAUGGCGUCGUCAAGUGUUUGAACACCACGCCUAUCAAGCUCGGUCUUGGCCCAAUCCUUGAGGCCAUCUUGGAAGUAGAAGAGUGAAUCCUUGUCGGACAUGUCGCUUAUCUCCAACAUGAGGGUAGUGAACUCGUUGAUGUAGUCCCGAAUACUACCCGAUUGCUUGAGGCGACGUAAACGCACUCGCGCUUCCUUCUCCGCAUUGCUUGGGGCGAAUUGCUUUCAGAGUUCUUGCUUGAAGUCGGCCCAAGUGUCGAUGGCGCAAAUGCCCUUGCCUAUCUCGCCAUGCUUGCGACGCCACCAUAGUUGUGCAGCGCCUCUAAGAUAGGUGGGUGCAGUGCCCACUUUCGAUGCCUCAUCUCGGACACCCAUGGCAUCGAAGUAUUGAUCCAGCCCAAAGAGGAAAUUGUCCACGAUGGUGGCAUUGCGUGUGCCAUCGUAGGUGUCAGGCUUUGGCACGUCAAUGCGGCGCGCAUCACUCGAGUUUGCGGAAGCUGGACUUGUGGAGAGUGUGCGCUUGUGCCAUGCCCAAUCCGAGCGGACUUCAUCCACUUCCGCACGGACAGUACGUAGUUCGUCCUGAACAAAACUACGAAGUUUGAACAACUCAUCAUGGAAAGAACGAAACUCACCUCGGAGAAUGUUCGCUUGCUCAUGGAUGAGAGCUUUUGUGGCCACCGUGAACUCGGCGUAUUCUCCCUCGAGACCAUCCACUCUUUCCUCCAAUCCCACGAGGCUAUCUUGAGCGGCGGACAAUGCUAUUUCGAGAGUGCCUACACGAGGCUCCAACGCAUCCACGGAUAGGGCCUUGGACUUGCCGCGAGUCUUGCCUUGGGCGCGUUCUCCCUCUCGGCCACGGCUUGGUUCCGGUGGAACAUCCACACCAACAACACCCUCUUGUGCUACGUUCGAAGGGUUGGCCAUUGCUUCGUGAGCUAAUUUGCAUGCGUGCAAACCUUAGCUCUGAUACCACUUGUCACGGGAUGAGUGUUUUGCGCAGCUAACCCGUGCGGCACUUAGACAACUUUGCCAAAUAUUGCUAAGUAAGCCUAGAGAUUCUCGAACAAGAGAAGAGAGCAAUUGAGCCAAAGAAACUUGUAUUGCACAAAGAGAGAUUACAAUGCUUGUUGGAUACAAAUGCUUAAUGCCAUCCCAUAUUUAUAGGGGAGGCUUUGCCUAACUUCACCUAACUUCACCUAACUUUGCCAAACUUGGUUAAACUCUAGAGUAUUUUACAAUUUCCUAGCUAUUUGCAUGUGCUGGAAUUGUAUAAAGUAUUCUAGAAUAUUUACAUGUUCACAUGUGCUAGAGUUGCCUAGAACCUUCCGGAAUUGGGCCAAGCUAGCACUCUUGGCCUUGUGUUGGCUCUCUAGCCCGAAAUUGUGGGCAAUUGGGCUAGCGAAUUGGGCGGUCCGCAACAAUAAGCUAACAAGGUCAGUUGCAUCCCUCAAUUCUUAAAAGAAUGGGUGCUUGAACAGGCUUGAAUAAGACUAUCUAGACUUAAAUUUUGUUACAGCUUUCGUAUUGCUAACUUACUGUGUAAAAAUAUAUUGAUGUAGAGUAGGCCAAAUUUGUGAAAUGGUUCUUUUCCAUACUUGUGGCCUACUUGAUCUUUAAGAAUGAAACAUAAUCUAAUCUGAAUUUGAUAGACUGUGCACUUUUAUUGAGAGCAUACAAAUUUCUUAAUUCUUAACCUCAAACAACUAUUAACACAAUAAGCAUGUCCAAAUGAAAAAUUAUAAACUUGAAUGCCUCAAGGCGCAUAGGUGUAGCUUAGCUGAUUGUGAAUAUAAUUCAUGCUUGUGGUUAUUUAAGUUCAAGUAAUAAUAAGAGAUAAAAGUUGAUAUUUCAUGAAUGAGAUCUUAUACGAGCUAAAUCUUUCAUAAGCAAAAUAAUAAUAACUUGGCAAAAGGAGUUCACUUAGAAAAAAAAAAGCCCAUUCUUUGCAAGCUAAGUAGAGCUUGGAUGACUCAGAAUCCAUAGACUCUUGAGAAAACAAGCUCUACAAGUCAAUAAAGAGUAUUUAUAGAUCUAAAUUAUAAUAAGAAAUUAUAGUUAAAUCUGUUAAAAAUAAUCUUUUAUUGAAAACCAUCAUUUAAAAUUCAGGACUAUUCAUAUUGUAUCACCAAGAAUAAAUAAUCAAAUAUGCAAAAGCGUUCCUGAAUCAAUAUUGCUUAAUUGCCUUCUAGAAUUGUGUGGUUUGUCUUCCAGAUCAACACAUUUUCUUAGAAAAUUCUUUAACUUUCUCUUUGCACUUUCUUUAACUUUCUCUCUGUGUAUUAAAGGCCCACACGCUAUCAGAUACAUUAAAAUUUAAAUUAACAAAAAGAUUAAUAGAUCACUUUUAAUUGGACUUAAUUUUAUAUGACAAUUCACAACACAUAAUCAUUCACUUAUGAGCCCAACAUCUCAUUAAAGAUCCAAAAAAUCUUGGCCUGAUCAUAUAUAUCUAGGAGGGAUAGCUAACGUAGGAUUUUUGGCCAACUCUUGAACACAAGGCACAAGCAGAGAACCUCCCAACUUGGAAAUCUUUUUGUCCCACAAAUUCUCUCAACAAUAAUGCUACAGAUUUUUAUUUUCAAAGAAAAAGUUGCAAAUAAUACAUUUUCAAAAAGUCAUUACUUGCUCUGGACUUGUGUGAAAAUAAUGGUCUGCCGUUUGUCAAUACUCAAUAGAUAUUUUGUGAAUAUGACACAUGGCAGUCUGCUCUUGUGUUGUGAUUGGAAAUGCAUUAUUAAAAAAUAUAGUGCAUUGAAUUAUAUAAUUCUCAUGAUAAUUGUUUUACAUUAUUUGACGACCACCAAUCAAAAUCUUGUAUUUCUCUCAGCGUGAUAUCAGAUCAUCAACCGUGAUUCCAAGUCAACUUUGAGAGAUUCAACCUGAAUAUGAAAUUCAAAGUUAUAGCCUUGGAGCAUGUUUAACUAACAUCCAUUUUCAGUUAUUAAUAAUAAUAUUUUUCGUUAUUGCACAAUAUGUGUAUGGAACAUUUAAGAGAUGUAAAAACAAUGUUGUUACCACUAAUUAAAAAAUUCUUACUAAUAAUAGAAAAUUUGAACGGCUGGUACAGAAACUACAUUAGUUCUUUGCUAAUAUUUUUUUCAUAUAUCAUAAAAAAUUUGAAAUCAAGUCACAUAGUUGUUGAAAUCUCAUUAAAAACAAGAUAGGUUUGCAAAAAUGCUAUUUCAAGAAAGAAAGAUACUAAUCCAAUAUAAGCACUAUUAAUCAUCAAAAGAUUCCAAGCAUAAAUAUGCAAUUCUUAAGAUUCUUACAUGGUCUAUUUAGUAUUUUACAUGAUAUAGCCAUUAAAAACACAAUGACCACAACAUAACAGGUUAUACCACAAUAUUUAUAGAACUUAUUGCUAGAUCUUUAAUCCAACAUUGUUGGAUCCUUAAUCCAAUGUUAGACUUAUAUGUGAAUAAUUAUGUAUUGUGGACUAUAAUAUAAGGUUAACCCAAUUAAAAAUGAUUUAUUAAGGAUAUCAGUAAAUUAGACUUUAAUGUAUCUAAUAGGGUGUGGUCUUUUAAUGUGUAGAGACUUAAGGGUAAUUUCUAUUUUUAUGAUGGACUGAAAUAAGAAUACUUAAAAACAACAUGAAAAGUUAUCUAUAUAAGUGGUUAUGGUCCCCAAGUCAUAUGUAUCGUUCUAUUCUCAAAUGACAUCCCAUCAUCAGAGAGAGUGCAAAGAGAAGUUUAAAGAAUUCUCUAAGAGAACGUGUUGAUUUGGAAGACAGACCACACAACUUUAGAGAGCAAUUGCAAAUUAUAAAUUUAGAUACACUUCCACAUAUUUUGUUAUUAAUUCUUGGUGGCACGACAUGAAUAUUCAUAGAUUAAGGUGAUAGUUUUUACCAAAGUAUUUAUUAUUCUUACAAGUAGUAUCACAACCUCUUCAUGUUGAAUCAUUGAGAAUAUAAUUUUUUUUAUUACUGAUUAAAUCUUUGGUGUCCUCGAAUUUAAUAAUUCCCAUAUUAUUGAGUUUAAGAACAAAUUUGUGGUUAUCUUCUAAUAUUGAGAUAAAUAUUAUGAAAUUUGGUUUCAAUAUAUUUUGUUAUUUUUUUUAAGAUUCGAAAAAUUCAGUUUUUAACAUUGUGCGUUUAGGCCGGCGACAGCCCAUUCCACUAUUGGCAACAACGUCGCUGGCCUAGGCCAUGGCUGCAUCAGAAGGAAUAACUACAACUGAAUCUCGAGGCAAAAGCAAAUAGGCUGCUUAACGGCUGCCAUGUAAGGCGUCAAAACAAAAAACAAAAAACAAAAAGGGGAGAGGUGUGGCACUUGGGCUAUGUGUAAACAAGCUGUGGCCACCAAUAGGGGGCGUAGCUAGCAUAGGACCGUGCCCCAGCCGGCUCUUAAAUUUUUUUUUUAUGGUUAUCUUAAAAAAAAUAUUUUUUAUUUAUUACUUAUAAAAAUGCCCCAAGUGAAUUACGAAAUUCUGAAAGUGCCACACAUAAUUUUAAAAAAAAAUUCAUGCUUCCCCUAACUUAAAUGUCUAAUUCUAAAUAGUUUGAUUAGCUAUUAUAAUUUCAUGAAAAUUAAUAAAGACAAGAAGAGAGCCGCCUUUAUAAAAUGAAAUCAAUUAAAAGAUCAAUUAAAACAAAAGAAAUCUAAACUUUACUUUUUCUUUCGUCUCUUUCGUGGAAUAAAGUGUAGACUCCAUAGCAGAUUAGGCGAUUAGCAGUGUGUGUCACCGUGUGCGUGGAUGUCUUCUCACUUUUCUUCAUUUGUAUAGUCUAAUGUUUUAAAAUUGUAAGUUUAUUAAUUCUAAUUUUUUAUUAUUUUUUGUUUUUUCAUUUUAAAAUCCCUAAUUUUAUUAUAUAUUCAUGUUUGAUUUUCGUGUUGCCAUAGAUGAAUAUUUUUGCCAUCAUUAAAAGAUUUAAGAACAAAUUAAGUUAUUAAGAUCAAUACACUGUACACAAAAUUUGUAAUCAAGAACCAUAAUAUUUUGUCUAGUUCUGUAAAAUGUAAUUUUCAUGUAUAUUUUUUUAUUUGUGUUGAAAUUUUUCUUUGAACGAUAAGUAUCAUACUUAUUCAAUAAAUAUAUUUCUUUGAACGCCAUUGAUAAAUAUUUAAGAAAGAAUUCAACAAUUACAACCUCACUAGGAAAAAUGAGUGGUAGUUCAAAAGAAAAAGUUAGACUUAAUUUGCACAAUCUUCCACAGGAUCUCGGUUUAUGAACGGCAAUUUUAAAGUAAGAUCCUAAUAUUCAAAACAAAGUUCGGAGAGCAUACUUGCAAAUGGAUCCUUUUCAACCUUAGAGCCAUGAUUUUCCUACUAGGUUGUUAGGAGAAAAAUCAGGAUGAUUUGUUCAGAGUUGGUUCGAUAAUUAUCCUGAUUGGUUAGAAUAUAACAUAGUAAAGGAUGCAAUUUUUUGUCUUUAAUGUUAUGUUUUCAUAGAAGAAAAUGGUAAUCAAGGGGGUGGUCCAUGCUUUACUAGUGAAGGUUUAGAAAUUGAAAGAAAAAAGAAAUGUUGAGACAACAUGUUAGUGGUGCAAAUAGUGCUCAUAACAUAGCAAGGCAUAGUUGUGAAUCAUUGACGAAUCAGAAGGCACAUGUUGCUACAUUUUUCUUUAACAACUCUAAAAAACUUUAAAGGGAGUAUCGCGUUUGUUUAACAGCUAUAAUUGAUUGCAUUCGAUUUCUUUUGAGACAAGGCUUUGCAUUCUGUGGUAAUAAUGAAUCUCAAAGUUCAAAUAAUAGAGGAAACUUUCUUGCUAAUCACAAUGAGAAAAUUAAAGGUGUUAUUUUCAACAAUGCUCCAACAAAUCUCCAAAUGACAUCUCCUAAUAUUCAAAAACAAAUUGUAAAUGAUUGUUCAUCUAAAACUUCUCGAGCUAUCAUUAAAGAAAUUGGUGACUCUUUAUUUUCUAUUAUGAUUGAUGAGUCAUGUGACAUAUCCACGAAAGAGCAAAUGGUAGUUGUGUUGUGUUACAUGGAUAAAACAGGACAUGUGAUUGAGCGUUUUAUUAGUAUUGAACAUGUUAUUGAUACCAAAGUUGUCUCUCUUAAAGCGUUACGUGACACACUAUUUGCUAGACAUAGAUUAAGCAUAUCUAGGUUGCGUGGGCAAGGAUAUGAUGGUGCUAAUAACAUGCAAGGUGAACUUAAUGGUUUGAAAAUACUCAUUCUGAAAGAGAAUAAAUCUGCUUAUUUCAUUCAUUGUUUUGCCCAUCAAUUAUAGUUGGCCUUUGUUUCUGUGGUAAAAAAGCACCAAGAAGUUAAUGAUUUGUUCAAUUUAGUUGCUAAAGUUAUUAAUAUUGUUGCAGCCUCAUCUAAACGAUUUGAUUUUCUUAGAGAAAAGCAUGCUAUUGCAGUUAUUGAAGCUCUUAAAACAAGCGAGCUUAAAAGUAGAUAAAGUAUGAAUCAAGAGAUUACUUUAAAUCGUUCUGGUGACACACGGUGGAGCUCACAUCACGGUACAUUAAUAAGCAUUGUUACUAUGUUCUCAUCCAUAAUUGAUGUGCUUGAGAUUAUUGCAAAUGAUGCAUCAAAUUCUGAGGAAAGAUUUGAAGCAAAUUCAACCUUGAAGUUCAGGCAAACAUUUGAUUUUGUGUUUACUUUAUACUUAAUGAAAAAUAUUCUUGGUUUUGCAAAUGAAUUGUCACAAGCAUUACAAAGGAAAGAUCAAGAUACUAUGAAUUCCAUGAAAUUAGUCAACAUUUGCAAACUAUGUCUACAAAGGAUAAGGGAACAUGGAUGGAAUUCUUUGCUUAGUCAAGUUUCUUCAUUUUGUGAGAAGCAUUUUAUUAGUGUUCCUAUCAUGGAAAAUAUAUUUCUAACUCCUAGAAAAUCAAGGCGCAGACCUCAAGAGAUCACAAAUAUGCACCAUUAUCACAUUGACCUAUUUUAUGCUAUUUUGGAAAUGUAGCUUCAAGAGUUAAACAGUCGUUUUAAUAAGGUAAACAAUGAAUUACUACUUUGCUUGGCUUGUUUAUGUCCAAAAGAUUCAUUUGCGGCUUUCAAUAAAGAAAUGUUAUUGCGCCUUGCUCAACUUUAUCCAAAAGAGUUUUCUCCAGUUAAUCUCAUUGCGCUAAAUACUCAACUUAAGUUUAUAUAAUGGAUAUGCAGUCUAGUGUUGGGUUUUCUGGAUUAAAUGGGAUUGGUGAUCUUGCACAAAAAAAAUGGUUGAGACUAACAAGCACAAAGUAUUUUCAUUAGUCUAUUUAUUAGUCACAUUAGCAUUAUUUUUACCAAUUGCCACUACCACUGUUGAAAGAGUUUUUUCAGCAAUGAAUUAUGUGAAGAAUCGACUACGAAGUCGAAUGGGAGAUGAAUGGUUGAAUGAUAACCUAGUUGUGUACAUUGAAAUAGAUGUAUUUGAUUGUAUUGAUAAUGAAACUAUUGUACAACAUUUUCAACACAUGAAAUCCCGUCGAGGAAUUCUCGAUUAGAACAAUUGUAAUAAGUAAAUUUAUUAUUAAUUUAUAUUAUAAUUGUGAUUUUAACUGUGCCCCAGCUCAAUUAAAUUCCUUGCUAUGUCCUUGGUCAUAGGUUGUGGCAGAUUGAGGAAAAUGGUGGUGAAAAAAAGAAAAAAAGGGACGCCUUCUGGCCAUCGGCAAGGCAAGAUUGGCUGCAGCAAAUUGUGAAAGGGGCGACCAUGGCUGCCUCACCAAGAAGAAGGAAAAAAGAAACAAUUAGGAUUAGGGUGGUUUAGGGUCCAGGUCUAGUUGACGCAACCGGUCUAACCCUAACCCAAUUAAGGCAAUUGGCUAGUUUAAGAUCCGGGUUGGUUUGGCCCGAUCUAGCCUGAUUCGAUCAAAGAUUGUCCCUUCAAUAAUUGACCAUUGACUGUAGACCAACUUUUAACUUAAUUUUUUUUUAAAGGGUAAUUUUAAUACAAUUUUAAAUAUAAAUAUUGGUAUGUUUAUAUAUUUUUUGAGAUAAAUUAAUUGAAGCAAUAUGUCACCAAAGUGACCUCUCUUAUGGAAAUUAAUUUAUUUUGAAAUAUAAACAGCUAUGUGCAUGUCAUUUUUGUGAAUAUCGUUUGGCUCAAAGUAAGGUCCAUAUUUGAGAGAAUUGUAUGUGCACCUGUGGUAAUAGACGCAUGAUGAUUAUUUGGUUUUACACGUGAAUAAUAAAUCAACUCAAAAGACACUUUAUUAUUUGACAUAUUCUUACAAUCAGUGUUUCAUUAUUGCACAACAUAUCACUUACAAGUUAAAAUUUUUUCUAAGGAUGAAAUAUUAAUGGAGUUCUAGUAUCUUGAGACGGGGUUUACCUUUAUUUGAAUUUAUUUUUGUUUUUAAGACUUAUAUAAGCUUGCAUUAAUUGUUUGUUGUUCUCUAUUCAGUUAUGACUUUUGCUACUAUUAAUGCCAACAUCAAUUCCUUUCCUAUUCUAAAUGACUCUAAUUUCAAUUCAUGGCAAGAGAACUUUUUAAUAGUUCUCGCAGUCAUGAAUCUCGACCUUGCGUUAAGGGUUGAUUCUCCCUCACCUCUUACGGAUGAGAGUACUCUUAAUGACAAAAGAAAAAUAUAAAGAUGGGAGAAAUCAAAUCACAUGUGUAUGAUGAUUAUGAAGAAGACAUACACUACAAAGAGAUUUUCUCUCUAGUUUCUUCAAAAGACUCUUUCAAGAUCAUAAUGGCAUUAGUGGGGUAUUCAAUCUUGAGUUACAUCAUAUGGAUGUAAAGAUAAUAUUUCUCAAUGGUGACAUUGAUGAGAUAAUCUAUAUUGUGCAAGCAAAAAAUUUUGUGUCAGAAGACACAAAGAAUAUAGAUUCCAAACUUAAGAAAUCCAUAUGUAAGCUUAAGCAAGCAUCUCGACAAUGGUAUUUUAAGUUUCAUCAAGUGAUCAUCUCAUUUGAUUUUGAUACGAAUUUGGUUGAUAAUUGCAUAUACUCAUAAGUUCUUUGGGAGUAAGUUUAAUUUUCUUGUUCUUUAUGUCGAUAACAUUUUGCUUGCCAACAACAAUAUAGACUUAAUAUACGACACCAAGAGAUUUUUAGCUAAGAAUUUUGAGAUGAAAAAUAUUGGUGACGCCUCUUUUGUACUAGGCAUACCGAUACACUAAGACCUCCCAUGGUAUUUUAGGACUAUCACAAAAGAGCUAUAUUGAAAAGGUUCUCAAGUGAUAUUGCAUGUAAGAUUGCAAACCAAGUGAUACUCAUGUGGCUAAAGGAGACAAGUUUAGACUGAAUCUAUAACACCUUAAAUUCACCCAAGAGUCUCAGAGAAUUUGGAAUGAAACCUCAUAACAUUAAUCUUAUUGUUAUUCCUAAAACAAAAUAGUUAUAGUCAAAACAUAAUAUCUAAAAUAAUAAAUAUAAUAAUAAUCCUCCAAAACAAAAAUUUAGCUCUAAACAAUAACCAAAGUAACAACAAUUUAUUCAUCUAGAAAACGCUAAAGUUUCUCAGGUAACAAAUCUUCUUCUCUAGACCAAAAAGUCCACAUCUCUAAAAUCAAUUUGCAAAUAUAUUGGAGACGAGUGAUGAAUUGUCAACUUGGUAAGUAAAAUUAUGCAUAAUAGUACUAAUAACGAUAAAAUACAUAAUAAUCACUAUGAAGUACCAUAAGUUAGAAACCAGUAAAUAUUUUAUAAUCUAAUACAUAUAUAUGGUAAAAAAAAUAAUCAGUUAAGUCAUAAUGCAAUAAUCAUUUUUAAUAAAUAAUCAUUUAGGAAAUCAUUUAUCAAUAAAACCUUUCAUUUGUUCAAUUCCUCAUGUCAUAUAGUGUCACAUGUACUCCCGGUAACCUGACCAAUAGUUCAGUAAGUCACCUGUGACCCCGACGAUCCAAUCAGUAGUUCAAUAAAUCACAUGUAACCCUGAUGACUCGGUCAGUAGUUCAAUUAGGGUACAUUACCCUCUAUAAUCAUCAAUACAUGCGCACAAAAUAACUAGUUGUUCAGUUAUAUCAGUAAUGAUAACUACAGACAAAGAGCCAAGACCUUAAAUAUUGUUUUCAAUCUUUCAAUAUCAAUCAUUCAGUAAUAUUUUGGUAAAAUGCUCUUAUAAGACAUUGAAUUGGAAGAGUUUUACAAAUAUUUUUAACGAAAACAAUUUAUGGCAAGACAAUUACUUUAAAGUCAUUUUUAAAACAAUUUAAGAAAAUAUUUUAAAUAAGGUUCUGAUGAAAAUAUAAUUUAUUAUUAUAAAUUAUAAGAGUAAAAUAACUUCAAAACCAUAAAAUGACAAUCCAUAUUAACAACAUCACUCUUUUCAUAGAUAUUUACAUAUAUAACCAUGAUAAACAUUAUGCUUGGAUUUACUUACUUCGAUGCGAUGUAAUCAACAAUAAUACCAAUCACACAAGCCCACUCUUGACGUAUAAUUAACAAGAUAAGAUUCUUAUCAAUAUUUUUUUUCAAUUCUAACCUUGAUGAGAAAACCCAAAAAUAUUUACUCUUAUUUAAACAAAUCAAUUCACUAAACUACACUAGACUAUCUUAUAGGAGCUGAUUUCUAAAAAGCUAUAGUUAUAUCAGGAAAAUCACAAAUACUACAAAAAAAACUACUAUGAACAUGUUGUCAUUUCAUAUAAAAGUUAACCAAAUUAAUUAGAGUUAAUGAACAUCUUUGAAAACUGAUUUUUUGCAAAAACAUCAAAACUGUCCAGUAGUGAAAAAAACAGAGGACUGCCAAUUCAAAAAUUCAUAACUUUAGUCAUACAUGGUCAAAAUAGUGAUUCAAGAUUUGAUGAUUAGAGUUAAAGAAUCAGAAUUAAAAUUUGUAAGGCAUUUACUGAUGAAAAAGUAACCCAAACUCGCUUUAAUAUCAACCCUCGCAAUUCUAGAAGGCAAUUUCCAAGAUUACGUCAGCCCAACUCUAUGAUUAUUAAUGAUUUUUAUAUAAAACUAAAUAUUAUGAAUUUAAAUGUACAGAAAUAUACAUAUAUACAUACAAUAAUAAAAAUUCUCAGAAUUUUCAGAGGUCAUUUGAGUUAUCAACUAAAUUAUAGAAGUGAGAAUUGCUAUUGAAAAUCAGAAUUUUCUAAUACUAGUGUUCCAAUUUCGAAAAAUCAAAACAAUUAAUAUACAAUGAGUUUUUGAACAAUAAACAUACAGAUAGAAAGAUAAAGAUGUCUACUUUAAUAAAUUAUAGAGUUUUAUGCAUGAAACUUAUUGAAAAUAGAAGUAGUGUAGCAUUAAAUCUAUACUAUUUAAAAUUUUCAAGAUAACAUAAUAGCACUACUUUCAAUUAAUAACAACAUAAAUCAAUAUAUGAUCAUGCUUUCAUAAUUUUAUAAAUAUAACACACAUAAAAUUAUUCAAUCAAUCACAUAAAAUCAAAAUCAAACAAGAAGUUUAAGAGAUUAUAAAUUCUUACCUACCUUAAAAAGAAUCAAAACUCAAUAACUUCUUUUAUAGAAAAGGAAAAAUAUAAUAAAAAUCUUCUCCUCUUUUUUUUAAAAAACGUAAGUUUAUUCCUGUGUGUGUUAUUCUUCUUUUUUUGCUUUUUUAUUAGCCUCUAGGAUUUUGAGAAACAAAGCAAGUAAGAGGAGUUUUUUUUUUUUUUUAUAAAACCAAGCCUUUUAAUACCCUUACCAAUUAAGGAAUUUAUUUCCUUUUUUAAUAAGGUAUUUGAUAGAUUGGUAAAUCAAAUAAAUACAAAUAAAUAAAGAAAAAUUAAAACACUCUUAAAAUCCUCAUCCUAAAAUACUAUAUUCUAUAAAAUAGAUAUAUAAUAAUAAUAAUAAUAAUAAUAAAACAAAAAUAACGGAUGUUACAAUUUCUCCCCCCCCCCCCUUAAAAGAAAUUUCGUCCUUGAAAUUUAAGACUCCACCUUAUUUCUCCAAAUGUUGAUGGUAGUUCUCCUUAAUCUCUGCCUCUCAUUCUCAUGCAGCUUUCCUCUAUAGAAUGAUUCGCCUAGUGAACAUUCACUAAACAUAUGACUUUUCUUCUUAAAACUUGUUUCUUCCUGUCUAGGAUCCCCAACGGUUGCUCCUCAUAUGACAUAUCAUUUGAGAUUUGGAUAGGUAAGUAAUCCAAGACGUGAGAAGAAUCAACCAUGUACUUUUUGAACAUUGACACAUGAAAUACAUUGUGAAGUCUUGAAAGGUUCGGUGGCAAAGCCACUCAAUAUGUCAUUGUGCCAAUUCUCUUCAGAAUCUCAAGAGGCCCAAUAAACCUAACGCUAAAUUUACCUCUCCUCCUAAAACAGAAAACUCAUUUCCAAGAUGAGACUUUCAAGAAAACAUAAUCCCCAACUUGGAACUCCAGAUCACGUCUACAUUAAUUAGCAUAAAUCUUCUGCCUACUUUGUGCUAUACCCAACCGGUCUUUAAUGCUUAGGAAUGACAAAAGGUCGGGUCGAGCUCGGGGUUGGCCAAGCCCAACCUGACCAGAUAAAAAAAAAAUUAAAACUCGACCCUAAAAAAAACCUAAACACUUUAUAGUUAGGGUCGGGUUGGGCCCGACCCGAAUCGGGUUAAGAUCGGGUUGGCCCAACCCAACCCUACCGAAAUAGUUAACCCCACAAUUCAAUUCCCACAACUAUUUCAACCAAUUUAGCAAUUCCUCAACCAUUUUAAAUACAAAUCAAUUCCACUUUCCACAACCAUUUCAACCAAUUCCACAACAAUUUCAAACAAAAUUCAAUUCCACAACCAUUUCAACCAAUUCCACAACCAUUUCAAACACAAUUCAAUUCCACAACCAUUUCAACCCCACACAUAAAUCAAUUCCAAAAUCCAACAUGAAAAACACACAAUGUAAUUCCACAAUCAUUUUAACCAUACACAAUUCAAUUCAACAACCCAACAUAAAAAAAAAAAGAAAAAGAAAAAGAAAAAAAACUCAUGUCUUAUACAAAUAAAAACACACAAUUUAGUUCCACAACCCAACAUUAAAAAAAAUGUCUUACACAAAUAAAAGCUCAUAAUUCAAUUCCACAACCAAACAUUUUUUUUUAAAAAGAACUACUCCAACACUUCGGGCCAUUUCAUCUUCAUCCACAAAUUCCUCUCCACUAAAAAUUUCACUUUCGAGAAUUUUACCUAUAAAAAGAAAAGAAAAAGAAAGUGAGAAUAAUUUAAGUUUAUAAAAUUAUUACUAAACCAAUUAUUUAAAUAUUUUGUACAUUAUUUGUAUUCAUACCUUUGGAGUUUGCCCAUAGCCAAUGUUGAGUGCACAUAAGCGCUUCCAAUGUCGUAGGAUGAAGUCUACUCCGAUGUGGAGUCAAUACUCUACCUUCAGUGCUAAACGCAGAUUCAAAGGCAACGGUUGUCACGGGAACAGCUAAGAUAUCCUUGGCCAUUUGAGCCAAAAUAGGGUAUUUGCCUUGGUUCACCUUCCACCAAUUCAAAAUAUCAAAGUUCGGAGUGGAUUUGAUUAAAGGCUCUUCUAAAUACCUCUCAAGGUCAGACUUCAAUACCAUGGUCUCACCAUUUUGGCUUGCAAAUGUCUCAAACUUACUUAUAUAAAAAAAAUUUACGGCUAGUUCCUACAGUAAAAUUAAACGAACAUUGACCAAAAAAGAUUCACCAACAACCGCAUCACUCACAUUCCUAUUCUUACCUUCAUAAAACAUAACCAAAUCGUUUCUUAAAUUGCGUACCCUUUAAAUCUCAUUUGCAGUACCCUCACCAUAAAUUUGUGGAAAAUAAUAAUUAACCAAUUGCAUCUUAACCUCAGAUAAAGAAUAAUUGCCAUCACCAAAAUCCCAUGAAUUUGGGCCCAAUAUUUAUCAAAUUUCAUAAUAAUUUGACCAGCCAUUUCUCUAACCACAGGCACAUCAGAAAGUUCCCAUUCAUCCAAAUUAAUCCUCAUUUCACAUAUCAUUGGAAAAAAAGAUUAGGUGUGGGAUAUUGCGUACCUGAAAAUAACUCUGUCAUCGAGUAAAACGACAGCAAAUAUUCCAACAUCUUUUCAUCCAUCUCUCAUUCCUCAUCUGUUGGCAAAGAGGUGUAGUGUUUAUCGCGCUAUUGCAGUCUAGAAAAGACUGUUUUAUAUUUCACAGCAACAUCAAGCAUAACAUAUGUAGAAUUCCAUUUAGUUACACAAUCAAGUACCAACUUUUUCUCACACUUAACUUGUAAUUUCCGCGCAGCCAUCUCAAAAGUUUCUACCCUCUUUGGUGUGCCCGUCCAAUAAGACACACUAUCCCUAAUCUUUUUAAUCCACUCCUCAAUCACUUUCAUCCCCUCCUUCACAAUUAGGUUUAAAAUAUAAGUCACACACCUCAUAUGAAAAAAAUCCCCACCCAUUAGCAUAGAAUCAACUGGAAUCAAUCCUAUCAACCUAUCAACCAUAGCAUCAUUUGUAGAGCAAUUAUCUAAAGUUACAACCGUUAUCCUUUUACCACAUUCCAAUCCAACAUACAUUUAAAAAAUGCUUCAGAAAGAAAUUCAGCAGUAUGUGGAGCCAACAAAUAUAUGAACCUAUUCAUUACCAAAACAACUAAAUUUUAGAAUUAAUUAAAUUGAAUUAGAAAUAAGUAAACAUAAUAUUGACUUUGCUAAUAUAUGAACCUAUUCAUCACCAAAAAUCUAAAAUUUAUAAUUAAUUAAAUUGAAUUAAAAUAAAUAUCAAUUAAUAAGAAAAGUACCUUAAAAUUUGACUUUGUAACCGCCAAGACUUGUCCACAAAAUGUCUCGUAACAACCAUGUACCCCUUCUUUUUAUUACUCGCAGUCCACAUAUUUGUAGUAAUUGCCACCCUACUAUCAUUAUUCUCCAACAAAGCCAUUGCUUUUGCCUUUUCAGCUUGAUACAAUUUAAGAAUCUCACUCUUUAAAGUGUUUCUACUCAAAUUAUUCACCAAAGGGUUGACAUAAGACAUCAAAUCCCUAAAUGCCUCAUAUUCCACAAAAUUAAGUAGUAGCUCAUGCUUUACAACCAAGGUUGCUAUCUUUUGCCGAGAAACAAUUGGAUCAAAUUCUCUCGUCUCAAUACAAAUUGUUCCAUCAUCUUUCCUCGUCACGCUAAGAGUUUUUUGUAAGCUAUCAAGAAUUGAGGCAACACCCUUUGCCUUACAUGAUCUUUUCAAAUGUCUAUCCAAAUGUGAGGUUCCAUUAUGACCAGAUGCUACCAACUUAGCUUGACAAUGAUUACAUUUCGCCUUCAAUUCACCAUUAAUGGUUACCUUGGUAAAGUGUCCCCAAACAUAAGAAGGUUUUCGCACACCUCGCUUUUUUUUAUUACUACUUUGUUUUACCCCAUCAUCACCACAGGAUGCUUCUUCAACUCCUUCAACUUCUUGGACCCCUUCAAGAGGAAUGGCAUCAUUUCUAUUCUCUUCGCCAACAUGAGAAUCCUCACGUGAAUUUAACAUAAUGACCUAAAUUAAAUGUGUAACAAGUUGCAAUUAAUUUAUCGACUUAAAAUAUGAUUGAACUUAUAAAUUUUAAGUUAAUUUUAUAAACUCAAAAUAUGAUUAAACUUAAUUUACAAUUACAACAUAAUAAUUAAUAUUUACAAUCUUAUAUAAGGCUAUAUUUAGCUAAAAUAUAAUAUCUAUAGUACUACAUAAUCAUUAUGAAUAUAAUUAGCUAAAAUUAUAAAUAAAUUUAUAAGCUUAAAUAAAAAAAUUAAUUAAUAUUUAUGAAAUUAUAAACUUAAGAUAUAAUUAAAGUUCAUUUACAAUCAUAACAUAAUAAUUAAAAAAACCUUAUAUAUAGCCUUAUAUGUAGCCACAAUAUAAAUUUACAGCAACUACAUAAUGAAUGAAUUAAUUAACAUGAAUAUAUUUAGAUAAAAUUAUUAAAUUAUAGAUUCAAUUAUAAGCUUAAGUGAAAAACAUUAAUUAAUAUUUAUGAAAUUAAAAUUACCAAAGCUAAAUAGCUAAUGCCGACGGCAGAACGUGUGCAUGGCAGCUAAACGUGUACGUUGGCCGUUGGCUGGCAAGCGGACGCGGUAGGACGGCAACAGAGGGCGGCUGGUUCACUUUGCGGCGUCGCAUAGCUGAUUGCGGCUGGAGUUGGAGCAAGCUACAGGCAGCACCCGACAGUGAGAAAAAUGGUUGAUUGGCUGGCGUUCAGCUGACUUAGGGUUUUUGUGAAUUUGUGUAAGUGUAUAUGGUGUGUGUGAUUUACGGUUUAGACUGAAGUGUGCGUGUGUGAUUUGUCAUAUGUGUUGUGUGUGUAUGUCAUGCAGAUGAGAUAUGUGUUGUGGGCGUGUGUGAUGUUGUGAUGUAUGCGUGUGUUAACUUGUGUUAGUUUUUUUUUUUUAAAUAGGGUGGGGUUGGGUCGGGUCGGGUCGGCUUUAAGCCCGACCCUGACCCGAACUUUGUUCGGGGCUUAAAAUUUUGGCCCGAACCCAACCCGAAACCCAAAAAUUCGGGUCAAAACCCUAAAAAUUAAGGUUGGGUCAGUCGGGGGAAAAAUAAGGUUAGACUAAAUUGCCAAGCCUAUUAAUGCUCUAUCUUCACUUGCUGACAUACCAAGCAUUUCAAAGCAUAAUUAGCAAUAUCACUCUCAUAUUCCUCCACCAAAAAAUUUUUCCUUCAAGUUUCGACACAUUUUAAUGCUUCCAAGAUGAACAUUAAAACUUGAGUCAUGGCCCUCUUGCAUAAUAUCUCUUUUUAGCUCAUCCUUUGUUGGUACACAAAGUCUCUAUCCAAAUAACAAAAUACCGUUCUUAUCAAGUCUGAACUCAUAAUAUCUAGCCUUCACUCCUUAAAUUUAUUUUUGAAUUAUGGAUCCUCACUAUAUGCGACCUUAAUUAUAUCAAUCCAGGCAAGUGGAACCUUCAAAUGAGAUAAAACCUCAGUUUGCCCGUGUGAAACAACUUCAAUACUUCUUCAAAUCCUCUAGUAUGUGACCUUGAGCAGUAAUCAUACAUGCCAAGCAACCCGAUGACUUUCUACUAAGAGCAUCAGCCACUGUAUUCGCCUUACCAAGAUGAUAAUUAAUCAAACAAUUAUAAUCUUUCACCAUAUCUAAUCAUCCCUUUUGCCUUAAGUUUAAUUCUUUAUGGGUGAACAAGUAUUUCAAACUCUUGUGAUUUGUAUAGAUUUCGCAAGUUUCAUGAUAAAGAUAAUGUCUUCUAUCACUAAGGCAAAGACUACAACUGCUAACUUAAGUCAUGAGUGCAAUAAUUCUGCACAUAACUCUUUAAUUGUCAUGAUCAAUAUGCAACUACUUUACCAUAAUGCAUUAAUACGUAUCUUAGUCCCUUUCUAGAAGCAUCACUAUAAAUGACAUAGCCACCACCAUUAGAAGGAACUGUCAAAAUAGGAGUAAAAACUAAUUUAUUUUUUAAUUCUUUGAAACUCUUCUAGCAUUCAUCACUCCAUUCAAUCUUGAUGUUCUUCCUAGUCAACUUUAAUAAUGGAGUUGUAAGACUAGAUAAUCCAUUCACGAAUCGCCUGUAAUAGCCAGCCAAACCCAGAAAACUUCUAAUCAUAAUAACAUUAAAUGGUUUUGGCCAAUUUACAAUGACCUCAACCUUGGAUGGAUCAACAGAUAAGCCCUCCUUAGUAACAACAUGCCCCAAAAAACUCACACUUCUUGAACUUCGUACAGAGUUUUAGUUGAGCCAAAACUCACACUUUUUGAACUUCGUAUAGAGUUUCCCUUCUUGGAGUGUUUGAAAAACCACAUUUAAAUGUUCCUCAUGUUCCUCCAUGGUUUUAGAGUACACCAAAAUGUCAUCGAUGAAAACAUUGACAAAUCAAUUAACGAAAAGUUAGAAGACUCUAUUCAUCAAAUCCAUAAAAGCUGCUGGAGCAUUGGUUAAUCAAAAGGCAUCAUAAGGAAUUCAUAAUGCCUAUAUCAUGUUCGAAACGCUGUAACACGUCCUCAUUUUUCACUUUCAGCUGAUGAUACAUAGACCAUAAAUAAAUUUUAGAGAAUACUACUGCACCUACUAGUUGAUCAAAAAAAUCAUCAAUGUGAAGAAAUGAAUAUUUGUUCUUGAUGGAAACCAAAUUCAAUUGUCGGUAGCCAUUGCAUAACCACAUAGAUGAAAUGCUAGUUAUGCAACCCAAGAGAGGGGUGAAUUGGGAUUUUAAAACUUAAGCUAAACAAAUCGUACAAUAAUUCAAUUUAUUGCCUUAAUGAAAUAAAAAAUAAUAAAUUUAAUAAAGCACAAUAAUAAAAGAGUAAGGGAAGAGAGAGCAAACACAAUGAGUUUUACGUGGUUCGGCAAUCCCCGCCUACGUCCACAUCUUCAAGCAAACCAAGCUUGAGGAUUUCACUGUCCAAGCCUCCCAAGACUUCAAAUGCUUACAAUUGACUUCCAAGGUAUUAAUGGACUUUUACAACAAAGAGAUUAUCUCUCAAUCUCUUCACCCAAGUGUUUCUCAUACUUAUACACUCACAGAUUUGAUAAGAAAAUAAAGAUUACAAUAAAAACUCUUUUUAAAGUGAAUAUACAAAUAAAAGCUCAAUGAAAAUUUAAUCUAAGAUGAUUUACGAAAUGGAAGCUCAAUAUAUGUUGUAUGCUUUUAUUUUUACUUGCAAGAGGUUCUAAAAAUGAAUUGAAUUUGAGUUUAUAUAGUUUCAGCCCAAAAACUAGUUGUUAUAGACUUUCUGGUGAUAACUGACUUGCCGCUUUGUGAAUCCGGCUUGCUGCUUUAUGUUACCGUUAUAUUUAAAGAUUUGAAAUUUUGCACAUCCAGCAUGCCGGCUUUCAUUUCCGGUAGGCCGCUUUUAUUCCAGAGAGCUUCUAUCCAUAACCAGUUUGCCACUUGAUAAAUCCGGCUAGCCGCUUGCUAAAGUGAAACAAUUAUUUUUUAAAAUUAUUGUUUUACCCCCAAACUUUAUAAAAUUAUACUAUGACCCAAAUGUCAUAAAAAUUUAUAAAAAGUUCCAAUUUUAGAAUUUCUAAAUAAUGCUUGCCGUUCCCAAAACUUACUAAAAUUAUGAGAUAGCGCAGAAUUUAUAGAAAUUAUGGUAUAGUGCAAAACGUUUCAAAUAGUUACAAAUAGAUGCAAAUCCAGAGUUCAAAACAAUACUUAUUAAAAUCAAAGAUGACAAAUUUUUUUCAUUUUAGUUCAUAUCUUGAAAAAUAACUAAUUUCAUAAAAUUAUUCUCUUGUUAUAAAAACAUAAUGUUUAAUUUUUUGUUUAGUCAAAACAUGUGAUUUAUUAUAAUCAAAAUCAACAUUUUAUAGCCAUAUAGGCUAAUAAUAGAACCAUUUUUUUUUGUAAACAAUAUCAGAGCUCCCAAAAGAGAUAAAUUAGGGCGAAUAAAAACUUUAUGAACAACUUUCUGUAGUUGAACCUUUAAUUCCUUCAACUCAAGAGGUGCCAUAUGGUAAGGUGCUUUGGAGAUACGUGCAGUGCCAGGCAAUAAAUUAAUAGAAAAUUCAAUUUCUUGAUCAGGAGGCAAAUUAGGCAAAUCCUCAGGAAAUACAUCUAAAAAUUCCCUAACCACUUGAUAUCCCGAAGGGAAGCUUCACUAUUAUUAUCAGUCAAACUUCACUAUUAUUAUCGGUCACUACAUACGGUAAAAAGCCCUCACAUCCUUUUGCUAAUAUCUUGUUAGCCUUAAGUACAAAUAUUAGCCCCUCAUAAUUUUUUUGGUUGCCUCUAAACUGAAAUUCUAUAUCUCCAAAAUUUUAAAUACAAUCUCCUUUGAGAAAUACUCAACACUAGCAUGAUAGGUUACUAAUCAAUCCAUUAUCGAAAUAACAUCUGCAUUGUCAGGUUAGCAUUUUGAGCCAUUUCAUGAAGGGUGGGGCUUUCCUCUUAAUUACUCCCUGCAGAUUACUCGUCUCAACCUCAACCACCACCGUAAUACAUUAGGCAGUACCAGGAUCAACCCUAAUCCAAGGACCAAUUACCCUUGAGCUACUCUAUCACUCCCGUGUGGUAGGGUUCAACUACUAUCGUUGCUAGGAGACAUUAUCUUGUUGGUCAUUAAGCAUAUACAUGUAGAAAAAUUGAAUAUUGCAUUUCUUUCAAAUUACAGAUAAGAUCAUCUACCUAUACACAUAUGAAUAAAUCAAUAACUUGAAAGUCAAACUCUUUAACAAGAGCAAAAAUGUGAAACAUUGAAAUGAUUCAUACAAUUCAAUCAGUGAAAAUAAAUUUUCGGACAUACCUAUAAUCAACCCCAUAUUUUACCUAUCAUAAAUCGCUACAUUCCUAAAAGUGUGCAAGACCUCUAUAGGAUUUCAAUCUUAAGCUAUUGGUCAUUGACCUUAAAUGUCUACAAAAUCUUAUAACCAUUUUCUUUGAUACCAAAACUAUAACACUCCAAAUUCACCUAAGAAUUUCAAGAGAAAUUUAGAACGAAACCUCCUAACAUUAAUCUUAUUGCUAUUCCUAAACGAAAAUAGCUAUAGUCGAAACAUAGUCUCUAAAAUAAUAAAUAUAACAAUAAUUCUCUAAAACAAAAUUCAAGUCUAAACAAUAACCAAAGUAGCAACAACUUAUUCAUUUAGAAAACGCCAAAGUUUCUGACCUAACAAAUCCUCUUCUUUAGACCCAAAAACCCACAUCUCUAAAAUCAAUCUGCAAAAUGUUGGAGAUGAAGAGUGAGCUGUCAAUUCGAUAAGCAAACUCAUGCAUAAGGUUACUAAUAACGAUAAAAUACAAAACAAUCAUUAUAAAGUACCAUAAGUUAGAACCUAGUAAACAUUUAUAACCUAAUACAUAUGUACGGUAAAACUCAUAAUUAGUUAAAUCAUAAUGUAAUAAUCAUUUUUAAUAAAUAAUCAUUUAGGAAAUCAUUUAUCAAUAAAACCAUUCAUUUAUUCAAUUGCUCAUGCCAUAUAAUGUCGCCUAUACUUCUGGUGACCCAGCCAGUGGUUCAGUAAGUCACCUGUAACCCCAGUGACCCGGUAUUAGUUUAGUAAGUCACCUGUAACCCCGAUGACUUGGUUAGUAGUUCAAUCAGGGUACGUUACCCAACUAUAAUCAUCAAUAUGUGCACAAAAUAUAGCUAAUGUUCGGUUAUAUCAGUAACAGUAACUACGGUCAAUGAGCCAAAAUCUUAAAUACAGUUUCAAUCUUUCAAUAUCAAUCAUUCAGUAAUAUUAUGAUAAAAUACUCUUAUAAGACAUUGAAUUGGAAAGCUUAACAAAUAUUUUUAAGGAAACCAAUUUAUGGAAAGACAAUUAUUUUAAAGUCAUUUUUUAAAUAGUUUAAGAAAAUAUUUUAAAUAAAGUUUUAAUCAAAAAAUUAUUUAUUAUCAUAAAAUAUAAGAGUAAAAUAACUUCAAAACCAUAAAAUGUCAAUUUAUAUGAACAACAUUAUUCUUUUCUAGAUAUUUACAUAUAUAACUAUAAUUAACAUCAUGUAUGAGUUCACUUAACUCAAUACAAAGCAAUCAACAAUAACCUCAAUCACACGAGCUCGCUCUUGGCCUAUAAUUAUCAAGAUAAGAUUCUUAUCAAUAAUUGUUUUUUUUCAAUUUUGACCUUGAUAAGAAAGCCAAAAUAUCCUUAAACCAUUUACUCUUACUAAAGCACAUCAAUUCACUAAACUACACUCGACCGUCUUAUAGGAGUUGAUUUCUAACAAGCUAUAAUUAUGUUAGAAAAAUCAGAAAUAUUACAAAAAACUAUUGUGAACAUGUUUGCAUUGAAUAUAAAAGUUAAAUUUAUAAGGCGUUCACUAUGAAAAAGUAACCCAAACUCGCUUCAAUAUCAACCCUCGCAAUUCUAGAAAACAAUUUCCAAGAUUGUGGCAGCCUAGCUCUAUGAUUUUUAAAUUAUUUUUAUAUAAAGCCGUAUAUAUAUAUAUGUGUGUGUGUGUGUGUAAAAUGAAAAACAUUCCUAGAAUUUUUAGAAAUCGUUUGAGUUACCAAAUAAAUUAUAGUAACAAGAACUACUACUGAAAAUUGGAAUUUUCCAACACUAGUGUUCUAAUUUUGAAAAAUCAAAACAAUUAAUAUACAAUGAGUUUUGAAUGAUAAACAUUUAAAUAGAAAGAUAAAGAUGUCUAGUUUAAUAAAUUAUAAAAUUUCAUGCAUGAGACUUAAUGAAAACAGUAGUCAUAUAACAUUGAAUCUCUAUUGUUCACUGUUUUCAAGAUAAAAUAAUAGCACCACUUUCACUCAAUAACAACAUAAAUCAAUAGAUGAUCAUGCUUUCACCAUUUUAUCAAUAUAAUACACACAAAAUCAUUCAAUCAAUCACAUAAAAUCACAAAUAAAACCAAAAGGCUAAAUGAUUAUAAAUUCUUACCUACCUUCAAAACAAAAUUGAAACUCAAUAAUUUCUUUAUGGAAAAGAAAAAAACCAAUCAAAAUCUACUUCUCUUCUUAAAAAAAAGAACAUAAGUUUACUCUUGUGUGUGCUGCUGUAUUCUUUUUUUUUUUUCAUUAGCCUCUAGGAUUUUGAGAAACAAACGCAAGAGGAGCUUUUAUAAAGCCAAGCCUUUUAACAUCCUUACAUAUUUAGGAAUUUAUUUCCUUUUUUUAAUAAGGUAUUUAAUAAAUUGGUAAAUCAAAUAAAUAAAGAAAAAAUAAAACACACUUAAAAAUCAUUAGCCUAAAAUACUAUAUUUCUAAAAUAGAUAUAAUAAUAAUAAUAAUAUAAAUAAAUAAAUAAAUAAAACAAAAUAAUGGAUGUUACACAAUUAGUGCCCUAAUGAUGAUUUUAAGGAAUAAUAAAUGCAGAAGAUUCCUUAUACAUCAGUAGUAGAAAGUCUGAUGUAUGCUUAGAUUUGUAUACAACUGAAUAUUGCAUACAUUACUGGAAUGUUGGAUAGACAUUUAAGUAAUCCAGGGGUAAACUAUUGGGAAAUACCCAAACGGGUCUUGCAAUAUUUACAGAGAACAAAAGACUACAUGUGCACGUAUCGUAAGUUAGAUCAGCUUGAGAUCGUUGGAUAUACUAACUCUGAUUUUGUUAGAUCCCAAGAUAAUAUGAAAUCUACUUUUGGUUACAUCUAUCUACUAGAUAGGGGUGUUGUUUCCUAGAAGAGUGCUAAACAGUCUCUUAUAACCUUUUCUACUAUAGCACCGGAGUUCAUAGCUUGUUACGAAACAUCCAUUCACGAAAUAUGGCUACGAAAUUUCGUCACAGAGUUACACAUUUUAAAUGGAUAGACCACUUAAGCUAUUUUCUGACAAUAAGUCAGUAGUUCUAUAUUCCAAUAACAAUAAGAGUUCGACGAUGUCACAGUAUAUAGACAUCAAGUUUCUAAGGAAUUUAGAGUGGACAAUUGUCUAUAAAGUAUAAUAGUACAAACUCCAUGAUUACAGAUCCGUUCACUAAGGGAAUGCCAUUUAAAAUGUUUCAUGAGCGCAUUGUUCAUAUGGGUAUCGUGUCAUUUAAGGAUAUUCAUUUUUAAUGGGAGUUUGUAACUUUUAAAUGCUUUUAUGAUAUAAACAUUUUUCGGUUUAGGGAUAUUUAAGGGUUAUUUUAUGUAGAAAUAAAAUUUUAGUUUAUUCACACUCUAAUUUUGUAUGAUUUGAUCUCAUUAAAGUUUAAGGUGGAUCAAUUGGAAAUAGGCAUGUUAAGAUCACAUUACAUGAAAUUUUCAUCCUACACACCCAUAUCAUGAUCUAUGCCAUUCAGUCAUAUUGGCAUAGUGAGCAUUGAUGGGUCAAGUUACGAUAUUUGUAACAAGGGCCGUUUUGAUCCUAUGUUGGUAUGAUUGAUGGACCGAAUUGGCUAUAGAUGCAUUUUGGUAACGACAGUAAAGUUGAGCUCAUAUGAUUAUUUUUGUAAAGUAUAAUUAUAAAGUUACAUAUAUAGCCCAAGUGAGAGGUUGUUGGAUCUUUAAUCUAGCAUUGUUGGAUCCUUUAUCCAAUGUUGGGCUUAUAUGUGAAUAAUUUUAUGUUGUUAAUUGUCAUAUAAGAUUAAGCCAAAUUAAAAUUUAUCUAAAGGUUUACGUAAUUUGGGCUUUAAUGUAUCUAAUAGAUUAUGGGCCUUUAAUGUAUAGAGACUUAAGACUAAUUUCGAUUUUUAUGAUGGGUUGAAAUAAGAAUACCUAAAAACAAAAGGAAAAUCCAUCUAUAUAAGUAGUCAUUGUCCCUAGGUCACACAUAUCGUUCUAUUCUCUAUUGACAUCUCAUCAUUAGAGAGAGUGUAUAAAGAAGUUUCAAGGAUUCUCUAGGAGAACCUGUUGAUUUGGAAGACAAACUACUCGACUCUAGAGAGCAAUUGUGCAUUAUGAACUUAGGUACACUGUCGCAUAUUUUGUUAUUAAUUCUUGGUGAUACAACAUACAUGUUCCUAAAUUUAGGUGAUGAUUUUCACCAAAGAAUUUAUUGUUCUUACACUUAUUACUUAUUUUUAAUUCCACACACAAUUGUAAUAGCAAGGUCCCCCACGGUUUUUGUACUACACUCCUUAGUUAUCCAAAAUGAACUUAUACUAAUCUUGAAUAUGUUCAAUUCUCAAGGCAUCCAGAUGAGAUUUUCCCCUAAGCUUACGAGCACACAGAUUCCCGAAGUAUUCUUCAACUGUCACUCUUUUAAACAAUGGAGGAGUGUUUUCAGAGACCAAAUUGGACGCAGGGUACAUUUCACCAUCAUAUCUCACUGAGUAAAUUGUGCCAAUGGAAAGUCUUCCUUUGUACAGAGUUUACAAUUACACGAUGCUCAAUGCUACGGUAUGUCCCAUUGGAUAUAAUAUGCCAUGUAAAAAUUAUUAAAGCACAUAAGCAGGCGCAUAUAAAUGCCAAGUUAAGUAAUUUACUAUAAUUAUUACCUCCAAUGAGUCUCCAAUGUCGACAAUGAAAGCAUUAGGAAGUGGAGCAACAGGAAUUAAUGAAAGCACACAUUAGCUAGCUCAUAUGAAUGUCAAGUCAAAACAACUUAUCAUAAUAAUUACCUCCAACACAUUUCCAACGUUGACAACGAAAGCAUUUGGGAAAGGUGUAAUAUGAAUCCACUUUCCAUCCUUCUUGAUCUGGAGACCUUCUACUUCAUUGAUUUCCAACAGAAUUGCAAGUGCAGAGUCAUCAGAAUGAGUUGAGAGGCCCACAACCUUCUCCGGCUAAGGACAUGGAGGGUAAUAGUUCAUCCCCAUUGAUUGGAAACCAUUUUCAAAGUAUUCUCUCAAUUCUUCAUCUUUGAUAUUUAAAACUUUUCCCAUUUUCGAUACCAGGUUCAUGGCCAGAGAGUUUUAACUCCACUGAAUAAAUUCCAAGAUUUCCUAUAAGAAAAAAGAAGACGCAAUUAGAAGGUUUAGUAUAUGAUUGUGGUGGAUUGUUAAAUAAGUUAUUAUUUAGCAGUAUUCUUUCAAAAUCAUAAGUGGUUGUCAAAUUUUACUAGAUAUAACUGACUUGGGAUCUUUCUCUGAACAUAAUACAUUUGCAAUCAUCAAAUAACUGACUAGAGAGAGAGAAAGAGAAACCUGAGGGGUAAAGAGGGAGCUUAGGAAACAAGUGGGGUUUCCUCAGAUGAAUUGGAAGAGUAGUCAUGAAGAAAAUGUCAAUCCAAUCAACCUUUUGUUCCUCGGAUAUAACAAAUGCUUGUCCAAAUCCUUCCAUAUUUGUUAGAUUUCAAUAAACUAAUAGAAUCGCAUUUGCAUUAUACUCCAUCAUAAAUUUGCUUAUAGUUCUUCUCAAGCUACCGUAAGCCUAGACAUCUGAAAGAUAUUAAAGACAAUUUAAUUUUCAAGAAUGCAGGUUUNNNNNNNNNNNNNNNNNNNNNNNNNNNNNNNNNNNNNNNNNNNNNNNNNNNNNNNNNNNNNNNNNNNNNNNNNNNNNNNNNNNNNNNNNNNNNNNNNNNNACAUCCCCCAAUUUUCAAAAAAAAAAAAAAGGAGUGCUUAAGCCGGCUUGGUUAAGACUAUCUAGACUCAAAUUUUGUUACAGCUUUCUUAUUGCUAACUUACAGAGUAAGAAAGCAUUGAUACAGAGUAGGCCAAAUUUGUGGCCUACUUGACCUAUAAGAAUGAAACACAAUCUAAUCUGAAUUUGAUCGACUGUACUUUUUGAUUGAGAGUAUAUAGAUUUCUUAAUUCUUGACGCCAGACUACUAUUAAUAAACCAAGCAUGUCCAAAUGAAAAAAUACAAACUUGGGUGCCUCACGACAGGUGUAGCUUAGCUGGUUGUGAAUGUAAUUCGCAAUUUGCAGAUAUCUGCGCUCGAGUAACAAUAUGGGACAAACGGUGGUAUUUACUAGAUGAGGUCUCAUCCCAAGCAAAUCCUUUAAAAGCAAAAUAAUAAUAACUUGGCAAAGGAGUUUACCUAGAAAGAAGCCCAUUCUUUGCAAGCGAAGUGGAGCCUGGACAACUCAGAAUCCAUUGACUCUUCAGAAAACAAGCUCUGCAAUACCCGUGAAUCCAAAUUAUUAUCAGAAAUUGUGGUUAAAUCUUGGCCUGGUCGUAUGUAUCUGGGAGGGAUAGCUAACAUAGGAUUCUUGGCCAACUCUUGAACACAAGGCACAGGCAGAGAACCUCCGAACUUGGCCUUCUUUUUGUUCCACAAAUUCUCUCAACAAUAAUGCUCCAGAGUUUUAUUGACAAAGCAAAUGUUGAAAAUGUAUUAUUUUCAACAAGUCAUUAUUUGCUGUGGCCUUGUGUGAGACUAAUCCACCAUUGCGGGUCUAGGGUUGGCCCAUAGAUAUUUUGUGAAUAUGACAGUUGCAGUCUGCUGUUGUGUUGCUGUCUGCUGCGAAUUAUAAAAAAGAUAGUGCAUUGCCUUCACAAACUCUUAAGAAUUUGGAUAACAUGCUAAUUUCUUUUACAUGGUCUGAUGACAACCAAUCAAAAUCUUGUAUUUUUCUCAGCAUAAUAGCUGAUCAUCAACCGUAGUUCCAAGUUCAACUUUGAGAGAGACGAUCUGAAUAUGAAAUCCAAAGUUAUAGCUUUGCAGCUUGUGUAACUAACAUCUAUUUUCAGCUAUUGAUGGCAAAAUUUUUCGUUAGUGGUAACAAGUUAUGUAUUCGUCACAAUGUGUGUUAUGGAAUGGAAUAUUGAAGACGUGGAAGGACAACAUUGUUGUUAAUAAUCAAACACUUGUUACUAUUAACUGAAAACCAUAACGGCUGAUACAGAAACUACACUGGUUCUUUGGUAAUAUUAUCUGUAUGUAUCAUAAAAAUUUGGAAACCAAGUCAUAUAGUCCUUGAAAUCUCAUUAAAAACAAGUCAGGUAUGCAAAAAUUCUAUUUCAAGAAAGAAAGAUACUGCUCUGAUAUAAGCACCACUAUAUAUCAUCGGAAGAUUCCAGGCAUAAGUCUGCAAUUCUUAAGAUUCUUACAUGGUCUAUUCAGUAUCUCAAAUGAUAGAGCUAUUAGAAACACAACGACCCUAGCAUAGCAGGUUAUACCACAGUAUUCAUAGAACUUAUUUCUUAUUUUCAGUUCCACGCACAAUCUUAAUGGCAAGGCCCUUCAGAGUUUUUGUACCAAACUCUUUAGUUAUCCGAAAUAAACUUAUACUAGCCUUGACCAUGUUGAAUUCUCAGGGAAUCCAGCUGAGAUUUUCCCCUAAGCUCACGAGCAUACCGGCUCCUAAAGUAUUCUUCAAUUCUCAUUCUUCUAAACAAAGGAGGAGUUUUUUCAGAGAUCAAACUGGAGGCAGGAUACACUUCACCAUCAUAUCUCACUGAGUAAACUGUGGCAACGGAAAGUCUUUCCUGUACAGAGUUUACAACUGCACGAUGCUCAAUGCUACGGUAUGUCCCAUUGGUUAUAAUCUGCCAUGUAAAAAUUAUUAAAGCACAUAAGCAAGCGCAUAAAAAUGCCAGGUUAAGGUAAUUUAUUAUAAUUAUUACCUCCAAUGUGUCUCCAAUGUUGACAAUGAAAGCAUCCGGGAGUGGGGUAACAGGAAUCCACUUUCCAUCCUUCUUUACCUGGAGACCCUCCACUUCAUUAAGUUGUAGCAGAAUGGUAAGUGCAGCUGCAUCAGAAUGUGGCGACAGGCCCAUAACCUUCUCGGGCUGAGGACAUGGAGGGUAAUAAUUCAUCCUCAUUGCUUGCACUCCAUUUUCAAAGAAUUCUCUCAUUUCUUCAUCUUUGAUAUUUAACACUUCUCCCAUUUUCGAUAUUAGGUUCUCGGCUAGGGAUUUUAAUUCCAUUGAGUAAACUUCCAAGGUCUCUCUACAGGAAAAGAAGAUGCACUAUCCUUUAUUUGUUUGCAAAUCAAAAUGACAUUGACAUAGAGAGAGAGAGAGAGAGAGAGAGAGAGAGAACCUGAGGGAAGGAGGGAGCUUAGGAAAUAAGUGUGGCUUCCUCAGAUGAACUGGAAGAGUCAGCAUGGAGAAAAGGUCAGCCCAAUCAAGCUUUUGUUCCUCAGAUACAACAAAGGCUUGUCCAAAGCCUUCCAUAUCUCCUGGAUGCUGCCAAUAUUUUUUCUUUUCUUCCAUGCUGAGAUUGAAGAAUCCCUCAACCUCUUUCUUUAAUUUCUCUAGAAAUGCUGUGCUCAUUCCAUGAUUUACCAGCUGAAAAAAAUACAGGAACGAAAUGCAGCAAAGAUUUAAUAAUCGUGCCACUAAGCUCACAAUAGUCCAGGUGUUUUAUGAAGACAGAUUGCAACUUAUCUGACUGAUUUAGAGAUAAGAUUUACCAUCAAAGAUAGCUAAAAGCAUUUGUUACAUUUAAAUCUUCUCAACAAUUAGUUUCCACAGGUGUUUUUUAUUCAUUCUAUCGGAGAAAUUUCGGUUAUUCUAGAAUAACUAUAACGAGCAUGAAGUUCUUGUGGUUUGUUCACACCUAGAAUUUGAAAAAUCAUACAACAGCAAAUAAUCUCAAUGUUACUUCGAAUUGUCUUUAAAUUAGAGUAAUUUGCAACAUUGACUACAGAAAUGAGUACAUUUUCUAAGAGGUCUUACACAAUUUACGAUAGUAUAUCUUUUAAAAUUUUGACAGAAGCAUAUUUCUCAUAAGGUACCAAAAGCCAUUGAGGCAGAGGAGGGGAAAUUUCUCAAGACCGUAUUUUUCAUACAUAUUGCGUGUUUGACAUUUAGGAAUGAAAUAGCUAAUUAACCCAUGUCUGGAGGGGGAAAGGUAAAGCAGUAUAGAAAGUCAAUAAUAAAUAAACCAGAGACAAGUUCUUCUUUUCACAAGCUGCAGUCCUAAGCCACUGACAACACCGAAAAGUGAAACCAUGAUCUGCUAACAUCAAUGAUACGUGGGUUUAAGAAAUAAAUAUGAAUUUUAAUUUUGCCUAUUGGAUUGAGAAUUUGCAUAUUUCUCGAUUCUUGUUCACAAACAAGCAUGUUCUGGCGAAACAAUUUUCUAACUUUGCUAAAGCAUUAUACCUGGAAAAAACCCCAUUCUUUGCAUGCGAAGUCGAGCUUGGCUAGCUCAGAAUCCAUUGAUUCUUCAGAAAGUAAGCUUUGCAUGUCAAUAACUGGUAUCUGUGAAAUCAAAGUAUCAUCAGAAAUGAGUGGUGAAUCUUGAUCUGGACGUAUGUAUCUGUCGGGGACAACUAACGCAGGAUUCUUGACCAACUCUUGAACACAAGGCACAAGGAGAGAACUUCCAAUCUGGGCCAUCUUUUGUUCCUCAAAUCCUUUCAAGAUUGCUGCAGCUUUGUAUUGAUUUUGGAACAAGACUGAGUGCCGACAAUCACAAAAGUAAAAAAGAAUCUUUUUCCAAGAAAUUAAUCAGCAUCCUCCACCUAACCAUUCAUGAAGUAUUUUUAAUUUUUUGCACAUGUUUAGAAUGCAUAAUAAAAUAUUCGCAGGUCAAAACUAUCCUCUAUUGAUAAGGAUAACAAAUCAUCAGCCAAUUAAUUAGGGUAAUUUUUAAAAACCUCCCCUGAGGUUUGGGCUUGUUGUAAGUAAAUGAUGAGAAUUGAUUUAUUUGUAAAAAAUUCUCUACCGUCAGUUAAUUUUAACAUUGACUGUUAGUUGACUGUGCAAAGACAAUAUUACCCUUAACAAUAAUUUAUAGACAGAAAUAACUAUAAAAAAAUUAAAAUUAUUAGUUAUUUUACCCUCUUUAAAUUAUUGAUAUUUUCUUAAAGUUCCUACAAGAAAGAUAAAAUUAAAAAUUUUAAAAAUUCUCUUUAAAUUAUUGAUAUUUUCUUAAAGUUUCUACAAAAAAGAUAAAAUUAAAAACUUAAAAAUAAAAUAGUUAUAAUCUUUACUUAUGAUAUUGUAAAUUUUUGGAAUUGACAAGGAUAAAAUUGUCAAAAAAUAGGGUUUGUGCUUUUCGCGCCAACAAUUUUAAUUUUUUUUUUAGUUAUUUCCGUCUACAAACUGUUGUUGAGGGUAAUAUUGUCUUUGCACAGUCAACUAACGGUCAAUGUUAAAAUUAACUGACGGUAGGAGGUUUUUUAUAAAUAAACAGAUUCUCGUCAUCUGCUUGCAACAAGUCCAAACCUCAGGGGAGGUUUUUAAAAAUUAUCCCAAUUAAUUAUUUGUGGUUCCCACCUUGUCAUCAACCCAAAAGGCAAAGGUAUUUUCAAUACUGCGUUUUGUUUUCUUUUUCCCUUUCUAUUUUUCUUUCACAACUUGGCAUUGAUCUCGGAGCAUUUGCUCUUGACUUGUGCGAGUAAUCCACCAUUGCGUGUCUGCAGUUAAAAGGACUUCUUAAAAUUUUUUCUAACACGCUGCAAUCUGGUGCUGUGUUGGAAUUGACUGUGCACUAUUAAGAAAACAGUGGGUUCCAAUUGUAAUCGAUUAGUCAUUUAUACAAUUAUAGCUGUUUAUAUUUAGGCAUUAAUUAUCUUUAUAUUUUUAUCUGAUAACAACCAAUUAAAACCUCAUAUUUUGCUUGCGAAUCCAAGUUCCACUUACGAAAGUAACAUCUGUCUCAUUUUUAAUUAUUGAUAAUUAUUAUUACUAUUAUUAUUAUUUUUUAUUAUUAUUAUUGGUAACAAGUUACAACUUAUGUACUCAUGCAAUGUGUUCUAUGGAGAACAAUGUUGCUACAAGCAAUACAAAAUUUGUUACAAUUUAUUGUCUUGAAUAUUUUCGGUAAAAACUACUUAUUUUAACUACAUGCAUGCUACUGGGGAAGGUUGUAAAACAAAUUAUCACAACAAUCUGCUUAAUGUGACGGAUGGUUAAGCCAAAUGACAACAUAUAACCCAAGCAUGUUGUUAUCUAUUCAACUUCAGUGACAUUGUAACAAAAUAUAUUGUUGAUAAGGAUGUAAUUGGACAAGCAAGCGUUAGAAUGGCAUGCUUAAGUAUUUAAUAUCAUAUUUGAAUCAUCUUUAACUCCGAAAGCAAGUGAAAUAGUUCUUGAAAUCUGAUAAAAACAUGACAAGCCUGCAAAAAUUCUAUUCCAAAAAUGAAAGACACUGAUCCAAAAUAAGCACAAUUAUCAUCAGAAAAUUCCUGGCACAAAUCUGCAACUAUCCAAAAUAAUUAUGCUAGCCUCGACCAUGUUGAAUUCUCAGGUCAUCCAGGUGAGAUUUUCCCCUAAGCUCACGAGCAAAUCGGCUCCUAAAGUAUUCUUCAACCGUCACUCUUCGAAACAAUGCAGGAGUUUUUUCAGAUAUCAAACUGGAUGCUGGAUAUAUUUCACCAUCUAAUCUCUUUGUGUAAAAUGUGGCAAUGGAAAGUCUUUCUUGUAUAGAGUUCACAAUUGCACGAUGCUCAAUGCUACAGUAUGUCCCAUUGGUUAUAAUUUGCAGUGUUAAAAAUAUUAGAGCACAUGAGAAGGGACAUAAAAAUGCCAAGGAAAGUAAUCAUAAUUAUUACCUCUAAUGUGUCUCCGAUGUUGACAAUGAAAGCAUUUGGCAGCGGUGUGAUAGGAAUCCAUUUUCCAUCGUUCUUGAUCUGGAGACCUUCUACUUCAUUGAUUUGUAGCAGAAUGGUAAGAGCAGAGCCAUCAGAAUGAGGGGUGAGGCCCAUAACCUUUUCUGGCUGAGGACAUGGAGGGUAAUAGUUCAUCCUCAUUGAUUGGAAACCAUUGUCAAAGAAUUCUCUCAAUUCUUCAUCUUUGAUAUUUAAAACUUUUCCCAUUUUCGAUAUCAGGUUCAUGGCCAAAGAUUUUAACUCCAUUGAGUAAACUUCCAAGGUGUCUCUACAAGAAAAAAGAAGGUAAAACAUUAGAUAGAAUCAUAGAAGGUUUAAUUUUCUCUUUUUGUUUGCAAAUCCAUAUCAAGCACAAACAGAGAGAACCUGAGGGAAGGAGGGAGCUUAGGAAAUAAGUGUGGCUUCCUCAUAUGAACUGGAAGAGUGAUCAUGGAGAACAUGUCAGCCCAAUCAAGCUUUUGUUCCUCAGAUACAACAAAGGCUUGUCCAAAUCCUUCUACAUCUCCUGGAUGCUGCCAAUAUUUUUUCUUUUCUUCCAUGCUGAGAUUGAAGAAGCCCUUAACCUCUUUCUUCACUUUCUCUAGAAAUGCUGAGCUUACUCCAUGGUUUACCAGCUGAAAUUAUGCAGGAAUGAACAGCAGCUAAGAUUUGAUAAUCGUGCCACUAGGUUCACAACCGUCCAGGCGUUUUAUGAAGACAGAUUGCAACUUAUUUGACUGAUUUAGAGACAAGAUUUGCUGUCAAAGAUGGCUAAAAGCAUUUGUUACAUUUCAACUGAGAACAUUGCUGUUGCAUUAAACACCAAUUUUAUUUUGUUUAUAAAUCUAAUCAAUGAUUGAUUUUUACAAGUGUUUUUUACUCAGUUUUGGAGAAAUUUGAAUAUUCUAGAACAGCUAAUAAUCUGCGGGAGUCUUAUACAAUUUACUAUAUCGUUUAUCACAUAUUGACAGAAGCAUAUUUCUCAUAAGCUACCAAAAGCUAUUGAGACAAAGUAGGUGAAAUUUGUCAUGGGCAUCUUUUAAUACAAAUUAUACUAACAAAUCUAUGGCUAUAUGUAAAGGUAAAGUAAUAAAGAAAGUCAAAAACAAAUAUAUCAAUGGAAUCUGGGUUUCAGAAAUAAAUGGUGAGUGUUUUCUUCUCAUAUCGCCUCAAAUUGUACAAUAAAACAAGAGACAACUUCCUUGACAUUUCACAAGCUGCGGUCCUAGAAGCACUGAAAGCAGCAAAAGGACUAGAUGGGAAAAUUUGAAAUCAUGACAUGCUAAAUCAACGGAAACUGGGUUUCAAAAAUAGAUAUUUUGUGACAGAGUUUUGCAGAUUUCAUGAUUCUUAAAUCACAGACAAGCAUGAAAAAUCUUUCUAACUCUGCUAAAGCAUUUUACCUGGUAAAAACCUCAUUCUUUGCAAGCGAAGUCGAGCUUGGCUAACUCAGAAUCCAUUGAUUCUUCAGAAAGCAAGCUCUGCAUGUCAAUAAUUGGUAUCUGUGAAAUCAAAGUAUCAUCAGAAUUGAGUGGUGAAUCUUCGUCCGGACGUAUGUAUCUAGGAGGGACAACUAACAUAGGAUUCUUGACCAACUCUUGAACACAAGGAACAAGCAGAGAACCUCCAAUCUUGGCCAUCUUUUGUUCCACAAAUCCUCUUAAGAUUGCUACAGCUUUGUAUUGGUUUUGGAACAAGAGUGCAGGGUGCAGACAAUCGCAAGAGUUGAAAACAAUUAUUUUCUAACAAAUCAGCAUCCUCCACCUAACCGCUCAUGAUAUAUUUUUAUGCAAAUGACUGAUCUGGAUUAUUUUAAGGGGACCAUUCAACAGCAUGGUAAAAUAUGGGCAGGAAAUAGACCAUCAUUGAUAAUCACAACUAACAAAUCAGCUAGUCGAUUAAUUAUUAGUAAUUCCCAUAUUACCUUAUACAUUAAUAGUACUAACGGACGAGCCCUCACCUCGUUCACCUUUUGACUCCGAAUCAUCCUGUUCGUAUGCUUCUUACAUGGUCUGAAGGAAAAAUGAAAAUUCUAGAAAUAUUUUUCUUAUUGAAUUCAGCAGCGGAGUAAUCGAAUAUUGGAUUAUGUUAAUGGUCAAAAGAAAUCGCAAGUGGAAAUCCUUAUCUAAUCACAAUAUAAAUGCCCUUUUUAUGGAUUGUUCAAUGUUCUUAAUUUUAAUCUUCACGAAGAAGAGAAGAAGUUGAUUUAGCAAUUUUUACGUCUUUCUUGUUCUUAUUAUUAGAGAGAUUUUAUUCAAAGUGGAAGAAGUUAAUUUAAACUCAACUUCCCUCUCAAUUUCCAUAAACUGUACAUGUAACUACAUGGUAGUUACCAUGUGCGGGUCGGAUUGGCUCGGCCCAUCAUGGGUGAUCCACCCAUCCCAUAUCUCCCAUUCGUACAUGAUGGGAUGACAUCGAAACAGCAGAGCAGUGAACAUAUAAAUAAUGAACAACCACAUAUCUUUAAUCAUACAGGUAGAUAUAUCAUGUGACCAUGAACAUAUCUAAAAAUCCAUUUGGUGAGUCAAAAACAUAUCUCGAUUGCUAACUCAGGCAAAAGAUGUCUCAAUUGCAAUCGUAUGCAAGAGAAUUUAAAAAUAUGUUCAUUGUAUCCUAGAUUUAAUUUAUUUUAAUACUCAAGCAUACUAAAUCCCAUUAGUAUGCUAAAAUUGCACAAUCUCUUUAUGUAUUCACAAUUGUAAUAUCCCAAAGAUAUUAUACAAUUGGUCGACCAGUGAAUCACAUAAAAGAAAAAUUAAAUCUUUUUAUCACACUCAUGUUCAUCAAUUCAGAAUAGUCGCUUUCCUAGUCAUGUUUCAUAGACCGAAUAAUGUAAAAGGUCAUAGAUAACAUACUAAAGUAGCAGACAUCACUCUGAGAUCUCAAAAAUAUAGUUAAUAGUCAUAAGGAUAUCGGGAUUGACUUAUAAAAAGUUAUAUAGAACUUACACAAUGAGAAAGAUGGAAGAUUAUUUCAUUUUCCAUUUUGGUUACCAAGCACGCGUGGUAUGAUACACGUGUUACAGUAAAUUUUCCAUUUCAGGACUAUAGAUCUUAGUCUAGUCACUCUUUUAGAAUGAACGCUCUCCUUUAGCGUAAAACGUAAGAUCUCACAUCUGGCUUCAAUCAAGUCUCCAUGAUGGUGGGGUAUAUCAUAGUCAGUCUAUAAUAUGGGCAGGAAAUAGACCAUCAUUGAUAAUCAAGUCGAAAAAUCGUGUGAGACCUCUUGAUUCUAGUCAAGGUAAAAAAACUUGUAGAAUAACGCUUUUUAUUUGGCUCUCAAACAAAAACAUGGUUUUAUUAUUCUACUUGUCUCAUCUCAGCUUGCUCCUAAAGCAAUUGAGGUGACCGCUUGUGUAAGAAAACUAGUCUGGACCUGACGACAUACUCUUAUAUAUGUGUAAUUGUGUCUUUCAUGGAAUAAAUUGAAAUAAGAGAUACUAUUACAUUUUCAAACAACUUAUGUAAUGAAGAUGUUUAUAACAAAUAAGUGCAUCUUAAUAAUAGUAAUUUAUAAUCUAUGUAGCCCUAAUGAUUUAGCAUGAGAGGCGAAUACAUCCCUUAUUACAGCUUUGGUAAGUGGAUCAGUUAUCAUGCUAUGUGUAGAUAUAUAUUGUAUGGCUACUGAUAACUCUAUGAAAUGAGAGUUAUCAUGGCACUUUUAAGCUUAAAUCAAUACUAAUUAGAAAGUAAAUUAUGUGUUUCUAUUGCAUUUUUGUUACAUUUUGCAUAAAUAAUCAUUUUAGUCAGUCUUAAUAAGUUUUGCUUGAUUUAAAGUAAUUUGUGCUCAAAUUGUGUGAAUAAUUGUAGGUUUCCAGAAGUUUAUAAUUCAUGGAAGGAAUGCUAUGCAAUAGGCUUGCAAAAAUAAGGAAGAACAUGGCUAUAAAAGAAUUGAAACAAAUCUGGAACAGUACAGUUGCUGUAGCAACCAUUGCUUUAGCCAUUGCUGUAGCAAUCUUGGAACAACGACGAAGAAAAUUCCGUGCGGGAUACUUGCAGAAUUGCAAUCUGUAGUUUCCUAAUCUGACUUAUGCGCGCUUUAGGCUUCCGUUUACCCUAAUUUUCAACUAUAAAAGAAGCACACAUCAUAAGGAUUAAAGAGAGCCGUCACCCAAGGAGAAAAACAAAAAGAAACAAAAGAAAAACAAGAUUCAAGAGAGAGAUUAAAGGCUGCACAAGAGGAGAAUUUGCAUAAAUCAAUUGAGAGCUCAAUCCUUCUUAUUCUUCUCUUGUUUUCUUGUUUUCUAUUUAUUUAUGGGAAUGUGUUUCAUUGUUGAAGCUUUGUUCUUUAUUUUUCUUUUACAAACCAUGAACUAAAUUUAUUUGUGGUUGAGUGAUAAACAAUCUUGAUGGUUUAUUGACUGAAUAUAUGUGUUGCUACAUGUUUACUGUAGCAGUUUGUUUUGAUAGUACAAGUUAGGAGAGAGUAGCAAAAUGGUCUAUCUUAGUGGAACAUAUCAGAACAAUACGUGAUCUUAAAUUGAACUUCCCGGAUUGAGUUUUACUUGAGUCCCAAAAGGGCCAUGCUUGAUUUAAGAUUAGUGAUGAACUAGACAUAGGGAUUCACCUUGUAGGGUAAAUAGAACCUAAGCGUGUAAUGCUAUAUCUUAUGUUGGCAUAACAAUUGAUCACUGUUAGGUUGCAUAUAGAUAUAAAAUAUCCAACAUGCGACGGCUGAGGAUACAUAAGGAUUCUGUCCAGUGCUAUAGCAGAUGCUGCAGCAACCAAGCCAAACAUUAGAAAAAUAGUCAAUACCAUUAAGAGAGUUUAUUCACUCAGCUACUAUAUACUCCCAUUAGUUUUAUCCUUGAGUUUGACGUGAUAAUUUACUUUGUUGCAUUUUAUUUAUUGUGUUUUUAUUUUAAUUAGUACAUUAGUUUCAUUAAUUGUUUAUUUUAUUUUAGCACAAAAUCUGCACUGUUAAGAUUGCUGUAGCAAAUCUGAUAACAUCAAUCCCUGUGGAGACGAUCUUGAAUACUCAUUAUUUUAUUACUUGUUGUGUAUACUUGCACAUUGACACCAAUAACAUUAGUAUUUAUACACCAACAAGUUUUUGGUGCCGUUGCCGGGGAUUGAUUGUUAAUUGUGAUUUGUGAAAUUAGUUUUAACAGUGCUAAUUUUUUAUUUUAUUUUAAUUUGUUUAUUUUGUUGAAAUAAGUGAUCUAGCAACCCUCGCAUGCGCAAAUAUAAAUCUAUUGACUUCUAGUUUGAUCCAGAAAUUGAAAGAACUGCAAGGAGAUUGAGAAGAGAGCAUCGGGAAUUACAAGCUGCUGUAGCAAUGGAUGAUUUGCAAAAUUUGAGAAACUUGAACUGUAAAGAGGGGAUACAACCAGUCAAUGUACAUGAAGGUCUGAAUGGACAAUGUGUUCAAAGGCAACCAGGGAACAACAACAUUAUUCACAUGGCGAACGAUAGAGAUAGAGCCAUUCGAGACUACGCAGUGUUGACUCCUCAGGCCAUACAUUCAAGAAUAGUUAGACCCGACAUUCAAGCUGACAAUUUUGAACUCAAACCCGUGAUGUUUCAGAUGCUUCAAACAGUGGGGCAAUUUAAUGGUGUGCCAUCCGAAGAUCCUCAUCUACACCUUAAGUUAUUUUUGGAAGUAAGUAAUCCUUUCAAGAUUGCUGGAGCAUCGUAAGAAGCAUUGAGACUCAGACUUUUUCCGUUUUUUUUAGAGAUCGAGCAAGAGCAUGGUUGAAUUCUCUACCACCAGAUUCUAUCACUACAUGGAAUGAUUUGGCUGACAAAUUUUUUAUGAAAUACCUCCCGCUAACCAAGAAUGCAAAGUUGAGGAACGAGAUCACGUAUUUCCAUCAACUUGAAGAUGAAAGCUUGUGUGAUGCAUGGGAGAGAUUUAAAGAGUUACUAGAAAAUAUCCUCAUCAUGGUAUUCCUUGCUGCAUACAGUUGGAAACUUUCUAUAAUGGUCUCAACCCAAGCACUAGAUUGAUGGUGGACGCUUCAGUAAAUGGGGCAUUGUUAUCUAAGUCUUACAAUGAGGCUUAUGAAAUUUUGGAGAGGAUAGCCAACAAUAACUAUCAGUGGCCAUCAACCAGACAAGUUGCAGCAAGAGGAACAGCAGGAGUUCAUAACAUAGAUGCCUUGACAGCAUUGUCAGCCCAAGUAACUUCAUUAACAAAAAUGGUAAAGGCUAUGACUACUGCUCCAGCAACUGUUAACCAAAUAUCUUAUAUGUCUUGCGUUUAUUGUAGAGAAUGGCAUUUAUUUGACAAUUGUCCUGGUAAUCCAGCUUCGGUUAACUAUAUGGGCAGCUUCAAUAGACAGAACUAGGACAAUCCAUAUUCAAACACUCACAACCUUGGAUGGAGACAGCACACAAAAUUUUCAUGGAGUUAUUAGAACCAGACUGCUGCAGCACCUAGUGGACAGAACAGACCUGCUCAACCACCUGGAUUUUAUCAGCAAAAUCAAGAGCAAAGAAGCAUCAACAAUGAUCAAUUCAGCUCCCUUGAAGGUUUGAUUAAGGAUUAUAUUAUGAGGAAUGAAGCAGUUGUCCAAAGUCAUACUGUAUCGUUGAGAAACAUGGAAAAUCAAAUUGGACAGCUUGCUACAGCAUUGAGCAACAGACCUCAAGGUAGUUUACCCAGUAAUACAGAGAACCCAAGAAGAGAAGGGAAAGAGCACUGCAAAGUGAUUAACUUAAGAUCUGGAAAGGAUGUUUAUAGUCCCGUUGGUGUACCAAAAAGAAGAAUUGAGUCCACCCAAGGCCAAGAAGACACUCAAGUAGAGAAAGAGUCACAAUCUUCCACUUUUCAGAAUGCAAAUCAAUACAGUUCUGCUACAACAUCUGCAGAAAGUUAUGAUCCAACACCUAGUAGUGAGGAAGCUACAACACCAACAGCAACAGACCUGAGUAGAGCAAAAGAGAAGCAGUCUGCACAACCUACUGCAGUACAAUAGUUUAGACACCCACCACCCUUCCCUCAAAGAUUUCAGAAGCAACAACAAGACAAGCAGUUCAAUAAAAUCUUAGGAGUGCUGAAACAACUACAUAUCAAUAUCCCUUUUGUGGAAGCUCUAGAACAAAUGCCAAAUUAUGCGAAAUUUUUGAAGGAUAUCUUGACAAAGAAAAGAAGAUUUGGAGAAUUUGAGACAGUUGCUCUAACACAAGAGUGCAGCCGAAUGCUUCAGAGUAAGAUACCGCAAAAGAUGAAGGAUCCAGGAAGCUUCACAAUCCCUUGCUCCAUAGGCACUAAAUACUGUGGCAAAGCACUUUGUGAUUUGGGGGCUAACAUCAAUCUCAUGCCUUUAUCAGUGUUUAAGCAAUUGGGAGUUGGUGAAUGUAGACCAACAACAGUGACUUUACAACUUGUUGACAGGUCUCAUGCAUAUCGAGAAGGGAAGAUUGAAAAUGUGUUGGUGAAGGUGGAUAAAUUUAUUUUUCUAGUGGAUUUCAUUGUGCUAGACUUUGAGGCAGACAAAGAAGUGCCAAUCAUUCUAGGGAGACCUUUCUUAGCCACGGGAAAGACUUUAAUUGAUGUUCAAAAAGGAGAAUUAACCAUGAGGGUGAAUGAACAGCAAGUGACAUUCAAUGUGCUGGAUGCUAUGAAGAGUCCCGAUGAGAUUGAAUAUUGUGAUUUUAUCAGUGUUGUGGACUUUGUUGUAGCAGAGAGAUUACACAGUUGCUGCAGUAAGGAAGAAAUCAAUGUUGUGACAUUUGAAGAACUUGAUGAUGAAGAUCAUGGAGCAGCUAACAUAGCAUGGUCAGGAGAGAAGCAACCCCUCAUAAUUGACGAGCAAAUCCAGCAAAUGGAACUCACGCCAGACCAACAAGAAUUCAAGGUUAAUGGGCCAAGAGUGAAGCACUAUAUGAGAGAUGAUGUGAACAGCCUAAAGACGAAUAUGUUCUUGAAUGAUCCAGGAUGAGCAAACAAGAAAGGUCAGACUAAAAGACCUAAAAUCAAGCGCUAAUUGGGAGGCAACCCAAUAAGGGAAGUUGUUUUAAGUUUUUAUGGCAUUGAAUUUAGCUUUUAAAUUAUUUAAUUUGUCUUUUUAUUAUUUUAAGUAUGCAUUUAAUUUUUUAUGUCUUUAUGUUACAUUGCAGCAAGUAAACAAAAUGUGGGCAAAAAGAGCAGGAGGGAAUUGCUGCCGCAUCACUUACAGCAUGACAUAUAACAGAAGAUUCUCAAACAACAGAGGCAUUUCUUGCUUUUGCAGCAGCAAAUGGAUUGAUCAGAUUUUUAUGAUAAGGAGUGUUUGAGAAGUAUAUCAAAGAAAAAGUGACCCUUUACAGCCUAUGCUAUAGCAAUGCUUCCAGCAACAGGGGAGUACCAUUACCCACUAGUUUAUUUUACUUCUUUCUGUAAAACUUUUCUUUAAUUUAGUUUUAAUUUUCUAAUUCAUUCUGCAUGUCUUUUUAUUUAGUGUAUGCAUGUCUGGUUUAUGUGGUUUUGUUUUGUGUGCUUGUGAGGACACAACACCACUCAAGUUUGGGGGGGUUGUGUUUUUUAGUGCAUGUGCUUGUGUUGUGUGAAGCUCUGUUAUCUAAUAUUUGUGUAUGGAUUUGAAAACCUAAUGAAGAUAAAUUGAGUGUUAUUCAGUAUUUAUGAGAAAGCCAAGUAGAGAUAGUUAUAGAUAAAGGUUGAACUUCUGUCCCAACACUUAGACUUUGGUUGAGUUUUAUGAGAAUGCUGUAGUAGAACCAGGAAAAAAAAAGAGUAGAAAAUAUCUCAAGUUUGGGGGAAAAUUUUUGUUGGACUGUGCCUGUUAUGAAAUAAAUUCUGCUCCAAUGGUUUAAGUUGCUGAGUAACCAGGGUUGAGUAUGCACCCUAUAUGCAAACUUGAGUCCAAAGGCAACACGAGCUACGAGCAGUGCUGCAGCAAAAGCAAAAAAAAAAAAGAAGAAAAGCAAAAAAAAAUGAUGAUAAAGAGGUCCGCUACCUAGGAUACUGAGUAACCUGGUCUGUUCAUGAGUCCCAUGUUCAGCCUUGAGUCAAAGGUGUCCAAAGGUAUGACCUAGAUAUAACAUCCCAAAUGCGUUGCUGUAGCAACUCCGACAUGUACUUUGAAUGAGUAAUUGGGUGUCGUCAUUACAAGUGAUAGGCAUUCACAUGAAAGCUCAAUGUUGCAUUGAAAGGUUUAACUGGAAAAAACAAGUAUUAUUAUUGUAGCAUAGUUUGAGUUUAUUUGUGAAUUCUACUCCCCUAUAUGUGAAUAUCUUUGGUUCUAUCUAUGAAUUAUAUGUCUAUGUAAUGUUGUAGCACCUCUGGAAUUUGAUCAAAGUGGCACACACACACUCUGGACAGAAUAAAGCCUAAGUCUAGAACUAGAUUGCUAUGGCUAUUUUGCAUGAUUAAGAGUGUGAUCUGAGGGUGGAAGAAUCCUUGCAAAUCUGAUGACAGAGCUAAGUUAUUUGUUGCAUGAUUGUGUGAUUGAAGUGUUAGCAUUAUUGUCAUUACUUGAGGACAAGUAAGGGUUUAAGUUUAAGGGUGUGAUAACUCUAUGAAAUGAAAGUUAUCAUGGCACUUUUAGGCUUAAAUCAAUACUACUUAGAGAGUAAAUUAUGUGUUUCUAUUGCAUUUUUGUUACAUUUUGCAUAAAUAAUCAUUUUAGUCAGUCUUAAUAAGUUUUGCUCGAUUUAAAGUAAUUUGUGCUCAAAUUGUGUGAAUAAUUGUAGGUUUCUAGAAGCUUAUAAUUCAUGAAAGGAAUGCUAUGCAAUAGGCUUGCAAAAAUAAGGAAGAGCAUGGCUAUAAAAGAAUUGAAACAAAUUUGGAACAGUACAGUUGCUGUAGCAACCAUUACUAUAGCCAUUGCUAUAGCAAUCCUGGAACAACGACGGAGAAAAUUCCGCGCGGGAUACUUGCAGAAUUGCGAUCUGCAGUUUCCUAAUCUGACUUAUGCGCGCCCUGGGCUUCCGUUUACCCUAAUUUUUAACUAUAAAAGAAGCACACAUCAUAAGGAUUAAAGAGAGCCGUCACCCAAGGAGGAAAACAAAAAGAAAUAAAAGAAAAACAAGAUUCAAGAGAGAGAUUAAGGGCUGCACAAGAGGAGAAUUUGCAUAAAUCAAUUGGGAGCUCAAUCCUUCUUAUUCUUCUCUUAUUUUCUCAUUUUCUAUUUAUUUAUGGGGAUGUGUUUCAUGGCUGAAACUUUGUUCUUUAUUUUUCUUUUACAAACCAUGAACUAAAUUUAUUUGUGGUUGAGUGAUAAACAAUCUUGAUGGUUUAUUGACUGAAUAUAUGUGUUGCUGCAUGUUUGUUGUAGUAGUUUAUUUUUAUAGUAUUUAUUUUAUUCAUUAUUUCGGUUGAUCACCCAUUUAAUAAUACAAGUUAGGAGAGAGCAGCAAAAUGGCCUAUCUUAGUGGAACAUAUUAGAACAAUACUUGAUCUUAAAUUCAGUUUCCCGAAUUGAGUUUUACUUGAGUCCCAAAAGGGCCAUGCUUAAUUUAAUAUUAGUGAUGAAAUAGACAUAGGGAUUCACCUUGUAGGAUAAAUAGAACCUAAGCGUGUAAUGCUAUAUCUUAUGUUGGCAUAACAAUUGAUCACUGUUAGGUUGCAUAUAGAUAUAAGAUAUCCAACAUGCGACGGCUGAGGAUACAUAAGGAUUCUGCCCAGUGCUAUAGCAGAUGCUGCAGCAACCGAGCCAAACAUUAGAAAAAUAGUCAAUACCAUUAAGAGAGUUUAUUCACUCAACUACUAUAUACUCCCAUUAGUUUUAUCCUUGAGUUUGACGUGAUAAUUUACUUUAUUGCAUUUUAUUUAUUGUGUUUUUAUUUUAAUUAGUACAUUAGUUUCAGUAAUUGUUUAUUUUAUUUUAGCACAAAACCUGCACUGUUAAGAUUGCUAUAGCAAAUUUGAUAACAUCAAUCCCUGUGGAGACGAUCUUGAAUACUCAUCAUUUUAUUACUUGUUGUGUACACUUGCACAUUGACACCAAUAGCAUUAGUAUUUAUACACCAACAACUACUUCUUUCUUUGCCAAAAUAUCUCUUACAAAAUUGUAUUUAGUCUCAAUGUGUUUCGAUUUGGUAUGGUAUUUAGCAUUAUUAGAGAAAUGGAUAGUAGCUUGAUUGUCACAAUAGAUAGUCACUAGAUUAUCAUUGAUAAUAUUAGUCUCUAAGUUCUCUAUAAAUCUCUUAAGUCACAUAACUUUUUGCACUGUUGCAGAACAUGCAAUAUAUUCGGCUUCCACCGUUGAUAAAGUCGUGCAUGUUUGCUUCUUGCUACUCCAUGUAAUUGUUCCUCUAUUUAGCAGGAAUACAUAUUUUGAAGCUGAUUUACGCUAAUCCAGAUCACCACCCUAGUCGGUGUCUGAAUAUCCAACAAGCCGCAAACGACCUCCUUGAUAGCAUAAACAAUAAUUUGCAGUGCAUUUGAGAUAUGCUAAAAUCCUUUUAACAGUACUCCAAUGCUUCUGACCAGGAUUAGACUGGUAUCUACCUACUAGUCCUACAACAUAACUAAUAUCAGGCAUUGUACACAUUAUGACACACUUAAGACUUCCAAUGGCAUUUGCAAAAGGAACUCUAAUCAUUUUUUCUUUUUCUUGAGGAGUCUUGGGACACAUAUCGAGACUAAGAGAUUGUCCUUUAGCUAUAGGGGUAUCCUUGUGCUUACAAUCAGCCACAUUGAAUCUUUCAAUGAUCUUCUUAAUGUAAGACUCUUGUGACAGAGCCAUAAUUUUCCUUGAACGAUCCUUAAAAAUUUUGACCCAUAAGAUAUAAGUUGCUUCGCCGAUAUCUUUCUUGUCAAAAUUUGAAUGUAGCCAAUCUUUAAUAAUUUUCACAAACUCUUUACUAUUUGCUGCCAAUAAUAUAUCGUCCAUAUACAAAGUCAAUAUCGUAAAAGCGUCUUUAUGUCUCUUAAUGUACACACAAUGGUCUUCCUUAACCAUCCUAAAGCUAAGAAACUAUAGCUUGAUAGAAUUUAAGGUUCUAUUACAAGUGGGCAUAUUUUAACUAAACCUAUCCAAACCGAUCCCGACCAUUUGGAUCGGUUUCAUUAGUAAAAAAACUAGUUUUGGUUUAUUAGAUUGCAAACCGACAUCACUCGAUUUGGAUUUCAGCAAAUCGAUCCAAUCCAGAAAAUUUAAAAAGCUUUAAGACAUAUGAUGUGUCAAUUUAUUAUUGGAUUAUUAACAGAAGAAAUGUACACUUUCAUACACAAUAGCACACUUCUUAUUAUAAAAACAAAAACACAAAAACCUAAUUGUCCAACACUCACAGCUGCCUUCACCUCCAGUGCCUCCUAUCAUUCUCAACUCUCUCAAUCUCAAUCGCUCAUUCUCAAGUCUCAGAGUCAUAAUUUUAAAAAUCGAAACAAAAGGGCAUGUUUUGAUUUUAUUUUUCUUGCUACAAUUUUAUUUUAUUUUAGUCAAAAGUUAAAGUGGAUUUUGGUAUAAUUGAUGAUAAUUUAUUUGAUUAAUUGAUUCCAUAGCUAUUUUUUUUUUAAUCUUUAUUAAUUAAAGAAGCUCUCAACAUGGAAGAUAAUUCCAAUGUGAAUAAUAUCAUAGAAAAUGGAGAAAUAGUGAUGGAUGAUUUUCUAGAACCUAAAAGUAAGAAAUCUAGAACAUGGGGUGGUCGUCUUCAUGACAGUGAAAGGGGUUCAAAAGUUUGGCCUCAUUAUAUCAAAGAUUAAGUGAAUAGGACAUGUAAGUGCAAAUAUUGUGGGAAGUAGUAUAAGUGUGAUAGUAAGUUUAAUGAGACUUUUAAUUUGUGGACUCACUUAAGAGAACAAUGUGAAAAAUAUUGGGCUACUUUAGAUUAUGUGACUCAAGUUAAACUAGCUCGCUUCCGUGAUAAGAAAAAAAAGUCUAAUAUGGCAAGUGGUAGUGGCACUAGGAAUAUUGUGUAUGGUAUUGGGUUGGGGCUUGCUGGAAAGUUUGAUCAUGAGGAUUGUAGGAAGAAUGUGGCAAUAUAUUUUAUUCUUAAUGAGGUUUCAUUUAGGAAGGUAGAGUCUUAUGGGUUUCAUCUUUUGUGCGAUAAACUUUGUCCUAGAUUUGGCCCACCUUCUAGGGGAACACUUGUUAGAGAUAUAUAUCAACUGUAUUUAGUUGAGAAUGCAGCAUUAAAAAAUAUUUUUAUUGCAAAUAAGUAUAGAGUUUCUAUUACCACAAACAUUUGGACUUUCAUACAAAAUUUUAAUUAUAUGUUGUGACAACCCAUUGGGUUGAUCAUAAUUGGAAAUUGCAUAAGAAAAUUUUGAAUUUUUUUUCCAAAUAACAAGCCACAAAGGGGACUUAAUCGGCAACCUUAUUGAAAAAUGCUUACUUGAUUGAGGUAUAGAAAAAGUGAUGAUUGUUAUAGUUGAUAAUGUGAGUUCUAAUGAUGUUGCUAUCAAUUAUUUGAAAAAAAAAAUUGAAAAAUUGGAAGGGUGAUGCAAUGAUUUUAGAUGGAGAUUAUUCACAUUUGUGGUGUUGUGCCCAUAUUGUUAAUAUAAUUGUGAUUGAAGGGCUGAAAGAGAUGCAUGACUCAAUUUCUAGCAUUUGCAAUGCAAUUAUAUAUGUGAGGUCUUUUGGUUUGAGGUUGCAUGUUGUAGGUUUUCUAAUGCUAUUGAUGUCAAUGUGCAAGUGUACACAAUAAGUAAUAUAAUGAUGAGAAUUCAAGAUUGUCUCCAUAUGUUGUUAUAGGAAUUGCUACAGCAAUUUUAUUAGUACAAUUUUUUUCCUAAACAAGAAUUAAAACAAAUUAUUAAACUAAUGAAAUAAUAAAAAUAAAAACGCAAUAAGAAAAAUGCAAUAAAGUAAAAUACCACAGCAAAUACAAGGAUGUUCCCAAGGGGAAUGGAGUAGUUGAGCGAUUAAACUCACUUAAUGGUUUUGACUAUUUUUCUAAUGUUGGCUCGAUUGCUAUAGCAUUUGCUACAGCACUGGGCGGAAUCCUUAUGUAUCCUCAGCUGUCGCAUGUUGGAUAGCUUAUAUCUAAAUGCAACUUAACAGUGACCAAUUGUUAUGCUAACGUCAGAUAUAGCAUUACACAUUUUAAAUUCUAAUUACUCUACAAGAUGAAUCCCUAUAUCUAGUUCAUCACUAAUUUUAUAUUAAGCAUGACCCUUUUCAAAUCAAGUUAAACCCAACUCAGGAAACUCAAUCUAAAACCAAGUAUUGCUUUGAUAUGUUCCACUAAGACAAGUCUUUUUUAAGCUCUUUCUUAACUAGUAUCACUAAAUGGGUGGUCAACCGAAAUAGUAAAUUGAAAUAAGUAUUAUCAAAACAACGUGCUAUAGCAAAUAUGCAACAACACAGAAUAUUAGUCAAUUAACCAUCAAGUUUGUUCAUUACUCAACCACAAGUAAAUUUAGUUCAUAAUUUUUGAUAAAACAAGAAGUAAAAUAGUUUCAGCCAUCAAACAAUUCAUCAUAACGAGAUAGAAACAAGAGAACAAAAAAUAAGAGUGAGAUCCGCUUGAUGUUCUUCUCGAAUUCCUUAGUUGCAGCCCCCAAUUCUCUCUCUUGAUCUUUGUUUUUUCUUGUGUUGUUUAUCUAUUUUUCUUCUCCAAUGACGACUCCCUUUUCUUUGCGUGUGUGCUCCUUUUAUAGCUCAGAAUUAGGGCAACUGGAAGCCUAGGACGUGCAUCUUCUAAUUUAGAAAACUCCAGACUGCAAACUUCAAAGUAUCUCGCGCGAAAUCUUCUCUGUCAAUGCUCUAGAAUUGCUAUAACAACGAUGCUACAACAACAGUGCUACAACAAUGGCUUCAGCAUCUGCAUUGUUCCAGACUUGUUUCAAUUCUUCUCUAAUUAAGUUCUUUCCUUAUCUUUACAAGCCUAUUGCAACCGUAUUCCUUUCUUGAAAUUUGAGCUUUCGGUCACCUAUAAUUAUGCAUAUGAUUUAAGUACACAAUUUAUUCUGAAUCAAACAAAACUUAUUAAAAGUAAACUAAAAUGGAUGUUUAUCCAAAACAUUACUAAAAUGCAACAAAAAUAUGUCAUUUACUCUCUAAGUAAUCAUGAUUUAAGUCUCAAAGUGUCAUGAUAACUCUCAUUUCAUAGAGUUAUCAUUAUAAAUUUAAAUCAUGUGUUGAGAGAGAGAAAUUUGAAUAUAAAGGGCUUUUAGCAUAUGAUGUGCCCACUAGAUGGAAUUAUAUCUACACUAUGUUGUCCAGAGCUAUAAACUUUCAGAAAGCUUUUGAAAGUCUGGAAGAAGAGGAAUAUGAUGGACCAAAGCUUUUUUCAAUGAGAGGAAAGCAGAACAUAUCAGGCCACCCACAGCUGAAGAUUGGAAAAUGCUGCAAUAUUUAUCAAGUUUUUGAAAUUUGUGAAUAAUGUUACAAUUGAUUACAAUGCUUUAUUAUCUGUCAUGUCUAACUUGUAUUUUCAUCAUCUUUGCACCAUUCAAACCUAGUUGCAUUCAUUUAUUGAAAAAAAGGAGGUGCUUCUUAGUAAAAGGGCAGAAAAAAUGAAAAUAAAGUAUGAAAAGUAUUGGGGUUCUGUGGACACUAUAUAUCAGCUGUUUAUCAUUGUUGUGGUACUUGAUCUAAGGUAAAAAUCUGUUAUUUCAUUUGAUUUUUUAUUUUUUAUGAUAAAAUCAAUUGUGAUAAUUAUUUACUCCAAUUCAUUUCAUAUCUAAGGUACAAAUUGGAUUAUGUGUCAUUUUGCUUUGAAAAUUUGCAUAAUCCUGAGAAAGCGAAAGAAAUUACAUCAAACAUUAAGAAGCUACUUUUAAAGGUGUAUUCUUUGAAAUACUAACUAGGCAACCCAAGAGGGGGGUGAAUUGGGAUUUUAAAAAUUAAGCUAAGCAAACCACACAACAAUCUAAUCUAAUGCCUUAAUAAAUUCGAAAACAAUAAAUUCAAUGAAAGCACAAUAAUAAAUGAGCAAGGGAAGAGAAAGAAAACUCAAGGAUUUUUACGUGGUUCGGCAAUCCCCGCCUACGUCCACGCCUCCAAGCACACCGGGCUUGAGGAUUUCACUAUCCGAGUCUUUCCAAGGCUUCAAAUGUUUACAAUUGACUUCAAGGUGUCAAUGAACCUUUACAACAAAAUAUUAUCUCUCCAAUCUCUUCACCCCAAGUGUUUCUCACACUUGUACACUCACAAUUUGAUGAGAAAUGAAAAUUACAAUAAUGAAACUCUCUUUAAGAGUGGAUAUACAAAUUGAAGAACAAAGAUGAUUUAAUAAAUGAUGAUUUACGAAAUUGAAGCUCAAUAUAUGUUGUGUGCACUUGUUUUUGCUUGCCAAGAUUUCCAAAAUUGAAUUGGUUUUGAGUUUAUAUAGUUUGAACUCAAAAAACUAGCCGUUAUGCACAUUUUGGUCAUAACCGGCUUACCAUUUAGGAAUCCGGUAAGCCGCUUUUAUGUUACCGUUAAGGCAAAAAUUUGAAUUUCAAAAUAUCCGGUAAGCCGCAUUUCAUAUCCGGUAAGCCACUUUUGAAAUCCGGAUUGCCGCUUGCGAAAUCCGGAUAGCCGUUUAUGCUCCAGAAGCUUACUGCCCAAAAUCUGGAUUGCCGUUUACUAUAUCCGGUAAGGCACUUGCUACAAUGAUUGCUACAGUGAACUAUUUUUUAAAAUUACUGUUUGGCCCCAAAACUUUCCAUAAUUGUAUUAUGGCCUAAAACGUUAUGAAAAUUUGCAAAUAGGUUCAAUUUUAGAAUUUCUAAGCAAUGCUUUGUUAAUCUCAAAACUUUUUGAAAUUAUGGUAUAGCCUAAAAUGCUAUGACACUUUUCAAACAAGUCUUUCUCUAAAAUUUCAAACAAUACUUGUUGAUUUCAAAGUUUUCAAAACUCUUUCAAUUAAAUCAUAAACUUGAAAAACAACUAAUUUCAUAAAAUCAUUUUUUCAUGAAAUAUAAAACCUUUAUAGUGUAAAAAUAAUGAUUUAUUUAAAAUGUAUAAAAAAUAAUUUGAGCUUAAAAGAUUAAUCAUUCUUAAUCUUGUUUGUUAUCAUCAAAAUCAACAUUAUGAAAACAUAUAUGUUAACAUUCUUAAACUUUCAAAUUAGAUUCAGUUAUAACACUAGUUACUUUAUUUUUUUUCUGUAAAAUGUAUUCAUAUUUACUUAAAUUUAUUUUCAUAGCUAUAUAAAACCUAUUGUCUUGUAGAAUCUACUUCUGGUGAUGGUAGCCAAUCUACUAAUGAUGUUUUGGCAAUUGAUGUGGGUUUAAGAAGGAAAAGUGGCAAGGUCUAUGCAUUUAUUAAUACAAAGACUCAAUAUAAGCAGUUAAAAGUGCAGAAAGAUUCCAUUGAUUUGAAAAAUGAGGUAGAAAGGUAUUUGUUCUAACCUAGCGAGGAUGAAACUGAUGAUUGGUUUGAUGUUUUGGGUUAGUGGAUUGCAAAUAGUGCAAGGUUUGGGACUUUGUCACAAAUUGCAAAGGAUGUGUUAGCAAUUCCUGUAUCUACUGUGGCUUCUGAAUCUACUUUUAAUACUGGAGGUCGUGUAGUCUAUGCAUUUCGAAGUUCAUUAACCCCUACAAUGGUUGAGACUUUGAUAUAUAGUCAACAAUGGCUUAAAGCAUCUGGUAUGGAUGAAAAAUAUAUUAGGAAGUUUGAUGUAGAAGUAUUAGCAUCAUACUUUAGUGAUUUGGAAUUAUGUACGUCUGUGGAGCAAGGUACCUAUGUUUUACAUAUAGUAUAAUUAUAUUAUUUUCUAAGUUAAGCAAUCUAACCAAUCAUUUUGUCAUUUUAUGCAGAUUUUGACAAAUCAAAAGUAAUUGGGCCAUAAGUUUUGAUGGACAAGAUGCACGAUAUUUUGAUUGUCAAAUGUUGUUCAAGUUUAUUUUAAUUUUGUGAGUUUGUUUUGAAUGAACAGGUUGAGAACUUCUUUAUUAUGAUGUAUUCUGUUAUGAACUUGUAUGGAUGUAUCUUUGAAUUGUUAUGUAGAUAUGAAUAAUAUAAAAGAGAUAUCAAUUUAGAUUAUGGACACAAAAAAUAACAAAUAAUUUAGGUACAACAAUAUAAAAGAGGUGGGCUUUUAGCUAAUAAUCUCAAACCAAGAAAAAAACCAAUCCAGUCGGUUUGGUUUAAAAAAAUUUUCGGUCGAUAUCAGUUUAGAUCGGUUUGAUAAUUUGUCUCAAAUUGAUCCAAACCAAAUUUGCCUACCUCUCAGUUCCAUUAUCUAGAGAAAUGCAAUAUUUACAUCCAUCUGAUGUAAUUCAAGGUCUAGAUGUACAAUAAUGACCAAAAUUAAUUGUAUAGAAGCAAACCUUACCAUAGGAGAAAAGGUUUCUUUAUAGUUUAUUCCCUCCUUUUGGGUAUAGCCUUUAGCGACUAAUCUUACUUUGUAUCUCUCGAUUGUCCCAUCCACUUUACGUUUUAUAUGGAGAACCCAUUUAUUUCCGAUAGUUUUAUGAUUAGGCAGAAAUUCAAGCAAGUCCCAAACUUGAUUAACGUUCAUAGAUUCUAUCUCUUCUUCCAUUGUUUUCAUCUAUAAAUCCUUAGCAGACGAUGUGAGAGCUUUAUUAAAAGUAUUUGGCUCUUCACUAUCGUGUGAAGUAAUCAUAAAACGUCUCCCUCAAUCUCAAAAUGACGACAAGGAAUUGACUUACGACUACUCUUCUGAGUUGAUUCCCUAAUUCGAAUCGAAGUGUCCGAUGUUUCACUCCCACUCAGAGUAACAAUCCCCAGAGGAUUCGCACUAAUGCCAAUAUCAACAUUAGAAGUGAUAACCCCAUUUGGAUCUUCUAAUUCAUAAAAUUGAAAAUCCUUAUCCACUUCUUCAAUGCUAGAAAAUUCAUUUUCUAAAAAACUGACAUUUGUUGCAACUUUUUCUUGUAUUAUUAGUAUCAAUGUGCAAGUGUACACAAUAAGUAAUAUAAUGAUAAAUAUUCAAGAUCGUCUUCACAUGGAUUGAUGUUAUCAGAAUUGCUAAAACAAUCCUGAACAGUGCAACUUGUGUUCUAAAUUAAGACUAAAUAAUUAAUGAGACUAAAUAACUAAUUAAACUAUAAAAUGUAAUAACUAAAAAGGCAAUAAAUAAAAUUUUCAUGUCAAACACAAGAAUAAAGCCAAUGAGAAUAGAGUAGUUGAAGGAUUAAACUCUCUUAAUGGUUUUGACUGUUUCUUCUAAUCUUUGGCCUGGUUGCUACAACAUUUGUUACAGCACUGGGCAAAAUCAUAUUGUAUCCUCAACUGUCGCAUGUUGGAUGUCUUAUAUCCUUAUGCAACCUAAUAGUGACCAAUUGUUAUGGUAAUAUAAGAUAUAACAUUACACAUUUAGGUUCUAUUUACCCUACAAUGUGAAUUCGUAUGUCUAAUUCAUCACUAAUUUUGGAUUAGGCAUGGCCCUUUUGGAAUCAAGUAAAACUCAACUCAACUCAAGAAACCCAAUCUAAAACCAAGUAUUACUCUGAUAUGUUACAUUAAGAUAAGCCCUUUUGUAGCUCUUUCUUAGCUUGUAUCAUUAAAAUGAGUGGUCAGCCGAAAUAAUGAAUAUAAUUAAAUAUCAUCAAAAUAAAAUGCUAUAGCAAGCAUACAACAACACAUUUAUACAGUCAAUGGACCAUCAAGAUUAUUUAUCACUCAACCACAAAUAAAUUUAGUUUAUAAUUCGUAAAAGAAACAUGAACAAUAGAGUUUUGGUCAUCAAAUGCAUUCUCAUGAUUAAAGAAUAAACAAGAAAACAAGAGAAGACUAAGAAAGACUGAGUUCCCGAUUGAUUUCUGUAAAUUCUCCUCUGAUGCAGCCCUUAAUUUUGCUCUUGAAUUAUGUUUUUCUUUUAUUUCUUUUCGAUUUUUGUUCUUGGUUGACGGCCUCUCUCUUCCUUUGCAUGUGUGCUCUUUUUAUAGAUAAAAAUUAGGGCAACUGAAAGUCUAGGGUGUGUAUCUUCCAGAUUUGGAAACUCCAUAUCUCAAUCUUUUAAGUGCCUCACAUGAAAUCUUCUCUGUCAAUGCUCUAACAUUGCUACAACAAUGUCUGCAACAUCUGCAUUAUUCCAGACUUGUUUUAAUUCUUCUGCAGCCAUGUUCUUUCAUUCAUUUUGCAAGCUCAUUGCAACAACAUCUUUUCCUUGAAAUUCAAACUUCCAAUUACCCACACUUAUGUAUGUGAUUUAAGCACACGAUUAUUCAAACCCAAACAAAAUUUACUAGAAUUAAACUAAAAUGGCUGUUAAUGCAAAAUAUCAUUAAAAUGUAAUAAAAACACAUUAUUUACUCUCUAAGAAAUCUUGAUUUAAGUCUAAAAAUGCAAUGAUAACUUCAUUUCAUAAAGUUAUUAACAUCCCGUGAUUCCAGUUCAGUUAAAAAUCCACUUUCAUGUUCACCAAUGAACACAUAUUGUUUGGAGUGUUCUGAGUAUCUAAUAAAGAUACGCUUUUUACUUCUAGCUCCUAAUUUCCCAAACUUAUGAAUGGAGUUAUAAACAUAAGCUGCAGACCCCCAAGGUCACAAAUGAAAUAGGUCAGGUUUCCUAGCCGUCUAUAACUCAUAUGAGUAGAACUAACUGAUUUUGAAGGAACUAGGUUAAAUAUACAGGCAGCAGUUAACAAUGCAUCUCCCUAAUAUGAUAUUGGAAUAUUUGAGUGUGCCAUUAUUGACCUAACCAUUUCUAAAAAAGUUAUAUUCCUUCUUUCCGCCAUACCAUUUUGUUGCAGAGUUUCAAGAAUAGUCAACUGUCUAUUUAUUCAUUUCUCACUACACAGUUCCUUGAACUAUUUUGAAAGGUAUUCAUGUCAUCAGUCAGUCCUUAGAACUUUAACAUUAUUAUCUAUUUGAUUCUCUACCAUGUUUAGAUAUAAUCUAAAGCAAUCCAAUGCUUCUGAUUUAUAAGAAAUCAAGUAGACAUGACCGAAACUUGAAUAAUCAUCAAUGAAUGUUAUAAAAUAUGAGGCUCCAUGUUUAGCCCUUACAUUCAUUGUAUCACAGAUGUUAGAAUGGAUUAAUUGUAAUGAUUUUUCAACUCUAAUUCCUUUGUCAAAUGGUUUUCUAGUUGUUUUUUCAGCUAAACAAUUCUCACAUAUGGGCAAUUCAACCUUGGUAAGUAAACCCAAUAUGCCCUUUCUCGUAAGUCUAUUCAUUCUUUUUUGCCCUAUGUGACCUAAUCAAGCAUGCCAAGUAAUAACAUCUAUUUUAUUAUUACUUAAAGAAGUAGCAUAUGAAAAAUAAUUAUUAUCAUAACUUGAAUUAUCAGGUAUUGUAUCUAAUAUAAUAAAACCAUUAACGAAAUGCCAGUUCUAAUAAGGACUAAAUUUAAGAAAAUCUCCAAAAAAAAAUCAUAAAAGUUUAAAUUAUAUCCUAAUUCAAGAAGAACAAGAAUAGAAACCAAGUUUCAUCGAAUCUCUAGUGCAUAUAGGACAUCGUGUAAUAAAAGAAUACGUCCACCAUGCAAAGUCAAUUUGUAGGUGUCUAUUCCUUUUGCUUCAACCCUGGAGUUGUUGCCCACGUAUAUCCAUUUAGUCCCUUGACUAAUUUGGUGAUACUCUACAAACGCAUUUUGAUCACGAGCUAUAUAGUCUGUUGAUCCUGAGUCUACAGUCUACAUAGGACGAGAAUCAAUUAGGAGUACAUAACUCAUAACUAACACAAAAUUUAAUAAAGUGGAGUUGGGCUCAGUGCACUCGCGAGCAAAGUGAUCGGGCUCACUACAAUUAUAGUAUUUCAUCUUAGAUUUGUCAUUUUUCUUGUUAGUGCGUCUACCCCUUGGGCGCUUCUUAGCAUCUGAAUUCCUCUUAUUAGGAUCAGAUUUCUUACCCUUCUGGUUAUAAUUAUGACCCUUUUGUACUUGAAGCUUGAAGCUUUGUGCGAAUUUGAUUCGGUCAUAUAAACACGAUCAAAAAGCUUAGUUGCCUCAAGGCGCUUUACUUCUAAUUCUAGGUGAUGUUCUAUGUCAUUGAAAGUUCUAAUACUUUCAUUAUGAGUCAUAUUCACCAUCAUGUGCAGCCAAGAAUCAGGUAGAGAUCUUAUUACUUCCUGGACUUGUUGUUCAUCAGUCAAAAUAUGUCCAGCAGCCUUAAGUUCGCAAAUCAUGUUUGACCUCUCCCUCAGCUGCUGCCUCAUAAUAUGAUUUUGGCAAUUCCGAGAAGAAUCAAACUUGAUCAUAAGCCUUGCAAUUUAGUAGUCGAAGUGCCACUGAACUUAUCUUUUAGAGCGAGCCACAUCUGUUGAGCAGUCUCUUAUAGCCUCUUCUACUAUAGUAGCGGAGUUCAUAGCAUGUAACGAGACAUCCAAUCACAGAAUAUGGCUAAGGAAUUACGUCACAGAGUUACACAUUUUAGAUGUUAUUGAUAGACCACUUAAGUUAUUAUGUGACAAUAAGUUAGCAGUGCUAUAUUCCAAUAACAAUAGGAGCUCGACGAAGUCACAGUAUAUAAACAUCAAGUUCCUAGUUGUUAAAUAAAGAAUUCAGAGUGGAAAAUUGUCUAUAAAGCAUAAUGGUACAAAAUUCAUGAUCACGGAUUCGCUUACUAAGGGAAUACCAUCUAAAAUUUUUCAUAAGUACACCGUUCAUAUAAGUGUCGUGUCAUUAAAGGAUAUUCAUUUUUAAUGGGAUUUUGUAAAUUUCAAAUGUUCUUAUGAUAUAAACAUUUUUCGGUUUAGGGAUAUUUAAGGUUAUUUUCUGCAGAAAUAAAGUUUUGGUUUAUUCAUUCACACUAAUUUUUAUAUGAUUUGAUCUCACUAAAGUUUAAGGCGGAUCAAUUGGAAAUAGGCAUGUUAAGAUCACAUUACAUGAAAUUUCCAUCCUACACGCCCAUAUCAUGAUCUAUGUCAUUCAGUUAUAUUGGCAUAGUGAGCAUUGAUGGGUCAAGUUACGAUAGUUGUAACAAAGGUCGUUUUGAUCCUUUGUUGAUAUGAUUGAUGGACCGAAUUGACUAUAGAUACAGUUUAGUAAUGACAGUAAAGUUGAGCUCAUAUGGUUAUUUUUGCAAAGUAUAAUUAUAAGGUUACAUAUAUAGCCCAAGUGAAAGGUUGUUGGAUCUUUAAUCUAGCAUUGUUAGAUCCUUGAUCCAAUGUUGGGUUUAUAUGUGAAUAAUUAUAUGUUGUGAACUAUUAUAUAAGAUUAAGACAAAUUAAAAAUGAUCUAUUAAGGUUUUCGAUAAUUUGGGCUUUAAUGUAUCUAAUCAAUUGUGGGCCUUUAAUGUACAGAGACUUAAGACUAAUUUCUAUUUCCAUGAUGGGUUGGAAUAAGAAUACAUAAAGACAAAAGAAAAAUUUGUUUAUAUAAAUAGUUAUUGUCCGUAGGUCACACGUAUCGUUCUAUUCUCUGUUGACAUCUUAUCAUUAGAGAGAGUGCACAGAGAAGUUUAAAGGAUUCUCUAGGAGAAUCUGUUAAUUUGGAAGACAAACUACUAGACUCUAGAGACAAAUUGUGCAUUAUACUAGUCUUGAACAUGUUCAAUUCUCAAGGCAUCCAGAGGAGAUUUGCCCCUAAGCUUGCGAGCACACAAGUUCCUGAAGUAUUCUUCAACUGUCACUCUUUUAAACAAUAGAGGAUUAUUUUCAGAGACCAAAUUGGACGUAGGGUACAUUUCACCAUCAUAUAUCACUAAGUAAACUGUGCCAAUGGAAAGUCUUCCUUGUAUAGAGUUUACAAUUACACGAUGCUCAAUGCUACGGUAUGUCCCAUUGGUUACAAUCUGCCAUGUAAAAAUUAUUAAAGCACAUGAGCAGGCUCAUAUAAAUGCCAAGUUAAGUAUUUUACUAUAAUUAUUACCUCCAGUGUGUCUCCAAUGUCGACAAUGAAAGCAUUAGGGAGUGGAGCAACAGGAAUUAAUGAAAGCACACAUUAGCUAGCUCAUAUGAAUGUCAAGUUAAAAUAACUUAUCAUAAUAAUUACCUCCAACACGACUCCAAUGUUGACAACGAAAGCAUUUGGAAAAGGUGUAACAGGAAUCCACUUUCCAUCCUUCUUGAUCUGGAGACCUUCUACUUCAUUGAUUUCCAGCAGAAUGGUAAGAACAGAGUCAUCUGAAUGAGUUGUGAGGCCCACAACCUUCUCCGGCUGAGGACAUGGAGGGUAAUAGUUCAUCCCCAUUGAUUGGAAACCAUUUUCAAAGUAUUCUCUCAAUUCUUCAUCUUUGAUAUUUAGAACUUUUCCCAUUUUCAAUACCAGGUUCAUGGCCAGAGAUUUUUAACUCCACUGAAUAAAUUCCAAGAUUUCCUACAAGAAAAAAGAAGAUGCAAUUAAAAGGUUUAGUACAUGAUUGUGGUGGAUUGUUAAACAAGUUAUUAUUUAACAGUAUUCUUUCAUGUUUGGUUGUCAAAUUUUACUAAAUAUAACUGACUUGGGAUCUUUCUCUGAACAUAAUACAUUUGCAAUCAUCAAAUAACUGACUAGAGAGAGAAAAAGAGAAACCUGAGGGGUAAAGAGGGAGCUUAGGAAACAAGUGGGGUUUCCUCAGAUGAAUUGGAAGAGUUGUCAUGAAGAAAAUGUCAAUCCAAUCAACCUUUUGUUCCUCGGAUAUAACACAUGCUUGUCCAAAUCCUUCCAUAUUUGUUAGAUUUCAAUAAACUAAUAGAAUCACAUUUGCAUUAUACUCCAUCAUAAAUUUGCUUAUAGUUCUUCUCAAGCUAUCGUAAGCCUAGACAUCUGAAAGAUAUUAAAGACAAUUUAAUUUUCAAGAAUGCAGGUUUGUCUUCUCAGCUAUACAAGAAAGCAAGUUAGAUGGUCCAUAAUCGGACAAGGUCAGUUACAUCCCUCAAUUUUCAAAAAAAAAAAAAAAAAGGAGUGCUUAAACCGGCUUGGUUAAGACUAUCUAGACUCAAAUUUUGUUACAGCUUUCUUAUUGCUAACUUACAGAGUAAGAAAGCAUUGAUACAGAGUAGGCCAAAUUUGUGGCCUACUUGACCUAUAAGAAUGAAACACAAUCUAAUCUGAAUUUGAUCGACUGUACUUUUUGAUUGAGAGUAUAUAGAUUUCUUAAUUCUUGACGCCAGACUACUAUUAAUAAACCAAGCAUGUCCAAAUGAAAAAAUACAAACUUGGGUGCCUCACGACAGGUGUAGCUUAGCUGGUUGUGAAUGUAAUUCGCAAUUUGCAGAUAUCUGCGCUCGAGUAACAAUAUGGGACAAACGGUGGUAUUUACUAGAUGAGGUCUCAUCCCAAGCAAAUCCUUUAAAAGCAAAAUAAUAAUAACUUGGCAAAGGAGUUUACCUAGAAAGAAGCCCAUUCUUUGCAAGCGAAGUGGAGCCUGGACAACUCAGAAUCCAUUGACUCUUCAGAAAACAAGCUCUGCAAUACCCGUGAAUCCAAAUUAUUAUCAGAAAUUGUGGUUAAAUCUUGGCCUGGUCGUAUGUAUCUGGGAGGGAUAGCUAACAUAGGGUUCUUGGCCAACUCUUGAACACAAGGCACAGGCAGAGAACCUCCGAACUUGGCCUUCUUUUUGUUCCACAAAUUCUCUCAACAAUAAUGCUCCAGAGUUUUAUUGACAAAGCAAAUGUUGAAAAUGUAUUAUUUUCAACAAGUCAUUAUUUGCUGUGGCCUUGUGUGAGACUAAUCCACCAUUGCGGGUCUAGGGUUGGCCCAUAGAUAUUUUGUGAAUAUGACAGUUGCAGUCUGCUGUUGUGUUGCUGUCUGCUGCGAAUUAUAAAAAAGAUAGUGCAUUGCCUUCACAAACUCUUAAGAAUUUGGAUACCAUGCUAAUUUCUUUUACAUGGUCUGAUGACAACCAAUCAAAAUCUUGUAUUUUUCUCAGCAUAAUAGCUGAUCAUCAACCGUAGUUCCAAGUUCAACUUUGAGAGAGACGAUCUGAAUAUGAAAUCCAAAGUUAUAGCUUUGCAGCUUGUGUAACUAACAUCUAUUUUCAGCUAUUGAUGGCAAAAUUUUUCGUUAGUGGUAACAAGUUAUGUAUUCGUCACAAUGUGUGUUAUGGAAUGGAAUAUUUAAGACGUGGAAGGACAACAUUGUUGUUAAAAAUCAAAAACUUGUUACUAUUAACUGAAAACUAUAACGGCUGAUACAGAAACUACACUGGUUCUGUGGUAAUAUUAUCUGUAUGUAUCAUAAAAAUUUGGAAACCAAGUCAUAUAGUCCUUGAAAUCUCAUUAAAAACAAGUCAGGUAUGCAAAAAUUCUAUUUCAAAAAAGAAAGAUACUGAUCUGAUAUAAGCACCACCAUAUAUCAUCGGAAGAUUCCAGGCAUAAGUCUGCAAUUCUUAAGAUUCUUACAUGGUCUAUUCAGUAUCUCAAAUGAUAGAGCUACACAACGAUCCCAGCAUAGCAGGUUAUACCACAGUAUUCAUAGAACUUAUUUCUUAUUUUCAGUUCCACACACAAUCUCAAUAGCAAGGUCCUUCAGAGUUUUUGUACCAAACUCUUUAGUUAUCCGAAAUAAACUUAUACUAGCCUUGACCAUGUUGAAUUCUCAGGGAAUCCAGCUGAGAUUUUCCCCUAAGCUCACGAGCAUACCGGCUCCUAAAGUAUUCUUCAAUUCUCACUCUUCUAAACAAAGGAGGAGUUUUUUCAGAGAUCAAACUGGAGGCAGGAUAUACUUCACCAUCAUAUCUCACUGAGUAAACUGUGGCAACGGAAAGUCUUUCCUGUACAGAGUUUACAACUGCACGAUGCUCAAUGCUACGGUAUGUCCCAUUGGUUAUAAUCUGCCAUGUAAAAAUUAGUAAAGCACAUAAGCAAGCGCAUAAAAAUGCCAGGUUAAGGUAAUUUAUUAUAAUUAUUACCUCCAAUGUGUCUCCAAUGUUGACAAUGAAAGCAUCCGGGAGUGGGGUAACAGGAAUCCACUUUCCAUCCUUCUUUACCUGGAGACCCUCCACUUCAUUAAGUUGUAGCAGAAUGGUAAGUGCAGCCGCAUCAGAAUGCGGCGACAGGCCCAUAACCUUCUCGGGCUGAGGACAUGGAGGGUAAUAAUUCAUCCUCAUUCCUUGCAGUCCAUUUUCAAAGAAUUCUCUCAUUUCUUCAUCUUUGAUAUUUAACACUUCUCCCAUUUUCGAUAUUAGGUUCUCGGCUAGGGUUUUUAAUUCCAUUGAGUAAACUUCCAAGGUCUCUCUACAGGAAAAGAAGAUGCACCAUCCUUUAUUUGUUUGCAAAUCAAAAUGACAUUGACAUAGAGAGAGAGAGAGAGAGAGAGAGAGAGAGAGAACCUGAGGGAAGGAGGGAGCUUAGGAAAUAAAUGUGGUUUCCUCAGAUGAACUGGAAGAGUCAUCAUGGAGAAAAGGUCAGCCCAAUCAAGCUUUUGUUCCUCAGAUACAACAAAGGCUUGUCCAAAUCCUUCCAUAUCUCCUGGACGCUGCCAAUAUUUUUUCUUUUCUUCCAUGCUGAGAUUGAAGAAUCCCUCAACCUCUUUCUUUAAUUUCUCUAGAAAUGCUGUGCUCAUUCCAUGAUUUACCAGCUGAAAAAAAUACAGGAACGAAAUGUGGCAAAGAUUUAAUAAUCGUGCCACUAAGCUCACAAUAGUCCAGGUGUUUUAUUAAGACAGAUUGCAACUUAUCUGACUGAUUUAGAGAUAAGAUUUACAAUCAAAGAUGGCUAAAAGCAUUUGUUACAUUUAAAUCUUCUCAACAAUUAGUUUCCACAGGUGUUUUCUAUUCAUUCUAUCGGAGAAAUUUCGGUUAUUCUAGAAUAACUAUAAUGAGCAUAAAGUUCUUGUGGUUUGUUCACACCUAGAAUUUGAAAAAUCAUACAACAGCAAAUAAUCUCAAUGUUACUUCUAAUUGUCUUUAAAUUAAAGUAAAUUUGCAACAUUGACUACAGAAAUGAGUACAUUUUCUAAGAGGUCUUACACAAUUUACGAUAGUAUAUCUUUUAAAAUUUUGACAGAAGCAUAUUUCUCAUAAGGUACCAAAAGCUAUUGAGGCAGAGGAGGUGAAAUUUCUCAAGACCGUCUUUUUAAUACAUAUUGCGUGUUUGACAUUUAGGAAUGAAAUAGCUAAUUAACCCAUGUCUGGAGGGGGAAAGGUAAAGCAGUAUAGAAAGUCAAUAAUAAAUAAACCAGAGACAAGUUUUUCUUUUCACAAGCUGCAGUCCUAAGCCACAGACAACACCGGAAAGUGAAACCAUGAUCUGCUAACAUCAAUGAUACGUGGGUUUAAGAAAUAAAUAUGAAUUUUAAUUUUGCCUAUUUGAUUGAGAAUUUGCAUAUUUCUCGAUUCUUGAUCACAAACAAGCAUGUUCUGGCGAAACAAUUUUCUAACUUUGCUAAAGCAUUAUACCUGGAAAAAACCCCAUUCUUUGCAUACGAAGUCGAGCUUGGCUAACUCAGAAUCCAUUGAUUCUUCAGAAUGUAAGCUUUGCAUGUCAAUAACUGGUAUCUGUGAAAUCAAAGUAUCAUCAGAAAUGAGGGGUGAAUCUUGAUCUGGACGUAUGUAUCUGUCGGGGACAACUAACGCCGGAUUCUUGACCAACUCUUGAACACAAGGCACAAGGAGAGAACUUCCAAUCUGGGCCAUCUUUUGUUCCUCAAAUCCUUUCAAGAUUGCUGCAGCUUUGUAUUGAAUUUGGAACAAGACUGAGUGCCGACAAUCACAAAAGUAAAAAAGAAUCUUUUUCCAAGAAAUUAAUCAGCAUCCUCCACCUAACCAUUCAUGAAGUAUUUUUAAUUUUUUGCACAUGUUUAGAAUGCAUAAUAAAAUAUUCGCAGGUCAAAACUAUCCUCUAUUGAUAAGGAUAACAAAUCAUCAGCCAAUUAAUUAUUUGUGGUGCCCACCUUGUCAUCAACCCAAAAGGUGAAGGUAUUUUCAAUACUGCGUUUUGUUGUCUUUUUCCCUUUUUUUUUUUUUUUGCACAACUUGGUAUUGGUCUCGGAGCAUUGCAACAGUUUAAAAUGUAUUAUUUUGAGCUUGUCAGCAUUUGCUCUUGACUUGUGAGAGUAAUCCACCAUUGCGUGUCUGCAGUUAAAAGGACUUUGGUGGUUCUCGAGUAUUACUUUUUAUCUAUUCAAAUCUUGAUAUAUGGGUGAACAUAUUAUCAUAAUUGAUUAAAACAUAUAUAUGAUUACCUAAAUUUUUUUCUAACACGCUGCAAUCUGGUGCUGUGUUGGAAUUGACUGUGCACUAUUAAGAAAAUAGUGGAUUCGAAUUGUAAUCGAUUAGUCAUUUAUGCAAUUAUAGCUGUUUAUAUUUAGGCAUUAAUUAUCUUUAUAUUUUUUUCUGAUAACAACCAAUUAAAACCUCAUAUUUUGCUUGUGAAUCCAAGUUCCACUUAUGAAAGUAACAUCUGUCUCAUUUUUAGUUAUUGAUAAUUAUUAUUACUAUUAUUAUUAUUUAUUAUUAUUAUUAUUGGUAACAAGUUACAACUUAUGUACUCAUGCAAUGUGUGCUAUGGAGAACAAUGUUGCUACAAGCAAUACAAAAUUUGUUACAAUUUAUUGCCUUGAAUAUUUUCGGUAAAAACUACUUAUUUUAACUACAUUCAUGCUACUGGGGAAGGUUGUAAAACACAUUAUCACAACAAUCUGCUUAAUGUGACGGUUUUUGCAACCGGUUUACAGUUGGUCCAUCUUUACAGUUGCAAAAAAAAAAAACUGGGAGCAACCGGUUGCCCCUUGAAUAAAUUAAAUAAUAAUAUUUAAUUAAAAAAAUAAAAUAUUCAUUAUUUUAAUAUUAAAGAACAAGACAAAAAAAAUAAUAUUUAUAAUAAUAAAAAAAAAGUUUUAAGUUUAAUGGUAUAAAUAUCAAGUUAAUAGUUCUGAUUUCAUGUUUAUUGGUCCAUUAAUUUCAUUAUUUUCAUGGUUGCGAGUUAAUGAUCUCACGUUUCAUGUUUAUUGCCCUAAGUUUCAAUUUCCUUCAGUUUCACGUUUAAUGGUCAAGGUAUUAACUUAAUGGUCACAGCUUCAUGUUCAUUGGUCCAUUAAUUUAACAAUUUUCAUGGUUACAAGUUAAUAAUAACAUAUUGCAUAUUUAUUGUCCUAUGUUUCAUGUUCCUUCAGUUUCCUUCAGUUUCACGUUUAAUGUUCCUUCAGUUAAUGGUCUUGAUUUCAUGUUUAUUGGUCCAUUAAUUUCAUUAUUUUCAUGGUUGCGAGUUAAUGAUCUCACGUUUCAUGUUUAUUGCCUUAAGUUUCAAUUUCCUUCAGUUUCACGUUUAAUGGUCAAGGUAUCAACUUAAUGGUCACGAUUUCAUGUUCAUUGGUCCAUUAAUUUAAUGAUUUUCAUGAUUGCAAGUUAAUGAUAACAUAUUGCAUGUUUAUUGCCCUCUGUUUCAUGUUCCUUUGGUAACAUGUUUAAUGGUUCGGGUAUCAAGUUAAUGGUUAUGCUUUCAUGUUUAUUGAUCCAUUAAUUAAAUAAUUUUAAUGGUUGCAAGUUAAUGAUCUCAUAUUUCAGGUUUAUUGCCUUAAGUUUCAAGUUCACUGGUUUCAAGUUUAUUGGUUUUGGUAUCACGUUAAUGGUCAUGAUUUCAUGUUUAUUGGUCCAUUAAUUAUAUAAUUUUUCAGGUUGCAAGUUAAUGAUUCGAUAUUUCAUGUUCAUUGCCCUAAGUUUCAAGUUCAUUAAUUAAAUAAUUUUAAUGGUUGCAAGUUAAUGAUCUCAUAUUUCAGGUUUAUUGCCCUAAGUUUCAAGUUCACUGGUUUCAAGUUUAUUGGUUUUGGUAUCACGUUAAUGAUCAUGAUUUCAUGUUUAUUGGUCCAUUAAUUAUAUAAUUUUUUAUGUUGCAAGUUAAUGAUUCGAUAUUUCAUGUUCAUUGCCCUAAGUUUCAAGUUCAUUGCCCUAACAUUCAAGUUCAUUAAUUUAAACAGUUUUAAGAUUGCAAGUUAAUGAUCUCAUAUUUUAGGUUUACUGCCUUAAGUUUCAAGUUUACUGGUUUCAAGUUUCACGUUAAUGGUCAUGAUUUCAUGUUCAUUGGUCCAUUAAUUAUAUAAUUUUUUAGGUUGCAAGUUAAUGAUCAUAUGUUUCAUGUUUAUUGCCCUAAGUUUCAAGUUCAUUAAUUUAAUAUUUUAAUGGUUGCAAGUUAAUGAUCUCAUAUUUCAGGUUUAUUGCCCUAAGUUUCAAGUUCACUGGUUUCAAGUUUAUUGGUUUAGAUAUCACGUUAAUGGUCAUGAUUUCAUGUUCAUUGGUCCAUUAAUUAUAUAAUUUUUUAGGUUGCAAGUUAAUGAUUACAUGUUUCAUGUUCAUUACCCUAAGUUUCAAGUUCAUUAAUUUAAUCAUUUUAAUGGUUGCAAGUUAAUGAUCUCAUAUUUCAAGUUUAUUGCCUUAAGUUUCAAGUUCACUGGUUUCAAGUUUAUUGGUUUUGGUAUCACGUUAAUGGUCAUGAUUUCAUGUUUAUUGGUCCAUUAAUUAUAUAAUUUUUCAGGUUGCAAGUUAAUGAUUCGAUAUUUCAUGUUCAUUGCCCUAAGUUUCAAGUUCAUUAAUUAAAUAAUUUUAAUGGUUGCAAGUUAAUGAUCUCAUAUUUCAGGUUUAUUGCCCUAAGUUUCAAGUUCACUGGUUUCAAGUUUAUUGGUUUUGGUAUCACGUUAAUGAUCAUGAUUUCAUGUUUAUUGGUCCAUUAAUUAUAUAAUUUUUUAUGUUGCAAGUUAAUGAUUCGAUAUUUCAUGUUCAUUGCCCUAAGUUUCAAGUUCAUUGCCCUAAGUUUCAAGUUCAUUAAUUUAAUCAUUUUUAUGAUUGCAAGUUAAUGAUCUCAUAUUUUAGGUUUAUUGCCUUAAGUUUCAAGUUUACUGGUUUCAAGUUUCACGUUAAUGGUCAUGAUUUCAUGUUCAUUGGUCCAUUAAUUAUAUAAUUUUUUAGGUUGCAAGUUAAUGAUCAUAUGUUUCAUGUUUAUUGCCCUAAGUUUCAAGUUCAUUAAUUUAAUAUUUUAAUGGUUGCAAGUUAAUGAUCUCAUAUUUCAGGUUUGUUGCCCUAAGUUUCAAGUUCACUGGUUUCAAGUUUAUUGGUUUAGAUAUCACGUUAAUGGUCAUGAUUUCAUGUUCAUUGGUCCAUUAAUUAUAUAAUUUUUUAGGUUGCAAGUUAAUGAUUACAUGUUUCAUGUUCAUUACCCUAAGUUUCAAGUUCAUUAAUUUAAUCAUUUUUAUGGUUGCAUGUUAAUGAUCUCAUAUUUCAGGUUUAUUGCCUUAAGUUUCAAGUUCACUGGUUUCAAGUUUAUUGGUUUAGAUAUCACGUUAAUGGUCAUGAUUUCAUGUUCAUUGGUCCAUUAAUUAUAUAAUUUUUUAGGUUGCAAGUUAAUGAUCAUAUGUUUCAUGUUCAUUACCCUAAGUUUCAAGUUCAUUAAUUUAAUAAUUUUAAUGGUUGCAAGUUAAUGAUCUCAUAUUUCAGGUUUAUUGCCCUAAGUUUCAAGUUCACUGGUUUCAAGUUUAUUGGUUUUGGUAUCACGUUAAUGAUCAUGAUUUCAUGUUUAUUGGUCCAUUAAUUAUAUAAUUUUUUAUGUUGCAAGUUAAUGAUUCGAUAUUUCAUGUUCAUUGCCCUAAGUUUCAAGUUCAUUGCCCUAAGUUUCAAGUUCAUUAAUUUAAUCAUUUUUAUGAUUGCAAGUUAAUGAUCUCAUAUUUUAGGUUUAUUGCCUUAAGUUUCAAGUUUACUGGUUUCAAGUUUCACGUUAAUGGUCAUGAUUUCAUGUUCAUUGGUCCAUUAAUUAUAUAAUUUUUUAGGUUGCAAGUUAAUGAUCAUAUGUUUCAUGUUCAUUACCCUAAGUUUCAAGUUCAUUAAUUUAAUAAUUUUAAUGGUUGCAAGUUAAUGAUCUCAUAUUUCAGGUUUAUUGCCCUAAGUUUCAAGUUCACUGGUUUCAAGUUUAUUGCUUUUGGUAUCACGUUAAUGAUCAUGAUUUCAUGUUUAUUGGUCCAUUAAUUAUAUAAUUUUUUAUGUUGCAAGUUAAUGAUUCGAUAUUUCAUGUUCAUUGCCCUAAGUUUCAAGUUCAUUGCCCUAAGUUUCAAGUUCAUUAAUUUAAUCAUUUUUAUGGUUGCAAGUUAAUGAUCUCAUAUUUUAGGUUUAUUGCCUUAAGUUUCAAGUUUACUGGUUUCAAGUUUAUUGGUUUAAAUAUCACGUUAAUGGUCAUGAUUUCAUGUUCAUUGGUCCAUUAAUUAUAUAAUUUUUUAGGUUGCAAGUUAAUGAUCAUAUGUUUCAUGUUUAUUGCCCUAAGUUUCAAGUUCAUUAAUUUAAUAUUUUAAUGGUUGCAAGUUAAUGAUCUCAUAUUUCAGGUUUGUUGCCCUAAGUUUCAAGUUCACUGGUUUCAAGUUUAUUGGUUUAGAUAUCACGUUAAUGGUCAUGAUUUCAUGUUCAUUGGUCCAUUAAUUAUAUAAUUUUUUAGGUUGCAAGUUAAUGAUUACAUGUUUCAUGUUCAUUACCCUAAGUUUCAAGUUCAUUAAUUUAAUCAUUUUUAUGGUUGCAUGUUAAUGAUCUCAUAUUUCAGGUUUAUUGCCUUAAGUUUCAAGUUCACUGGUUUCAAGUUUAUUGGUUUAGAUAUCACGUUAAUGGUCAUGAUUUCAUGUUCAUUGGUCCAUUAAUUAUAUAAUUUUUUAGGUUGCAAGUUAAUGAUCAUAUGUUUCAUGUUCAUUACCCUAAGUUUCAAGUUCAUUAAUUUAAUAAUUUUAAUGGUUGCAAGUUAAUGAUCUCAUAUUUCAGGUUUAUUGUCUUAAGUUUCAAGUUCACUGGUUUCAAGUUUAUUAGUUUAAAUAUCACGUUAAUGGUCAUGAUUUCAUGUUCAUUGGUCCAUUAAUUAGAUAAGUUUUUAGGUUGCAAGUUAAUGAUCAUAUGUUUCAUGUUUAUUGCCCUAAGUUUCAAGUUCAUUAAUUUAAUAAUUUUUAUGGUUGCAAGUUAAUGAUAUCAUAUUUUAGGUCAAUUGCCUUAAGUUUCAAGUUCACUGGUUUCAAGUUCAUUGGUUUAGAUAUCACGUUAAUGGUCAUGAUUUCAUGUUUAUUCGUCCAUUAAUUAUGUAAUUUUUUAGGUUGCAAGUUAAUGAUCACAUGUUUCAUGUUGAUUGCCAUAAGUUUUAAGUUCAUUAAUUUAAUAAUUUUUAUAGUUGCAAGUUAAUGAUCUCAUAUUUCAGGUCUAUUGCCUUAAGUUUCAAGUUCACUAGUUUCACGUUUAUUGGUUUAUGUAUCACGUUAAUGGUCAUGAUUUCAUGUUUAUUAGUCCAUUAAUUAUAUAAUUUUUUAGGUUGCAAGUUAAUGAUCACAUGUUUUAUGUUCAUUGCCCUAAGUUUCAGGUUCCUUCUGUUUCAAGUUUAAUGGUCCCGGUAUCAAGUUAAUGGUGCUGAUCUCAUGUUUAUUGGUCCAAUAACUGUAUGAUUUCCAUAGUGCAAGUUAAUGAUCGCAUGUUCGAAGUUAAUGAUUUAAUGUUCAUUUAGUUUCCUUUGCUUCCGCUGAAUAACAAAUAUUGUGUUUUAGGUUAAGAUAAACUGAUUAAAUAGCAUGCAAAAUGGUUUGAAAUCAAUGUGCGUAAUUAAUUAUGCCAGCUGUUGCAGCUACUAAUGGCCCUACUGAUAAUGCUUAUUUUGGGGAUUUCAGUUGCUGCUGCUGUUGGCAUAAGCAGCCAGCAACUGCAGUUGCAGCUGAACCAGCCACAGCAGCAGCCACCAGCAAUAGCAGCAGCCACUAGCUGCAGAACCAGCAACAGCAGUAGCCACCAGUUGGUACUUAUGCAGGCACCAGCUACUACAAAAGCAGCGAGCAGCUGUUGUUGCUUAUGCAGCAGCAACAAUAACAACACCAGUAGGAAUGCUAUUGCUUGUAGCUGCUAGCAGCUGCUGCUUAUGCAGCAACAGGUGCCUGCAGAACCAGCAACAGCAGCAACUACCAAUUGCUGCUUUUGCAGGCACCAGCUGCAGUAACAACACCAGCAGCAGCUGCUUCUGCAUCUAGCUGCCAGCAGCUGCUUCUGCAUCUAGCUGCCAGCAGCUGCUGCUGCAACAGGCAGCUGCAGAACCAGCAACAGCAGCAGCUGGUACCUGUUGUUUUUGCAAGCACCAGCUACUGUUGCUGCAUAAGCAGUAGCUGCUGCAUCUAGGGAUGGCAAUGGGCACCGCCCGCAGCGGGUUUGCCAUUACCAAACCCAAACCCGCACAAAAUUUAAAUUACCAAACCCACCCGCAACCCGCAGCGGGUUUUAAAUUUUUUUAAAAAACCCACCCGCAGCGGGUUUUAACAAUUACCAAACCCGCAAUGGUAUCCGACGGAUUUUUUGCGGGUUUCCGUAUUUAAAAUCACAAAUAUUUAAUAUAUAAAUUUAUAAUAAUAACCUCAAGUUCCAUAUAACAUAUUCAAUUUUAUAUUUAAACAGUGUAAAUGAAAAAUUAAAAUUUCCACAUCAAUUCAACACAAAUUCUCAAAUUUAAGUAUAAAUUAUACAAAUCUAUUUAAAAAACACAAACUAAUAUCUAAAAAUAAUAAUUACAUUUCAUAUUAUCAUUUAAAACAAGAUCAAAGAGAAUAUAUUUAUUUUAUUCACCACCAUAAGCACCCAUCUAACACAAUGCCUAAAAUAAUAAUUAAGAUUAAUAUUUUCAAAUACUAAUUCGAAGGGAAAUGCCUUUAGUUUUCUUUAGGUUAUGACUUUAGAAUAAGAGAUGAGCCAUAUACACACAUACACAACUUUGAGCCUUUUGCUAUUUGGUAAUUUGAUUAAUUACAUUAUUUUCUUUAUAUAUUUUUAUAUUUAAAUUAAAUUAAAAAUAUUUGAAAAAAAUUAUUGCGGGUUUGGUGGAUAUCCAUGCGGGUAUCCACCGGGUAUAAGGUUAAUACCAAACCCACCCGCAUCCAUAUGCGGGUUUUAAUUUAUAAUACUAAACCCACCCGCAACGGAUAAAAUUACCCGCAACGGGCGGGUUUUGGCGGGUGGGUUUGGGCGGGUUUGCGGGUUUGCGGGUACAAUUGCCAUCCCUAGCUGCAUCCAGCUGCUGCUUAUUCAGCAACAACAGAAGCUACCAACUGUUGCUUUUGCAGGCACCAGCUGUUGCUGCAUAAGCAGCAACUGCAGAAACAACACCAGCAGCAGCUCCUGCUGCAUUUAGUUGCCAGCAGCUGCUGCUGCAUCCAGUUGCCUAUUGCUGCUGCUUAUGCAGCAGUAGGCAAUUGUAUAACCAGCAACAGCUGCAGCUGGUAGCUAUUGCUAUAAUAAGCAGCGGCCAUGGUGGCAUAUAAAACAAAUUUUCGAACAUGUAAAAUAUACUUCCGAACAUGUAAAACAACCAUCCAAACAUAUAAAACAAAUUUCUGAACAUAUAAAAGAAACUUCCGAACUUGUCAAAUAAAAUUUCCGAACAUAUAAAACAACCAUCCGAACAUAUAAAACAAUCAUCCAAACUUAAAACUAACAUCUAAACAUACAUAAUGGCAUAAAGAAAUGAAAACUACUGAGGCGGCGGGGAUGGUGGUGUUGGAGGUGGAAACGGAUAAGGAAUGCCAAAGUGCUCGAACAGGAGGCGUUGUCCGUGAAGGAGCUGCUGAUGCUGCUCUGACAAACGCCAGUGCUCCUCCAGAACGUGAUGCUGAAAGCUAGUCUGCUGUACAGAAAGUGUCCUCACCUCGUCCAUAAGUUGUUGAAGAGUAACUUCGCCGAAGUCAUGUGACUCUGCAGGUGGUACGACAGAUGCAGAAGCAUCAUGAUCAGGUUCACAGGUAGGAGGGUCCUCACGUCUACGCUAACCCCGGAAAGGAAGUGAAAAAUCAGGCAGCUGAUCAGUAGGAACUACAAAAUUCAAAGGACGAUCAUCACUCGGAGCAAGCAUUGUGUACUUAGCUUCAGUAUACUUCACCCAUGCUCCAUUACGCCACUCAAAUCCUAAGGCAUACACGGCCUCAUCUCCUAUACUCCUACAGGGUUUACAAGACGGUUCGUUUACGGGCACCCUAAAGUAUUUAAGGAUUUGCGUGAUGAAAUUUCCAUAUGGAAGAGUACGACUGAUUAAGUUAGGUAUGGAAAGCAUGGUGCGUAUAAUAGUUUAUCCGAGGCUAACCGACCGAUGCCUGAGGAUAGAAUCAAUCAAAGCAACAUCCAUGUGGGUAACAUCAUCUAAGUGGCCCGACCUAGGAAGGACAAUAUUCUAAAUUAUACGAUGUAAAAUACGUGAUUGAAGGCAUAGACAUUGAGCACAGAAAUGGAUUGUACAGACCUCAUCAGAAAGAUCAAUGAGCCUACAAAUGUUUCUAACGGCAUCAACAUGAACAAAGUUAUCAAUCGUAGGAACUUUCCUAGCAGAAUAUAUUUCUAACCCAUCUUCGGAGGUUCCUAGGAUAGAAUUCAAUUCAGUAUCAUCAAAUUCAAUCAAAACUCCUCUAACGUUGGUGAUUACUCGAUUCUCUUUCUCCACGGAAGUAUCCAUAUUCGAGUAAAAUACUUUCACCAAGUCAGGAUACACAUUCUCAUUAAUCGUAAGCGCAUUAAUCCAACUAACUUCCUCCAACAAUUGCAAUAAAUUACCAUUGCUAAUACUAAGGCUACGAAGACAAUCAGGCACAAUAUAGAACGUAUCAAGUACCUUAUGGGUCAUGAAUCUUUGGCGAAAACGGGUGGCCGAACGCUUGUCCAGGAAGUGUCUUGAUUCAAAAUCAGUUGUUCUAUAGGGCCGCCAUCCUUCCGUGUCCGUUUGGGUGCUGGAAUCGCCUCUUUCCCUUUGUCUUUCGCUCUACAUGGCCUUGAAGUGGGUUCAAUUUCGGUAAACAUUUGCCGAAGUCAAAGGGGUUUACAACCUAGGGUUUUUCGGUUUCGAGGGUUAAAUUUAGCAAGAGCAAAUGGUGGGAUAUGAUUUCUAAGGUUGAAUUUGGGCUAUGAACUGAUUAUAAACGAUGGAUCUUUCGGUUGAGAACGUGGGAAAGAGGAUUCGGCUUUUAGAGAUAGAAGUGGCUGACCGGUUUUGUGAAGGCGAAGAUGAACAGUUUUAUUGCUUUGAACCCGACUAACCUUUACAAAAUAAUAGGGUGGCCGUUCAUGUUCCAGAAACUCUAGUAAGAGAAAAUGGCUAGCCUUUUAUUUUUAGAGGCUAGUCGUUUAAUGUCCAAAGAGCACCAAAAGCAAAAACGGCUAGCCUCUAAAGUUUAAAGGUUAGCCGUUUUCGCUAAUGGUGAGCAUCCAUACACAAACGGCUAGCCUCCACAAAUUUAGAGGCUAGUCGUUUCCCCUCCAGUGAGCCCCAACGCGAAAAAAGCUAGCCUCUUAAAUUUUUUAGGCUAGCCGUUUCCCCUCCAGUGAGCCCCAACACGAAAUAGGCUAGCCUCUUAAAUUUUAGAGGCUAGUCAUUUCCCCUCUAGUGAGCACUCAUAGAGUAACGGCUAGCCUCCACAAUUUUAGAGGCUACACGUUUCCCUUCCAGUGAGCACCCAUACACAAACCGAUGCAAGCACAUACUAUAAUUGGUGGCCUCAUAAUAACUUGUAAGUGAUUUCCCAUGAUAUAUGAAUUUGCUUGGCAAACUUUCUUACGUUGUUUAACUAACUCAGAUUUACAUUAUGCUUAGUUGAGGACGGUACACAUACUUGGAGGAUGGGGGAUGAUUGCUAAUGAUGCACUUUUUGGAUCUGAACCGAGGGGGCAGAACGAACUUUUUGGAAAUCAUUGAGUUAUAUUAUCAUGUAAGAAGUGAACAAUGACAAUGUAAUAAUAUAUUUUGCGUACUUAGUGAUAAUAGCAACAUUUACAACAAUUAUCUUCCUUUCAACAUGUAUUAAUUAAGACAACCGGUUGCCGAAGGAAAAAAUCAUAAUUGCCCCAUUAAUCCCUCUACGCCUUUGGAUCAUCAAAACAAUUUACAUGACUCGUAUGUCAAUCCAGUUACAAGGUAAAUUUAGCAAAAGUUUAGAGUUGUGGAUGAAGUCAGCAAAAAAUUAUCAUAAUCUAUGUUCACAACAAUCUCAGACCUUCUGCCUGAAACGACGUUUUGUGCAACUGUUCUUAUGACCUUUUCUGGUGGACACAUUACGAGCCUUCACUGUUGAUGCAAGCUUCGAUUCAUUUAUGUAUGUUGCAGCGUUACUGUAGUGUGCAUUAGCCAACGUCAAUAAUUGAUCGCGUUGUUCGUUGAACGGAGAGUCUAUAAGUUGUAACGCAAGUUGCACUCGAACAUUCUGUGAGUCAUGCUGCGGAAAUAAUCAUGCACUUUCAUCAUGUCAGUGGCCCAACAACAGUAGUUAAAUAAACCAAGAAACCACAUAAGGCGAAUAAGGGAGCGUACUAUAUACGAUUUGUUAGUGAUGAUUCCAGGAGUAUCCAUAAAUUUGAUGACGUAAACUCCACAAUCAAAACCGUUAGAUUGCCGUGGAACUCCUUCCCCAUGGGUCACUACAAAUGACAAGAAACUCCAAGAUACUGAAUAUGUAGCAUCCACAAUGGCAUGAAGUAUAGCAUCCACCAAGUGUAACUAUUUUCAAGUGCAAAAAUACAUCACAUGUAUUAAUAACACAAUAGCCAGAAAACUAAACUCAUCGUUUUUAUCAAACAUUAGUUGGACUUACAAUACUAUUCACUUGGAUUUCUCGAUCUCGUGUCCGUCGUGCAUCCGGUAGUGGAUCCCAGAUCUCCGCUUGUUUGUCUUUAAUUUUAACCAACAACAUAAAUCAAUGGUGGCCACCAUCAUGCAUGGGAACAAAGAUCUAUGCAAGAACAACUUUGGGUCACUUUUACCAUACAUAAUAUCGAACAUAACGAAAAAUCAUUUUAACAAACACACACGCUACCUGAUGGCACCGGUGCAGGUCAUACAUGUAACGUUUGCGGUAUUAGGAGGCAGCCUUAAAACCAUCUAAAUGUGCAUUUGGCAUUGUAGCAAAUUGCUACAUAUUCAUCAUAUCAAAUUCAUAUAAAACACAACUGAAAUUACCGUAGUUAAUGAUGAGAAAAAGGAUAUGAAAAAAAAAGACAGGAACGGAUUAGCAACUGCAUAUCUUGUUGGUAGGAACCAGCUAAUUGGUUGCCCGUGGCUUUUGCACGACUCACGUCGUGUAAGGUAAUCACUCAUCAUGCAAAAAUCUAAACACAAGAACAAUUAUAAUUGGUUUUAUUAAUUACAAUUUCAUCAUUAAAGUCAAAUUACGAACAAACCUCAUCAUCAAGUGAUGCAUCGGGCAAAAGUGAUAACAAGCCUCGCCAAGUGAUAUCCUCAUGACUUGAUCGCACAAUUAUUUCACAGUAUGUUAAUCACAUGAUAUAUUAACAAAAUCAAAUAACUAUGGCAAUAUAUUAAACGAAAAGAGCUUGAUGAGUGGCCAUGAAGGUAUUGUUACUCUAGGCUAGCACUUUUGUCAAAUCCAUAUUGGAGCAUCUUCAAUUGAUCGAGGGUUACCGGCUCAUUCAAGAAAAAAAGGCCCGCUCAAUAUUUUGGCUUUGGACCGCGUGAGACUUGAUCAUACGGGGACAAUUGGUACCGCCCUGGUUUUCGAUUUCUGUAUGGCCGAGGAGGGCCUAAAGACAGCGGAUUAAAAUCUUGCGGCUGUUGACAUUUCUUCUCUUGUUGCGCGAAAGACUACAAUUUAUUCAAGACAAAGAAAGAAUAAAAAUAUUAGACUAAAUCAUAUAUAGUUUAGACAAAAGUUAACAAAUUAUUACUCUAUGUAUACCUCAUCUUAAAGUUCCGGCACUAAUUUAGGCUUCAUCGCGUCUUGCAAUACUUCUGUCAACUUUUCUUUUAGGACAACCUCUUCAUCAGUGGAUGUAAUGAGGUACAAAGCUUUUCGUUCUUUAACUUCGAUGGGCGUACGCUUUUUCCGUACUAGAUCUGAAAGCGUGACAACUGCAGGGAUAGGUGGGUGCAUCUCCAUAUUCGGAGAGGAAAAGAUUGGAUCAUCAAUUGCCUCGGCACCAGUAUAUGUAGGAGGUGAUUGAUUAUUAUCAACGACAUUUGCUCCUUGACGAAAAUAUGCUCGUUCUAACUUUUCAACCUUUUCAGUAAGAGAAUCCAUUUUCAAGCCCAUUUUUUUAUACUAAAUCAUUAUUUCUUCUCAUAUGUUCCUCCAUUCUAUCCAUUACUGCUAAUAUAGCAUGAAAUGGAUGCUGCCUUGCGGCGUCACCAUCGUCAAUUUGUCCUUCACUUUGAGCACCUGAUGAGCUGCAACUGAUUUCUCACAUCAGAACCUGCAUUAACUACAAAUAUCCAUAAAUAAUCUAUUCAAUUUAAUAACAUAACUACAAAACACUAUACAAUUAUAGAAGGGAACAAACCGCAUUGCUCUCAAAGUCACCAUACUUUUGUCGCCACUUGAGGAAUCUUUUUAUUUCACUAUCAGUCCAUGCACUAAGAGGACAUCCAUUCUCGGCAACAGAAGAAAGCUGAAACUUAGUUGAUGACAUGUAGAACAACUGCAAACAACAAAAAAUUAGUUAAUACGGAAAUAAUAAUCGAUAAUACCAUAAUCGUUUAACUAACGAUAAUACAAAUUAGUAAAUAAAUCAUACCAUUAAAAAUAUAACGCAUCCGCUCAUCGAGGAAAUUUUAUUUUCGUUGAACUUUGAAACUUCUUCCCAUAAAAAAUUGAAAGACCAACUGGCCCAAUUUAUGUCGCAAAUGUUACUCACGUCUUUUAAAGCAUAAAGGUAUGAUGGGUUGAUGUAUGUAGCUAUAGUUGGACACAAAAUAGUUCUAAUCGCAAAUAGACUAAAUAGAAUACAGAAAUCUUCAUCUGCACAACUAUUUGUCUUUAAUUUUUCAUCUAAACUACCUAUUGGGAUGCCUUUCUUUCCUGAGCAAUACUUGGCUCAUAAGUCAGUAAUUUCACUAUCUUCACCACCAAGCACAAUCGGUGUUCCUCCGUCACCAACACCCAUCGCACUUGUAAAAGUUUCCAGAGUAAGCUUGUAUUCCUUUCCAUGGACUGUUAUCGACCGCUUAUCUACGUUACAUUGCUUAACUAACAAUCUACAUAAAUCUUGCCUAAGUCGCCCACAUUUUAAACCUAACAAGCUUCCAAAACUAAUUUCUCUCACAGCAUCUUGCUGUUCAAUAGAUAACGAAGAAACAAUGUUGGAGAACCGCAAAACACUACAUCGACAUAGGUGAUUACCCUUAUCAGAAUUGUUCUCCAUUGUUGGAAUCGGUUCACUUAACAAUCCACUGGCCAAUCUCGAGUUCAUUUCAGCCUUUUCAUUAUAACUGUUGAUGAAUUCGGCUUUAUCUUUCGCGCUAAGUUUCAACCAUUUGUCACGUAUACGCCCCUUAACCUACACUCAAAAAAAAAAAUUCAUUGGCCAAUCAUCAACCAAACUAUUAGUUAGUAGGCUGCAACAUAGAAAAGUUGUCUACAAACCGUUUCAUCCACCUUCACACCUUCCUCUUUUAACUUUUGGGAUUCUAUCUUGCUGUAGAUAGAAAAAUAAUAUCAAAUAUCAGUUUCUUAUAUGUCAAUUAAAAUUAUUGCAGUGUUAAACUGAAAUGACUACAGAAUGUCAAUAAUAAAAUUCAACAAUGAAUUAGUUUCUUACAAGUAGUAUAUGUACGAAUGCUUGCCCAGCCUCGGAGGAUCCAGCUUCUUAGACUGAAUAUUAAUGUCAUCUGCGACAUUGGCCUUACGCUUACCCAUUAUACUGUGUACACUAAAAAUUAUGUCCCCUGUCAAUACACACUGAUAAUUUCAUCAAACUCUCUCCACGAAUUCUAAAUCCAUGUAAAUUAUUACAUUACCCAACAAUACGCACUAAUAAACUUACAUGAUAAAAGCUGUAAUUUUUAAAUAUGAGAGGCCAAUGAUUCUUCUUACCAUAUCAAAUAAAACACUCGAUCAACAAAAAUAAUGAUACCAAACAAAUCCCAUGAUACCCAUGUCUCAUUACCGUAGGUGGACUGCAGAGAUGGCCUAACAACGACUUAGAAUGGGCUGACGGGAAUUGAGUGGGUUGUGAAUCUGUAGCUACAAAUCCUUGCCGCCAAUAGAGAUCAACCUCCGCGUGUCCUCGCCGGAAAGCGCCGUCGUUGGGACUACAGGUGAGAGAGUGCAUGACGAGGGAGAGGGAGAGGGAGAGGGACCCGUGAGGGUGAGUGAAGAGGGAGAGGGAGAGGGAGUCAUGAGCCGUGAGUGAGGAGGGAGGGAAGAAGAAAUUGAUUUCCCGCGUGAGGUGAGAGCCUUUUGUUUGUUUUUUUUCCCAACAAAUAUAUAUGCCUGGGUUUGAUGUGUGUUGAGGGGGUUUGGUGUGUGUUGAGACUGAUUCUAUAGGUUUCAAGUUUUUUAUAUUUUUUUAAUUAUUUAUUGUUUAAAUUCAUUUAUGGCCGUUGGAUUCAUUGUAUUGAAUCCAACGGCCAUAAAACCUGCAUGUAUCUGAUACAUGCAGGUAUUGUAGCAUCAGCCUUGAUAACGAUAACAAAUCAUCAGCCAAUUAAUUAUUUGUGGUGCCCACCUUGUCAUCAACCCAAAAGGUGAAGGUAUUUUCAAUACUGCGUUUUGUUUUCUUUUCCCCUUUUUAUUUUUCUUUCACAACUUGGCAUUGGUCUCGGAGCAUUGCAACAAUUUAAAAUGUAUUAUUUUGAGCUAGUCAGCAUUUGCUCUUGACUUGUGAGAGUAAUCCACCAUUGCGUGUCUGCAGUUAAAAGGACUUUGGUGCUUCUCGAGUAUUACUUUUUAUCUAUUCAAAUCUUGAUAUAUGGGUGAACAUAUUAUCAUAAUUGAUUAAAACAUAUAUAUGAUUACCUAAAUUUUUUUCUAACACGCUGCAAUCUGGUGCUGUGUUGGAAUUGACUGUGCACUAUUAAGAAAAUAGUGGAUUCGAAUUGUAAUCGAUUAGUCAUUUAUGCAAUUAUAGCUGUUUAUAUUUAGGCAUUAAUUAUCUUUAUAUUUUUUUCUGAUAACAACCAAUUAAAACCUCAUAUUUUGCUUGUGAAUCCAAGUUCCACUUAUGAAAGUAACAUCUGUCUCAUUUUUAGUUAUUGAUAAUUAUUAUUACUAUUAUUAUUAUUUUUUAUUAUUAUUAUUGGUAACAAGUUACAACUUAUGUACUCAUGCAAUGUGUGCUAUGGAACAUUUAAGAUAUGUUCGAACAAUGUUGCUACAAGCAAUACAAAUUUUUUUACAAUUUAUUGCUCUGAAUAUUUUCGGUAAAAACUACUUAUUUUAACAACAUGCAAAACACAUUAUCACAACAAUCUGCUUAAUGUGACGGAUGGUUAAGCCAAAUGACUACAUAUAACCCAAGCAUGUUGUUAUAUAUUCAACUUCAGUGACAUUGCAACAAAGUAUAUUGUUGAUAAGGAUGUGAAUAAAAGGUUAUAGCAUGCUUAAGUAUUUAAUAUCAUAUUUGAAUCAUCUUUAACUCCGAAAGCAAGUGAAAUAGUUCUUGAAAUAUUAUAAAAACAUGACAAGCCUGCAAAAAUUCUAUUCCAAAAAUGAAAGACACUUAUCCAAAAUAAGCACAAUUAUCAUCAGAAAAUUCCUAGCGCAAAUCUGUAAUUAUCCAAAAUAAUUGUACUAGCCUCGACCAUGUUGAAUUCUCAGGUCAUCCAGGUGAGAUUUUCCCCUAAGCUCACUGGCAAACUGGCUCCCAUUGAGUAAACUUCCAAGGUGUCUCUACAAGAAAAAAGAAGGUAAAACAUUAUAUAGAAUCAUAGAAGAUUUAAUUUUCACUUUUUGCUUGCAAAUCCAUAUCAAGCACAAACAGAGAAAACCUGAGGGAAGGAGGGAGCUUAGGAAAUAAGUGUGGCUUCCUCUGAUGAACUGGAAGAGUGAUCAUCGAGAAAAUGCCAGCCCCAUCAAGCUUUUGUUCCUCAGAUAAAACAAAGGCUUGUCCAAAUCCUUCUACAUCUCCUGGAUGCUGCCAAUAUUUUUUCUUUUCUUCCAUGCUCAGAUUGAAGAAGCCCUUAACCUUUUUCUUUACUUUCUCUAGAAAUGCUGAGAUUACUCCAUGGUUUACCAGCUGAAAUUAUGCAGGAAUGAAAAGCAGCUAAGAUUUGAUAAUCGUGCCACUAGGUUCACAAUCGUCCAGGCGUUUUAUGAAGACAGAUUGCAACUUAUUUGACUGAUUUAGAGACAAGAUUUGUUGUUACUGAUGGCUAAAAGCAUUUGUUACAUUUCAACUGCAAACAUUGUUGUUGCAUUAAACACCAAUUUUAUUUUGUUUAUAAAUCUAAUCAAUGAUUGGUUUUUACAAGUGUUUUUUACUCAUAGUUUUGGAGAAAUUUGAAUAUUCUAGAACAGCUAAUAAUCUGUGGGAGUCUUAUACAAUUAAUUAUAUCUUUUAUCACAUAUUGACAGAAGCAUAUUUCUCAUAAGCUACCAAAAGCUAUUGAGACAAAAUAGGUGAAAUUUGUCAUGGGCAUCUUUUAAUACAAAUUAUACUAACAAAUCUAUGGCUAUAUGGAAAGCUAAAGUAAUAAAGAAAGUCAAAAACAAAUAUAUCAAUGGAAUCUGGGUUUCAGAAAAUUAAUGGUGAGUGUUUUCUUUUCAUAUUGCCUCAUAAAUUGUACAAUAAAACAAGAGACAACUUCCUUGACAUUUCACAAGCUGCGGUCCUAGAAGCACUGAAAGCAGCAAAAGGACUAGAUGGGAAAUUUUGAAAUCAUGACAUGCUAAAUCAAUGGAAACUGGGUUUCAAAAAUAGAUAUUUUGUGACUGAGAUUUUUGCAGAUUUCAUGAUUUUUAAAUCACAGACAAGCAUGAAAAAUCUUUCUAACUCUGCUAAAGCAUUUUACCUGGAAAAAACCCCAUUCUUUGCAUGCGAAGUCGAGCUUGGCUAACUCAGAAUCCAUUGAUUCUUCAUAAAGCAAGCUCUGCAUGUCAAUAACUGGUAUCUAUGAAAUCAAAGCAUCAUCAGAAUUGAGUGGUGAAUCUUCAUCUGGACGUAUGUAUCUAGGAGGGACAACUAACAUAGGAUUCUUGACCAACUCUUGAACACAAGGAACAAGCAGAGAACCUCCAAUCUUGGCCAUCUUUUGUUCCACAAAUCCUCUUAAGAUUGCUACAGCUUUGUAUUGGUUUUGGAACAAGAGUGCAGGGUGCAGACUGCAGACAAUCGCAAGAGUUAAAAACAAUUAUUUUCUAACAAAUCAGCAUCCUCCACCUAACCGCUCAUGAUAUAUUUUUAUGCAAAUGACUGAUCUGGAUUAUUUUAAGGGGACUGAUAACUCUCGGAAAUGAGAGUUAUUACAUCUAUUCUAGAUGUGAAUAAAGGCCAUUUAGAAAGCAAAUAAUGUGUUUUGAUUACAUUUUGGUGACCUUUUGCAUAAACAUUCAUUUUAGUUGAGUUUUAACAAGUUUUGCUUGAAUCAUAGAAAUUUGUGCUAAAAACAUAUUUUAAUUUGUAGGUUUUAAAUUCAUGAAAGGAUGUGGAGACAUUAGAUGAGAAAGAGGAGGAAAGAAGAUGGCCACAAAAGAAGAAAAGCACAAUCGGAAAUAAUACAGUGCUGUUGCAAAUGUUAGAGCAACCAGUGUUGUAGCAAUCUGGGAGCAAUGCGGGAAAAAAUAUAAGCGCGGGUCAGCAAUUAAAUCACGAUCUGCAUGUUUCCUAAUUUAAACACAUGCACGCCCAUAGACUUUGGUUUUAACCUAAUUUGCAAUAUAUAAAGGAAGCAUGCACCACAUAGAAAGCGGAGAGGAAUUAUCAUCCAAAAACAAUUACAAAGGCAAGAAGAAUAAGAAGAUCAAGAUUAAGGAGUGUUGUUCGGCAUCAUUGAAGAACCGAGGAGGAUCAUUAGUCUUUCAUCGUGCUCAACUCAUAUUAUCUUUCUUCCUUUAAUUGAUUGGAUGUAUUCUGUGAUCAGAAUAUUUAUGUUUACUUUUCUCAUUCAGAAUAUGAACUGAAUUUACUUGUAGUUGAGUGACAAAUAAUCCAAUGGGGUCUUGACUGUUCUUAUAUGUUGUUAUGAUAAUGCUGUAGCAUUAUACUCUAAUAGUUUUUAUGAAUAUAACUGUUAUUUCGGUUGACCACCCAUUUAAUAGUUUCAGUUAAGAUAGAGCAGCAAAAGGGCAUGUCUUAGCGGAUAUUAUUAGAGUAUUACUUGUUCUUAAAUCGAGUUUCCUGGAUUAGAUUAACUUAAAUCCCAUAAAGGGAAUACUUGAAUCAAGAUUUGUGAUAUCAUAGACAUAGGUGUUCACCUUGUAGGGUAGAGAGAUUAAAGAUCAUAAAGCCAUACAUUAAAUUUAUAAGCAACUGGUCAUUGUUAGUAGAUUUAAAGGUAUGAGAUUUUCAACAUGCGAUAGUUGCGGAUGCAGAUUGGUUCUGCCCAGUGCUACAGCACUUAUUAUAACAACUGGUGCUAAUUCGGUAAUCAACGGUCACCCCAUUAGGAGAGUUUGAUCAUUCAACUACUAUAUUCUCAAUUGAACCUUAGACACAUUUAACUUAGUUUAUUUUAUUACGGUAUUGUUUUAUUUCCAUCUCUCGUAAUUAUUAGUUACGAUAGAAUUAUUUGGCAAUUAUUUGUUUCAGUCUUUAGUUGACUUGCAUUAUUGCGAUUGCUUUAGCAUUUUGAGUAAACAUCAAUCCCUGUGGAGACGAUCUUGAACACUCAUCACUUUAUUACUUGUUGUGUAUACUUGCACAUUGGCAUUGAUAAUAAUUGAUUAUAUAAAUCAACCAACAAGUUUUUGGCGCCGUUGCCGAGGAUAGAUUGUUUAUUUUUUAAGUGUAAAGUAAAUCGUGAUAGCACUAAACUAAACUUGAUUCAUUCUAUUGAUUGGCAGAUCAGUACGUGUAUGCUCAAGGACAGAUCUGUGAUAUUUUAAUUCGAUCCUGAGAUUGAAAGGACUAUCAGGAGAUUGUGAAGAGAACAAAGAAAUUCAAAGAUUGUUUCAGACAUGAAUAAUUUGCAAGAUGAGGGAAAUUUGAACCCUUACGGGCCUUUACAACCAGCCAACAUUCAACAAGAGCAUAAUGAACAUGCUAACGGGAGACAGCCAGGCAACAACAAUAUUAUUUACAUGGCUGAUGACAGAGAUAGAGUUAUAAGAGAUUAUGCUGGACUAACUCCUCAAGUUGUCCAUCCUGGCAUCAUCAGACCUGAAGUAGAUGCUGCCAACUUUGAGUUAAAACCAGUGAUGUUUCAAAUGUUGCAAACAGUUGGGCAAUUCAAUGGAUUGCCAAAUGAAGACCCUCAUCUCCAUCUUAAAUUAUUCUUGGAAGUAAGUGAUGCUUUCAAGAUUGCUGGAGCAACGCAAGAUGCCUUAAGGCUGAGGCUCUUUCCUUAUUCCUUAAGAGAUCGAGCAAGAGCAUGGUUAAAUUCAUUACCAUCUUAUUCCAUCACUACAUGAAAUGAACUGGCUGAUAAAUUCCUAAUGAAAUAUUUUCCACCGAAAAAAAUGCAAAAUUACGAAAUGAGAUUACCUCCUUCCAUCAACUAGAAGAUGAGAGUUUGUAUGAGGCUUGGGAAAGGUUCAAGGACUUGCUCAGAAGGUGUCCUCAUUAUAGUAUUCCUUGUUGCAUUCAAUUGGAAACUUUCUAUAAUAGGUUGAAUCCAAGUACAAGGUUAAUGGUGGAUGCUUCAGCAAAUGGAGCUCUAUUAUCCAAAUCCUACACUGAAGCUUAUGAAAUUUUGGAAAGAAUUGCCAAUAAUAAUUACCAGUGGCCUUCAGCUAGGCAACCAGUAGCAAGAGGAUCAGCAGGGGUACAUAGCAUUUAUGCAAUUACAGCCUUAUCAGCUCAGUAACUUCAUUGACUAACAUGGUAAAAGCCAUGACAGCUGCUCCAGCAACAGUAAAGCAAGUUACUGAACUUUCUUGUGUCUACUGUGGUAAAUAACAUGAUUUUGAUAAUUGUCCUGGAAAUCCAUCCUCAGUAAAUUAUGUGGGUAACUUCAAUCGACAACCUCAGAACAACCCAUAUUCAAAUACUUACAACCCAGGCUGGAAGCAACACCCAAAUUUCUCAUGGAGUAAUCAGAAUCGAAAUGCUCCAGCAUUGAAUGGACUAAGUAGAAACACACAACCACAACCACCUGGUUUUCAUCAACAAAGUCAAGGGCAAAAACAUAUCAGUCAGGAUCCAAUCACUUCAUUGGAAGUGUUAAUCAAGGAGUACAUUGCAAAGAAUAAAGCAAUUGUGCAGAGUCAAGCUGUGUCCUUUAGAAAUCUUGAGAACCAAAUGGGACAAUUAGCUACAGCAAUGAGCAGUAGAACUCAAGGAAGCUUACCAAGCAACACAGAAGAUCCUAGGAGAAAGAGCAAAGAACACUGCAAAGUGAUUAGUCUGAGAUCUGGAAAGCAUGUUGAUAUCCCAGUUGAGGUGACCAAAAAUGGGAUGGAAUACAAUUCAGCUCAAAAACCAAUUCAAAAGGGAAGCAUGUUACAGCAGACUCCCCAUCAAGACACUGAUGCAAGGGACCCAGUUACAGUAACUGCAAAAGAAAUUCAACCAGAUCUUGCUGAAAAAAAAAGUUACAACACCAGUAGCCACAACCUGUACCAACUUAAACAAACAGAGUUUAGUACCUCCUGAAUCUAACCAGCAGUUUAGACAUCCACCACCCUUCCCUCAAAGCUUCCAGAAGCAAAAACAAGACAAGCAGUUCAGCAAAUUCCUAGAAGUGCUGAAGCAACUGCACAUAAACAUACCUUUUGUGGAAGUUUUGGAGCAAAUACCAAAUUAUGUGAAAUUUCUAAAAGAUAUCUUGGCACGAAAAAGAAGGCUGAGAGAGUUUGAAAUUGUUGCUCUAACACAAGAAAGCAGUCAUAUGCUUCAGAGUAAAAUUCUCACAAAAUUGAAAGAUCCAGUGAGUUUUACAAUACCCUACUCAAUAGGGAAUAGGUAUGCUGGCAGAGCACUCUGUGAUUUGGGAGCUAGUAUUAACUUGAUGUCAUUAUCUGUAUUUAAGCAGCUUGGAGUAGGGGAGUGCAGACCAACAAUUGUCACUCUGCAAUUAGCUCACAGAUUUCAUGCAUAUCCUGAAGGAAAGAUAGAGGAUGUACUGGUGAAGGUUGACAAAUUCAUUUUUCCAGUAGAUUUCAUUGUGCUGGACUUUGAAGCUGACAAAGAGGUACCCAUUAUACUUGGCAGACCUUUUCUAGCAAUUGGAAAGACUCUGAUAGAUGUGCAGAAAUGAGAGCUGACCAUAAGAGUGAAUGAUCAGCAAGUCACAUUUAAUGUACUAGAGGCUAUGAGAAACCCUGAUGAAAUAGAAGAGUGCAAUUUCCUAAGUGUAGUGGAUCUUGUUGUAGCAGAUAGAAUGGACAGAUGCUGCAGUAAUGUACUUAACAAAGUCACCACCUUUGAGGAGAUUGAAGAGGAAGAUGUUGCAGAAAUUCAAACAGAUUGCAUAGAAAAACAGCAAUCUAAUAGGCACAACAGGGUUAUUGAACACCUGAAUCUUUCAGACAGGGAAGUAAAAACAACUUUACCAUCUAUUGAAUCACCUCCUAGUUUUGAAUUAAAACUGUUACCUUCACAUUUAAAGUAUACUUAUCUUGGUCAAAACAACACACUCCCUGUAAUCAUUUCUUCUACUUUGGAUGCAAGUCAAGAACAAAGCCUAGUAGACUUGCUGGGAAAAUACAUAAGGGCAAUUGGCUAGACCAUGGCAGAUAUAAAGGGUAUCAGCCCAUCAAUCUGUAUGCAUAAGAUCCUGUUAGAAGACUAUUCCAGCAAUUCGGUGGAGCACCAGAGAAGGCUGAAUCCUAUUAUGAAAGAAGUGGUGAAGAAUGAAAUCAUCAAAUGGUUAGAUGUUGGAAUCAUAUACCCAAUAUCAGACAGUUCAUGGGUAAGCCUAGUUCAGUGUUUUCCAAAGAAAUGAGGGAUAACAGUAAUGGCUAAUGAGAAGAAUGAACUUAUUCCUACAAGGACAGUGACUGGAUGGAGAGUGUGUAUGGAUUAUAAGAAGCUCAACAAAGCCACAAUAAAAUACCAUUUCCCACUUCCAUUUAUAGAUCAGAUACUGGACAGACUUGCUGGAAAGCAAUACUACUGUUUCUUAGAUAGGUAUUCAGGCUACAACCAGAUUGUUAUAGCACCAGAGGAUCAAGAGAAGACUACAUUUACUUGUCCUUAUGGAACAUUUGCCUUCAGAAAAAUGCCAUUUGGGCUAUGCAAUGCUCCAAUAACUUUUCACAGAUGCAUGAUGUCUAUAUUUUCUGAUAUGGUAGAGCAGACUUUGGAAAUUUUCAUGGAUGAUUUCUCAGUUUUUGAAGAAACAUAUAGUAAUUGUUUACACAACUUGGAAGAAGUUCUUAAAAGAUGUGAGAUGACCAACCUAGUACUCAAUUAAGAGAAGUGUCAUUUCAUGGUGCAAGGAAUAGUGCUGGGUCACAAGAAUAUCCAAUGAUAGUAUUGAGGUAGAUAAAGCCAAGAUAGAGGUAAUAGAUAAACUGCCACCCCCAACUUCAGUAAAGGGUAUUAGGAGUUUUCUGGGUCAUGCUGGAUUCUACAGAAGAUUCAUUAAGGAUUUUUCCAAAGUAGCCAAGCCUCUAUGUUCAUUGCUGGAGCAUGACAAACCAUUUCACUUUGACAAAGAAUGCCUUCAAGCAUUUGGCGAAUUAAAGAAAAUCCUUAUCACUGCUCCAGUAGUUAUAUCUCCAUAUUGGAAUUUACCAUUUGAAUUGAUGUGUGAUGAUAGUGAUCAUUCUGUGGGAGUAGUAUUAGGGCAAAGAAAUGAUAAGGUUUUUCAUUCCAUAUACUAUGCAAGCAAAACUUUCACUCCAACUCAGAUCAAUUACACCACUACAGAGAAAGAAUUGCUAACAAUAGUUUUUACUUUUGACAAAUUCAGAGCUUACCUGGUAGGUACUAAAGUAACUGUUUGCACAGACCAUGCAACCAUCAAAUAUUUAAUUUCAAAGAAGGAUGCCAAACCAAGACAAAUCAAAUGGAUCUUAUUGCUUCAAGAAUUUGAUCUGGAAAUUAAAGAUAGAAAAGGGGCUAAGAAUCAAGUGGCAGACCACUUGUCACGGUUGGAAGCAGACACUAGUACAUUGACAAGGAAGGGCAUCACUAAAACUUUUCCUCAUGAACAGCUGUUGGUAAUACAGCAAGCACAAAUACUGCAGCAGUCAGCAUCUCCAUGGUAUGCAGACUUUGCUAACUAUCUAGUAAGUGGGUUACUACCACCUGAGCUGAAGUUUCAAGAGAAAAAAAAAAUUUCUUCAUGAUGUUAGAAGCUACCAGUGGGAUGGCCCACAUUUAUAUAAGCUAUGCUCAUAUCAAGUAAUAAGAAAAUGUGUUGCAGCAGAAGAAAUACCUCAUAUACUGGAAUCAUGUCAUGCUGCAGCAUAUGGAAGACAUUUUGGUGGUCACAGAACAGCUGUCAAAGUUAUGCAAUCAAGUUAUUAUUGGCCCACUAUUUUUAAAGAUGCUUAUGAAUUUGUUAAAUGUUGUGACAGGUGUCAAAGGACAGGGAACAUAACUAGCAAACAUGAGAUGCCAUUGACCAACAUACUGGAAGUGGAAGUUUUUGAAGUUUGAGGAAUAGAUUUCAUAGGACCUUUUCCCCCAUCCUUUGGAAACUUAUAUAUCCUUGUUGCUGUAGAUUACUUCCACCCACUUGGAGACAUAAUCUACAACAUUACCUACCAAUGAUGCUAAACUGUGGUGACCUUUCUUCAAAAAAAUGGUUUCUCCAGGUUUGGCACUCCUAGAGCAAUAAUUAGUGAUGAAGGUGCACAUUUUUGCAACAAAAUCUUUGCUGCAGCAAUGAUGAAAUAUGGAGUCCGACACAAGAUAGCAACAGUAUAUCACCCACAAGCCAAUGGUCAGGCUGAAGUGUCCAACAGAGAAAUUAAAAAUAUCUUAGAAAAAGUGGUGAACCUAGGGAUGGCAAUUGUACCCGCAAACCCGCAAACCCGCCCAAACCCACCCGCCAAAACCCGCCCGUUGCGGGUAAUUUUAUCCGUUGCGGGCGGGUUUAGUAUUAUAAAUUAAAACCCGCAUAUGGAUGCGGGUGGGUUUGGUAUUAACCUUAUACCCGGUGGAUACCCGCAUGGAUAUCCACCAAACCCGCAAUAAUUUUUUUCAAAUAUUUUUAAUUUAAUUUAAAUAUAAAAAUAUAUAAAGAAAAUAAUGUAAUUAAUCAAAUUACCAAAUAGCAAAAGGCUCAAAGUUGUGUAUGUGUGUAUAUGGCUCAUCUCUUAUUCUAAAGUCAUAACCUAAAGAAAACUAAAGGCAUUUCCCUUCGAAUUAGUAUUUGAAAAUAUUAAUCUUAAUUAUUAUUUUAGGCAUUGUGUUAGAUGGGUGCUUAUGGUGGUGAAUAAAAUAAAUAUAUUCUCUUUGAUCUUGUUUUAAAUGAUAAUAUGAAAUGUAAUUAUUAUUUUUAGAUAUUAGUUUGUGUUUUUUAAAUAGAUUUGUAUAAUUUAUACUUAAAUUUGAGAAUUUGUAUUGAAUUGAUGUGGAAAUUUUAAUUUUUUAUUUACAUUGUUUAAAUAUAAAAUUGAAUAUGUUAUAUGGAACUUGAGGUUAUUAUUAUAAAUUUAUAUAUUAAAUAUUUGUGAUUUUAAAUACGGAAACCCGCAAAAAAUCUGCCGGAUACCAUUGCGGGUUUGGUAAUUGUUAAAACCCGCUGCGGGUGGGUUUUUUUAAAAAAAUUAAAACCCGCUGCGGGUUGCGGGUGGGUUUGGUAAUUUAAAUUUUGUGCGGGUUUGGGUUUGGUAAUGGCAAACCCGCUGCGGGCGGUGCCCAUUGCCAUCCCUAGGUGAACCCAACAAGGAAUGAUUGGUCUUUACAUUUGCAUGACUCUUUAUGGGCCUAUAGAACAGCAUACAAAACCCCACUCGGCAUGUCUCCUUACCGAAUUGUUUAUGGCAAGGCUUGUCAUUUGCCCCUAGAGCUAGAGCAUAAAGCACACUGGGUACUGAAGAAACUAAAUUGGGACAUUCAUGCUGCAGCAGAACAAAUGAAGCUUCAACUUUGUGAGCUUGAUGAAUUAAGGCUAUUUUCACAUGAAAAUGCAAGAAUUUAUAAAGAGAGAACAAAACACUGGCGUGACAAGCAUAUUCAACACAGGAAGUUCACCCCUGGUCAAUUAGUGUUGCUCCACAAUACAAGACUAAGAUUGUUUCCGGGAAAGCUCAAGUCACGAUGGUCUGGCCCGUUUAAGCUGUUAAAAUCCUACCCUCAUAGAGCUGUUGAUCUUUUAGAUGAACAAACAGGCCACGAAUUCAAGGUUAAUGGGCACAAGGUUAAGCAUUACAUACAUCCAUAUAUCUUUAAUCAUACAAGUAGAUAUAUCAUGUGACCAUGAACAUAUCCAAAAACUCAUUUGGUGAGUCAAAAACAUAUCUCGAUUCCUAACUCAGGCAAGAGAUGUCUCAAUUGCAAUCGUAUGCAAGAGAAUUUAAAAAUAUGUUCAUUGUAUCCUAGAUUUAAUUUAUUUUAAUACUCAAGCAUACUAAAUCUCAUUAGUAUGCUAAAAUUGCACAAUCUCUUUAUGUAUUCAUAAUUGUAAUAUCCCAAAGAUAUUAUACAAUUGGUCAACCAGUGAAUCAAAUAAAAAAAAAAUAAAUCUUCUUAUCACACUCAUGCUCAUCAAUUCAGAAUAGUCGCUUUCCUAGUCAUGUUUCAUAGACCGAAUAAUGUCAAGGUCAUAGAUAACAUACUAAAGUAGCAGACACCACUAUGAGAUCUCAAAAACAUAGUUGAUAGUCAUAAGGAUACUGGGAUUGACUUUUUACACAAUGAGAAAGAUGAAAGAUUCUUUUAUUUUCCAUUUUGGUUACCAAGCACACGUGGUAUGGUGCACGUGUUACAGUAAAUCUUCCAUUUUAGGACUAUGGAUCUUAGUCCAGUCACUCUUUUAGAAUGAAUGCUCUCCUCUAGCGUAAAAAGUAAGAUCUCACAUCUGACUUCAAUCAAGUCUCCAUGAUGGUGGGGUAUAUCAUAGUCAGUCUAUAAUAAAAAUCGUGUGAGACCUCUUGAUUCUAGUCAAGGCGACAAAACUUGUAGAAUAACGCUUUUUAUUUGGCUCUCAAACAAAAACAUUAUUUUAUUAUUCUACUUGUCUCAUCUCAGCUUGCUCUUAAAGCAAUUGAGGUGACUACUUGUGUAAGAAAACUAGUCUGGACUUGACGACAUACUCUUAUAUAUGUGUAAUUAUGUCUUUCAUGGAAUAAAUUGAAAUAAGAGAUACUAUUACAUUUUCAAACAACUUAUGCAAUGAAAAUGUUUAUAACAAAUAAGUACAUCUUAAUAAUAGUAAUUUAUAAUCUACGCAGCCCCAAUGAUUUAGCAUAAGAGGCAAAUACAUCCCUUAUUACAGCUUUGGUAAGUGGAUCAGCUAUCAUGCUAUGUGUAGAUAUAUAUUGUAUGGCUACUUCUUUCUUUGCCAAAAUAUCUCUUACAAAAUUGUAUUUAGUCUCAAUGUGUUUCGAUUUGGUAUAGUAUUUAGCAUUAUUAGAGAAAAAGAUAGUAGCUUGAUUGUCACAAUAGAUAGUCACUAGAUUAUCAUUGCUAAUAUUAAUCUCUAAGUCCUCUAUAAAUCUCUUAAGUCACAUAACUUCUUGCACUGCUGCAGAACAUGCAAUAUAUUCGGCUUCCAUCGUUGAUUAAGUCAUGCAUGUUUGUUUCUUGCUACUCCAUGUAAUUGUUCCUCUGUUUAGCAAGAAUACAUAUCUUGAAGCCGAUUUGUGCUAAUCCAGAUCACCACCCUAGUCGGCGUCUGAAUAUCCAACAAGCCGCAAACCACCUCCUUGAUAGCAUAAACAAUAAUUUGCAGUGCAUUUGAGAUAUGUUAAAAUCCUUUUAACAGCACUCCAAUGCUUCUAACUAGGAUUAGACUGGUAUCUACUUACUAGUCCUAUAACAUAACUAAUAUCAAGCCUUGUACACAUUAUGACACACUUAAGACUUCCAAUGGCAUUUGCCUAAGGAACUCUAAUUAUUCUUUCCUUUUCUUGAGGAGUCUUAGGGCACAUAUCGAGACUAAGAGAUUGUCCUUUAGCUAUAAGGGUAUCCUUGUGCUUACAAUCAGCCACAUUGAAUCUUUCAAUGAUCUUCUUAAUGUAAGACUCUUGUGACAGAGCCAUAAAUUUUCUUGAACGAUCCUUAAAAAUUUUGACCCCUAAGAUAUAUGUUGCUUCGCCGAUAUCUUUCUUGUCAAAAUUUGAAUGUAACCAAUCUUUAAUAAUUUUGACAAACUCUUUACUAUUUGCUACCAAUAAUAUAUCGUCCACAUACAAAGUAAAUAUCGCAAAAGCGUCUUUAUAUCUCUUAAUGUACACACAAUGGUCUUCCUUAACCAUCCUAAAGCUAUAAGAAACUACAGCUUGAUAGAAUUUAAGGUUCUAUUACAGGUGGGCAUAUUUUAACUGAACAUAUCCAAACCGACCAUUUGGAUCGGUUUCAUUAGUAAAAAAACUAGUUUCGGUUUAUUGGAUUGCAAACCGAUAUCACUCAAUUUGGAUUUCAGCAAACCUAUCCAAUCCAUAAAAUUUUAAAAGCUUUAAGACAUAUGAUGUGUCAAUUUAUUAUUGGAUUAUUAACAGAAGAAAUGUACACUUUCAUACACAAUAGCAUACUUCUUAUUAUAAAAACAAAAACACAAAAACCUAACAGCUGCCUCCACCUCAAGUGCCUCCUAUCAUUCUCAACUCUUUCAAUCUCAAUCGCUCAUUCUCAAGUCUCAUAGUCAUAAUUUUAAAAAUCAAAACAUAAGGGUAUGUUUUGAUUUUAUUUUUCUUGCUACAAUUUUAUUUUAUUUUAGUCAAAAGUUAAAAUGGAUUUUGGUAUAAUUGAUGAUAAUUUAUUUGAUUAAUUGAUUCCAUAACUAAUUUUUUUUAAUCUUCAUGAAUUAUAGAAGUUCUCAACAUGGAAGAUAAUUCCAAUGUGAAUAAUAUCAUAGAAGAUGGAGAAACAUUGAUGGAUGAUUUUCUAGAACCUAAAAGUAAGAAAUCUAAAAUAAGGGGUGGUCAUCUUCAUGACAAUGAAAGGGGUUCAAAAGUUUGGCCUCAUUAUAUCAAAGAUUAAGUGAAUAGGACAUGUAAGUGCAAAUAUUGUGGGAAGUAGUAUAAGUGUGAUAGUAAGUUUAAUGAGACUUUUAAUUUGUGGACUCACUUAAGAGAACAAUGUGAAAAAUAUUGGGCUACUUUAGAUGAUGUGACUCAAGUUAAACUAGAUCGCUUCCGUGAUAAGAAAAAAAAGUCUAAUAUGGCAAGUGGUAGUGGCAUUGGGAAUAUUGUGUAUGGUAUUGGGUUGGGGCUUGCUGGAAAGUUUGGUCAGGAGGAUUGUAGGAAGAAUAUGGGUAUGUAUUUUAUUCUUAAUGAGGGUUCAUUUAGGAAGGUAGAGUCUUAUGGAUUUCAUCUUUUGUGCGACAAACAUUGUCCUACAUUUGGCCCUCCUUCUAGGGGAACACUUGUAAGAGAUAUAGAUCAAUUGUAUUUAGUUGAGAAGGCAGCAUUCAAAAAUAUUUUUAUUGCAAAUAAGUAUAGAGUUUCUAUUACCGCAGACAUUUGGACUUCCAUACAAAAUUUUAAUUAUAUGUUAUGACAACCCAUUGGGUUGAUCAUAAUUGGAAAUUGCAUAAGAGAAUUUUGAAUUUUUUUUCCAAAUAACAAGCCACAAAGGGGACUUAAUCGGCAACCUUAUUGAAAAAUGCUUGCUUGAUUGGGGUAUAGAAAAAGUGAUGACUAUUAUAGUUGAUAAUGCGAGUGCUAAUGAUGUUGCUAUCAAUUAUUUGAAAACAAAGUUGAAAAAUUAGAAGGGUGAUGCAAUGAUUUUAGAUGGAGAUUAUUUACAUUUGUGGUGUUGUGCCCAUAUUUUUAAUAUAAUUGUGACUGAAGGGCUGAAAGAGAUGCAUGACUCAAUUACUAGCAUUCGCAAUGCAAUUAUGUAUGUGAGGUCUUCAGGUUUGAGGUUGCAUGUUGUAGGUUUUCUAAUGCUAUUGAUGUCAAUGUGCAAGUGUACACAAUAAGUAAUACAAUGAUGAGUACUCAAGAUUGUCUCAAUAGGUUGUUAUAGGAAUUGCUACAGUAAUUUUAUCAGUGCAAUUUUUAUUCUAAACAAGAAUUAAAAUAAAUUAUUAAACUAAUGAAAUAAUAAAAAUAAAAACGCAAUAAGAAAAAUGCAAUAAAGUAAAAUACCAUAGUAAAUACAAGAAUGUUACCAAGGGGAAUAGAGUACUUGAGCGAUUAAACUCACUUAAUGGUUAUGACUAUUUUUCUAAUGUUGGCUCGAUUGCUAUAGCAUUUGCUACAGCACUGGGCAGAAUCCUUAUGUAUCCUCAGCUGUCGCAAGUUGAAUGUCUUAUAUCUAAAUGCAACUUAACAAUGACCAAUUGUUAUGCUAACAUCAGAUAUAGCAUUAAACAUUUUAGAUUUUAAUUACCCUACAAGGUGAAUCCCUAUAUCUAGUUCAUCACUAAUUUUAUAUUAAGCAUGACCCAUUUCAAAUCAAGUUAAACCUAACUCAGGAAACCCAAUCUAAAACCAAGUAUUGCUUUGAUAUGUUCCACUAAGACAAGCCUUUUUUAGGCUCUUUCUUAACGAGUAUCACUAAAUGGGUGGUCAACCAAAAUAGUAAAUUGAAAUAAGUAUUAUCAAAACAACGUGCUAUAGCAAACAUGCAACAACACAUAAUAUUAGUCAAUUAACCAUCAAGUUUGUUCAUUACUCAACCACAAGUAAAUUUAGUUAAUAAUUUGUGAUAAAACAAGAAGUAAAAUAGUUUCAGCCAUCAAACAAUUCAUCAUAACGAGAUAGAAACAAGAGAACAAAAAAUAAGAGUGCGAUCCGCUUGAUGUUCUUCUCAAAUUCCUUAGUUACAGCCCCCAAUUCUCUCUCUUGAUCUUUGUUUUUUCUUGUGUUGUUUAUCUAUUUUUCUUCUCCAAUGACAGCUCCCUUUUCUUUGCGUGUGUGCUCUUUUUAUAGUUUAGAAUUAGGGCAACUGGAAGCCUAGGGCAUUCAGCUUCUAAUUUAGGAAACUCCAAACCGCAAACUUCAAAGUAUCUCGCGCGAAAUCUUCUCUGUCAAUGCUCUAUAAUUGCUAUAGCAACGAUGCUACAACAACAGUGCUACAGCAAUGGCUUCAGCAUCUGCACUAUUCCAGACUUGUUUCAAUUCUUCUCUAAUUAAGUUCUUUCCUUAUCUUUACAAGUCUAUUGCAGCCGCAUUCCUUACUUGAAAUUUAAACUUCUGGUCACCUACAAUUAUGCAUAUGAUUUAAGCACACAAUUUAUUCUGAAUCAAACAAAACUUAUUAAAAGUAAACUAAGAUGGAUGUUUAUGCAAAACAUUACUAAAAUGCAAUAAAAACAUAUCAUUUACUGUCUAAGUAAUCAUGAUUUAAGUCUCAAAGUGCCAUGAUAACUCUCAUUUCAUAGAGUUAUCAUUAUAAAUUUAAAUCAUGUGUUGAGAGAGAGAAAAUUGAAUAUAAAGGAAUUCUACCUACACUAUGUUGUCCAGAGCUAUACACUUUCAAAAAGCUUUUGAAAGUUUGGAAGAAGAGGAAUAUAAUGGACCAUAUAUGAGUUUUUUCAAUGAGAGGAAAGUAGAACAGAUCAGGCUACCCAUAAUAGAAGAUUGGAAAAGUGCUAAAAUAUUUAUUGAGUUUUUGAAUUUUUUGAAUAAUGUUACAGUUGAUUUCAGUGCUUCAUUAUCUGUCACAUCUAACUUGUAUUUUCAUCAUCUUUGCACCAUUCAAACCUAGUUGCAUUUAUUUAUUGAAAAAGAGGAGGUGCUUCUUAGUAAAAGGGUAGAAAAAAUGAAGAUAAAGUGUGAGAAGUAUUGGGGUUCUGUGGACACUACAUAUCAGUUGUUGAUCAUUGUUGUGGUACUUGAUCCAAGGCAAAAAUCUGUUAUUUCAUUUGAAUUUUUAUUUUUUAUGAUAAAAUCAAUUGUGAUAAUUAUUUACUCCAAUUUAUUUCUUGUCUAAGGUACAAAUUGGAUUAUGUGUCAUUUUGCUUUAAAAAAUUGCAUAAUCUUGAGAAAGCGAAAGAAAUUACAUCAAACAUUAAGAAGCUACUUUUAAAGGUGUAUUCUUAAACUUUCAAAUUAGAUUCAAUUAUAACAAUAGUUACUUUAUUUUUUUCUGUAAAUGUAUUCAUAUUUACUUAAAUUUAUUUUCAUAGCUAUAUAAAACCUACUGUCUUGUGGAAUCUACUUCUGGUGAUGGUAGCCAAUCUACUAAUGAUGUUUUCGCAAUUGAUGUGGGUUUAAGAAGGAAAAGUGGCAAGGUCUAUGCAUUUAUUAAUACAAAGACUCAAUAUAAGCAGUUAAAAGUGCAGAAAGAUUCCAUUUAUUUGAAAAAUGAGGUUGAAAGGUAUUUGUUCUACCAUAGCGAGGAUGAAACUGAUGAUUGGUUUGAUGUUUUGGGUUGGUGGAUUGCAAAUAGUGCAAGGUUUGGGACUGUCACAAAUUGCAAAGGAUGUGUUAGAAAUUCAUGUAUCUACUGUGGCUUCUGAAUUUGCUUUUAGUGCUGGAGGUCGUGUAGUCUAUGCAUUUCGAAGUUCAUUAACCCCUACAAUGGUAGAGGCUUUGAUAUAUAGUCAACAAUGGCUUAAAGCAACUUGUAUGGAUGAAAAUUAUAUUAGGAAGUUUGAUGUAGAAGUAUCAUCAUCAUACUUUAGUGAUUUGGAAUUAUGUACAUCUGUGGAGCAAGGUACCUAUGCUUUACAUAUAAUAUAAUUAUAUUAUUUUCUAAGUUAAGCAAUCUAACUAAUCAUUUUUUGUCAUUUUAUGCAGAUUUUGACAAAUCAAAAGUAAUUGGGCCAUAAGUUUUGACGGACAAGAUGCACGAUAUUUUGAUUGUCAAAUGUUGUUCAAGUUUAUUUUAAUUUUGUGAGUUUGUUUUGAAUGAACAAGUUGAGAACUUCUUUAUUAGGAUGUAUUCUGUUAUAAACUUGUAUGGAUGUAUCUUUGAAUUGUUAUGUAAAUACGAAUAAUAUAAAAGAGAUAUCAAUUUGGAUUAUGACACAAAAAAAAUAACAAAUAAUUUAGGUACAACAAUAUAAAAGAGGUGAGCUUUUAGCUAAUAAGCUCAAACCAAGAAAAAAACCAAUCCAGAUGGUUUGGUUUAAAAAAAAUUUAGGUCGAUAUCAGUUUGGAUAGGUUUGAUAAUUUGUCUCAAACUGAUCCAAACCAAAUUUGCCUACCUCUCAGUUCCAUUAUCUAGAGAAAUGCAAUAUGUACAUCCAUCUGAUGUAAUUCAAGGUCUAGAUGUACAAUGAUGACCAAAAUUAACUGUAUAGAAGCAAACCUUACCAUAGGAGAAAAGGUUUCUUUAUAGUCUAUUCCCUUCUCUUAGGUAUAGCCUUUAGCGACUAAUCUUACUUUGUAUCUCUUGAUUGUCCCAUCCACUUUACAUUUUAUUUGGAGAACCCAUUUGUUUCCGAUAGUUUUACGAUUAGGCAGAAAUUCAAGUAAGUCCCAAACUUGAUUAACUUUCAUAGAUUCUAUCUCUUCUUCAAUUGCUUUCAUCUAUAAAUCCCUAGUAGACGAUGUGAGAGCUUCAUUAAAAGUAUUUGGCUCUUCACUAUCGUGUGAAGUAAUCAUAAAACUUCUCCCUCAAUCUCAAAAUAACGACAAGGAAUUGGCUUACGACUACUCUUUCGAGUCAAUUUCCUAAUUGGAAUCGAAGUGUCCAGUGUUUCACUCCUACUCAGAGUAACAAUCUCUAGAGGAUUCGCACUAAUGCCAAUAUCGACAUUAGAAGUGAUAACCCCAUUUAGAUCUUCUAAUUCAUAAAAUUGAAAAUCAUUAUCCACUUUUUCAAUGCUAGAAAAUUCAUUUUCUAAAAAACUGAUAUCUGUUGCAACUUUUCCUUGUAUUAUUAGUAUCAAUCUGCAAGUGUAUACAACAAGUAAUAUAAUGAUAAAUAUUGAAGAUCGUCUCCACAUGGAUUGAUGUUAUUAGAAUUGCUACAACAAACCUUAACAGUGCAGCUUGUAUUCUAAAUUAAGACAAAAUAAUUAAUGAGACUAAACAACUAAUUAAACUAUAAAAUGUAAUAACUAAAAAGGCAAUAAAUAAAAUUCUCAUGUCAAACACGAGAAGAAAGCCAAUGAGAAUUGAGUAGUUGAGUGAUUAAACUCUCUUAAUGGUUUUGACUGUUUCUUCUAAUCUUUGGCUCAGUUGCUACAACAUUUGUUGCAACACUGGGCAAAAUUAUAUUGUAUCCUCAGCUGUCGCAUGUUAGAUGUCUUAUAUCCUUAUGCAACCUAACAGUAACCAAUUGUUAUGCCAACAUAAGAUAUAACAUUACACAUUUAGGUUCUAUUUACCCUACAAUGUGAAUUUCUUUGUCUAAUUCAUCACUAAUUUUGGAUUAGGCAUGGCCCUUUUGGACUCAAGUAAAACUCAACUCAAUAAACCCAAUCUAAAACCAAGUAUUACUCUGAUAUGUUACACUAAGAUAAGCCCUUUUUGUGGCUCUUUCUUAGCUUGUAUCAUUAAAUGGGUGGUCAGCCAAAAUAAUGAAUAUAAAUAAAUAUUAUCAAAAUAAAAUACUACAAUAAACAUACAGCAACACAUUUAUACAGUCAAUGGACCAUCAAGAUCGUUUAUCACUCAACCACAAAUAAAUUUAGUUCAUAAUCCAUAAAAGAAACAUGAACAAUAGAGGUUUAUAUAAGAUUAAGGCAAAUUAUAUGUUGUGAACUAUUAUAUAAGAUUAAGGCAAAUUAAAAAUGAUCUAUUAAGGUUUUUAAUAAUUUGGGCUUUAAUGUAUCUAAUCGAUUGUGGGCCUUUAAUGUACAGAGACUUAAGACUGAUUUCUAUUUCCAUGAUGGGUUGGAAUAAGAAUACAUAAGGACAAGAUGAAAUUUUGUUUAUAUAAGUAGUUAUUGUCCCUAGGUCGCACAUAUCGUUCUAUUCUCUAUUGACAUCUCAUCAUUAGAGAGAGUGCAGAGAGAAGUUUAAAGGAUUGUCUAGGAGAACCUGUUAAUUUGGAAGACAAACUACUAGACUCUAGAGACAAAUUAUGCAUUAUGAUCUUAGGUACGCUGCCGUAUAUUCUGUUAUUAAUUCUUGGUGAUAGAACAUGCAUAUUCCUAAAUUUAGGUGAUGAUUUUCACCAAAUGAUUUAUUAUUCUUAUACUCAUUUUUUAUUUUUAGUUCCACACACAAUUGUAAUAGCAAGGUCCCCACGGUUUUUGUACUGCACUCUUUAGUUAUCCAAAAUAAACUUAUACUUGUCUUGAACAUGUUCAAUUCUCAAGGCAUCCAGAGGAGAUUUUCCCCUAAGCUUACGAGCACACAGGUUCCUGAAGUAUUCUUCAACUGGCACUCUUUUAAACAAUGGAGGAUUAUUUUCAGCGACCAAAUUGGACGCAGGGUACAUUUCACCAUCAUAUAUCACUAAGUAAAUUGUGCCAAUGGAAAGUCUUCCUUGUACAGAGUUUACAAUUACACGAUGCUCAAUGCUACGGUAUGUCCCAUUGGUUACAAUCUGCAUGUAAAAAUUAUUAAAUCACAUGAGCAGGCGCAUAUAAAUGCCAAGUUAAGUAAUUUACUAUAAUUAUUACCUCCAUUGUCUCUCCAAUGUCGACAAUGAAAGCAUUAGGGAGUGGAGCAACAGGAAUUAAUGAAAGCACACAUUAGCUAGCUCAUAUGAAUAUCAAGUUAAAAUAACUUAUCAUAAUAAUUACCUCCAACACGACUCCAAUGUUGACAACGAAAGCAUUUGGGAAAGGUGUAACAGGAAUCCACUUUCCAUCCUUCUUGAUCUGGAGACCUUCUACUUCAUUGAUUUCUAGCAGAAUGGUAAGAGCAGAGUCAUCAGAAUGAGGUGUGAGGCCCACAAUCUUCUCCGGCUGAGGACAUGGAGGGUAAUAGUUCAUCCCUAUUGAUUGGAAACCGUUUUCAAAGUAUUCUCUCAAUUCUUCAACUUUGAUAUUUAAAACUUUUCCCAUUUUCGAUACCAGGUUCAUGGCCAGAGAUUUUUAACUCCACUGAAUAAAUUCCAAGAUUUCCUACAAGAAAAAAGAAGACGCAAUUAGAAGGUUUAGUAUAUGAUUGUGGUGGAUUGUUAAAUAAGUUAUUAUUUAGCAGUAUUCUUUCGAAAUCAUAAGUGGUUGUCAAAUUUUACUAGAUAUAACUGACUUGGGAUCUUUCUCUGAACAUAAUACAUUUGCAAUCAUCAAAUAACUGACUAGAGAGAGAGAGAGAGAGAGAGAAAUUUGAGGGGGAAAGAGGGAGCUUAUGAAACAAGUGGGGUUUCCUCAGAUGAACUGGAAGAGUUGUCAUGAAGAAAAUGUUAUUCCAAUCAAGCUUUUGUUCCUCGGAUACAACAAAUGCUUGUCCAAAUCCUUCCACAUCUCCUGGAGACUGCCAAUUUUUUUUUUCCAUGCUUAGAUUGAAGAAUUCUGGAAUCUCUUUCUUUACGUUCUCUAGAAAUGCAGAGCUCACUCCAUGAUUUACCAGCUGAAACAAUUCAGAAACAGAAAAACAGCUAAGACAUUAAUAAUCUAUCAUAAAUUUGCUUGAUAAAUUUAUUUUGGUCAAGGUAUUUUGCUGAGACAGAGUACAACUUAUCGGACUAAUUCAGGCAAAAUUUACUGAGUGAGAUGAAUAAAAGUAUUUGUUAGAUUUUAAUAAACUAAUAGCAUCGCAUUUGCAUUAUACUCCAUCAUAAAUUUGCUUAUAGUUCUUCUCAAACUACCGUAAGCCUACACAUCUGAAAGAUAUUAAAGACAAUUUAAUUUUAAAUGCAGGAUUUUCGUCUCAGCUAUAAAAGAAAGCAAGUUAGAUGGAUACAUAAUCGAACAAGGUCAGUUACAUCCCUCAAUUCUCAGACAAAAAAAAAAAAAAGAGUGCUUAAACAGGCUUGGUUAAGACUACCUACACUCAAAUUUUGUUACAGCUUUCUUAUUGCUAACUUACAGAGCAAGAAAGCAUUGAUACAGAGUAGGCCAAAUUUGUGGCCUACUUGACCUAUAAGAAUGAAACACAAUCUAAUCUGAAUUUGACCGACUGUGCUCUUCGAUUGAGAGUAUACAGAUUUCUUAAUUCUUGACGCCAGACUACUAUUAACAAACCAAGCAUGUCCAAAUGAAAAAGUACAAACUUGGGUGCCUCACGGCAGGUGUAGCUUAGCUGGUUGUGAACGUAAUUCGCAAUUUGCAGAUAUCUGCGCUCGAGUAACAAUAUGGGACAAAGGGUGGUAUUUAGUAGAUGAGGUCUCAUUCCAUGCAAAUCCUUUAAAAGCAAAAUAAUAAUAACUUGGCAAAGGAGUAAAAAUUCUAUUUCAAGAAAGAGAGAUACUGGUCUGAUAUAAGCACCACUAUAUAUCAUCGGAAGAUUCCAGGCAUAAGAUUAUUACAUGGUCUAUUCAGUAUCUCAAAUGAUAGAGCUAUUAGAAACACAUCGACCCUAGCAUAGCAGGUUAUACCACAGUCUUCAUAGAACGUAUUUCUUAUUUUCAGUUCCACACACAAUCUUAAUAGCAAGGUCCUUCAGAGUUUUUGUACCAAACUCUUUAGUUAUCCGAAAUAAACUUAUACUAGCCUUGACUAUGUUGAAUUCUCAGGGAAUCCAGCUGAGAUUUUCCCCUAAGCUCACGAGCAUACCGGCUCCUAAAGUAUUCUUCAAUUCUCACUCUUCUAAACAAAGGAGGAGUUUUUUCAGAGAUCAAACUGGAGGCAGGAUAUACUUCACCAUCAUAUCUCAGUGAGUAAGCUGUGGCAAUGGAAAGUCUUUCCUGUACAGAGUUUACAACUGCGCGAUGCUCAAUGCUAGGGUAUGUCCCAUUGGUUAUAAUCUGCCAUGCAAAAAUUAUUAAAGCACAUAAGCAAGCGCAUAAAAAUGCCAGGUUAAGGUAAUUUAUAAUAAUUAUUACCUCCAAUGUGUCUCCAAUGUUGACAAUGAAAGCAUCCGGGAGUGGGGUAACAGGAAUCCACUUUCCAUCCUUCUUUAUCUGGAGACCCUCCACUUCAUUAAGUUGUCGCAGAAUGGUAAGUGCAGCUGCAUCAGAAUGCGGCGACAGGCCCAUAACCUUCUCGGGCUGAGGACAUGGAGGGUAAUAAUUCAUCCUCAUUGCUUGCACUCCAUUUUCAAAGAAUUCUCUCAUUUCUUCAUCUUUGAUAUUUAACACUUCUCCCAUUUUCGAUAUUAGGUUCUCGGCUAGGGUUUUUAAUUCCAUUGAGUAAACUUCCAAGGUCUCUCUACAGGAAAAGAAGAUGCACUAUCCUUUAUUUGUUUGCAAAUCAAAAUGACAUUGACGUAGAAACAGAGAGAGAGAGAGAGAGAGAGAGAGCCUGAGGGAAGGAGGGAGCUUAGGAAAUAAGUGUGGCUUCCUCAGAUGAACUGGAAGAGUCAUCAUGGAGAAAAGGUCAGCCCAAUCAAGCUUUUGUUCCUCGGAUACAACAAAGGCUUGUCCAAAUCCUUCUACAUCUCCUGGAUGCUGCCAAUAUUUUUUCUUUUCUUCCAUGCUUAGAUUGAAGAAUCCCUGAACCUCUUUCUUCAAUUUCUCUAGAAAUGCCGAGCUCACUCCAUGGUUUACCAGCUGAAAUGAUGCAGGAAUGAACAGCAUCUAAGAUUUAAUACUCAUGCCACUAAGUUCACAGUGGUCCAGGUGUUUUACUGAGACAGAUUGCAACUUAUUUGACUGAUUUAGAGAAGAUUUACCGUCAAAGAUGGCUGAAAGCAUUUGUUGCAUUUCAACCUAGAACAUUGCUGUUGCAUGAACCACCAAUCUUAAUUUGCUUAUAUAUCUUCCCAAUGAUUAGUUUCUACAAGUGUUUUUCACUCAUUGUUUUGCAGAAAGUUCAAUAUUCUUGAAUAACAAUAAUAAGCAUGAAGUUCUUCUAGUUUGGUUCACAAAUUGAAUUUGCAAAACCAUGUAACAGCAAAUAAUCUCCAGGAAUCUUAUAAAAUUAGUAUAUCUUUUAUCACAUUUUGACAGAAGCAUAUUUCUCAUUAGCUACCAAAAGUUAUUGAGACAGAGUAGG